RNAcentral lists this long non-coding RNA (168750 nucleotides) under Lactuca sativa (garden lettuce). RNAcentral's name for it is "long non-coding RNA (LSAT_LNC004149)". The stretch from base 143600 to 143706 matches the Rfam family "Plant small nucleolar RNA R71". The record is from RNAcentral. Lineage: Eukaryota; Viridiplantae; Streptophyta; Magnoliopsida; Asterales; Asteraceae.
UGGCAAAGAAGCAUAACCAGAUCACCAAACUCAACAAAUUGACCGAGUCAAGAAGAUCCAAGAAUCCGCCAGCUGGGGAAGCAUGGACAAAACAAGAUACAUCAAACUUCUCUCCAGUACUUUCUAUUGAACCUCAACAAGGAUCAAAGGAAGCAGACAGGGUUGAUAGGCUUCCAGGUCAACCACAAGUGGACUUUGAUCAUUUUGCUGGCUAUAUAACAGUGGAUUCAAAGGCUGGAAGGGCAUUGUUCUAUUACUUUGUUGAAUCACCUCACAAUUCAUCAACCAAACCACUCCUCCUAUGGCUUAAUGGAGGUAAUGCGUUUUUUGCUUCAUUCUACCUCUAAAAUGGUCCCAUGACAAAUUAUAAGAAUACAUGUUGUCCCAACCAAUUUUUGGAAUCAAUGUGAAUUGAACUUUAACUUUUUGUUCCACUAAAAAAAGAUGUUACUAAACUAAUGCUUGCAAAAGUCGUUUUAUUCUCCUCAUGGAAUAUCAUUGAUAAAUCAUCAUUAUUUACAUGUGUUGAGAUUGACCAAUAGUAGUGAAUUACAGGACCAGGAUGCUCGUCCUUCGGAUAUGGAGCCAUGGAAGAACUUGGGCCCUUCCGUGUCAAUAGCGAUGGAAAAACACUCUACCGCAACCACUAUGCAUGGAACAAUGGUAACAAAAACUCCUUUAAAACCUUCAUAUUCGUGUUUCCAAAAUUACAAUGUAAAACACUAAUUCUUGAAAAAUGAAAGUGGCCAAUGUACUAUUCUUGGAGUCGCCAGCUGGAGUGGGAUUCUCGUAUUCAAACAGAUCAUCUGACUACACCACAGGGGACAAGCAAACAGCUAAAGACUCAUACACUUUUCUCAUCAACUGGCUUGAAAGAUUCCCGGAAUACAAAACCCGAGAUUUCUUUAUUACAGGUGAAAGCUAUGCAGGUCACUACGUACCUCAACUCGCAUCCCUCAUUCUCUCAGAAAACAAGAAGACAAACGGAACAGUCAUUAAUCUUCAUGGGAUUGCAGUAAGCACUUUUCAUACAUGGGACUCCACAGGGGGACGUUUAUGCAAAAGUCAUAUUUGCCCUCCUCAUCUGCUAAAUGGGUAUAUUCUUUUGUUUUGUAGAUUGGGAAUGCUUGGUUAGAUGACGAUACAGUUUAUCAAGGGAAGCUAGACUACUUAUGGACACAUGCCCUAAUGUCCGAUGAGGCAAAUGCAGGAAUUAAAAGGUACUGUUACAAUGUUUCUGGUUAUUCUCAAGAAAAGUGCUAUCACUAUGUAAGUCAAGGAUUAAGUGAAGUUGGUAGAAUUGAUAUAUACAACAUCUACGCACCACUCUGUGAUGGCACCACACAAAAACUUGAGUCCAUUGGAUCUGUAAGUCUCUGAUUCCAUUAAACAAGAAUACAUAGCAUCCAACUUUCAAAAACUAGAUAAAAUGUAUCCUGUUAUUUUCAAGAGAUGACGUAUUGAACCAGGUAAAGAAUUUUGAUCCUUGCUCUAGUCGUUAUGUGUCUUCAUAUCUGAAUCGAGCAAAAGUGCAAGAAGCUCUUCAUGCCCGAAAUACCUCAUGGUCACAUUGCGGGUACCUCUUUUCUUAUAAAUACCUCAAAGCCAAUAUAAAAAGGCUGACUGUUUUAUUUUCUUACCAACAGCGAUUAUGAUUGGACAGAUAGCCCAACGACUGUUUUGCCUACUAUCAAUCAGCUAAUUGCAUAUGGUAUUAAAGUCUGGAUAUACAGGUCAGUCCACCGCAAUCUACACCCAAUCCUUUUUUUUUAAUUGUUUCUCAUUUACUUAAAGGAGAGAUAUGACAUUGUAGGCGUAAUUCAAAAUAAGCUUGAAAGUUAAGCAGUAAAGCUCUUCUCUUCUCUUUUUCAUAUUCCUUCUCUAUACGUUUUUUUCUUCUUGUUAUUCUUUUUUCUUCCUGUUAAUUCAUAACAGAGACAUAAAGAGAAUAAACUAUCAUUGUUUAAAGGGAAAUUGAGUAAUCUAACCCUUAUAAAUGACCUUUUUGACGUAAAUGAUCAAUUUUUUUUUUCUUUUUUUGAGAAAUAACCAAUUUCUCCGUAACACCUUGUUCCGGAGAGCUCUCCGGAAUUCCGGAGUACAUUUCCGGACCAUGGUUCUGGAAUAUAGUUAGCUAGGUUUUUUUUUCUUUUUUUUACGUGUAACAUGUGGUUUUUCUUUUAGCGUAAAUUUUUUGUUUUAUAUAAUACAUAUAUGUUUUGCUUUUAUAAAAUGUUUAAGUUUUGUUUUUAUAAGAUGUAUACCUUUUGGUUUUAUCAAAUAUAAAAUGUAAUUAAAAUGAACAAAGAAAUAAUAAAUACAUAGAGUAAACAAAUGAUUUGUCUAUAGGUGGUAUUACAAAUACUAUGUUUAAAUUAUCUUUGUCCUUAUACCACAAAAAAUUUCCGCUAAUCGUUUUCGAUAACCUAAAGCCCAUGGACCGGUUUUACCCUCUACAGAAAUCGAUUUCCCAAUGAUUAAUGCCUUCGGUAACCAACACAAAAACACCCCACAAUCCUUUUCGUUGUGAAUCUGUUGUGGUACGUCUGGGUCUUUUCUAGGGUCAUCUUGAAGCUCUCAAAUGGGAUUGAAUCAGUGAGUUUGGUAUUCCAGUAGUUGGAUCCCACCAGCAGUUUGUGGAUGUGGGCUCUCAAACCAAUAAACCAAUCCUAAAUUUCUGAACAGUAGCCGCCCUUCCAAUGACUAUCGUAUAUAGUCAUUUUGAAUGUCUUCAAAUCCAAAAAGUGCAAAAACUAAUGAGCUCGUGGUAUGUUGAUUGAGAUGUAAAGGUACAAAAAAAAGUUAGAAAUAAUUAAUUAGUAUAGAAAUACUCAGAUAAUGUGAUCCAAACAAAAUUAUGUCGUAUCACACUCUGCACAAGCUGGGUAAACGGAUCAGUCAGCCAUGUCACUCCAGUCAUAUGCAUCAGUGUUGAAAACUGUUAGUACCAUCGUCCACCGAGCAUCAUCUGCUCUACACUCUAGCAGCAAUGAGAUCCACAUCAUAAUGUGUUGCCAGUUAAUUUUUUGUAGUAAAGUAAGUAUUAUUAUUAUUAGAAGAGUAGUAUUUAAUAAUCAAAUAAUUAUAUUACUUACAUCACAUGACAACCAUCAUCCAUGACUAUCUAGAUAUAACCGUGUCCAAAGCUUAAGCGUAACAAUACCGGUCAAACAAUUGUGAACACACAAGAACGAACCAUCCCAUUAUUUAUAUAUAAUAUGUACGGUAGGAUCUACAAGAUUGUCCAGUGGUGCUGGUUGUUUCCGUAUAACACCUUUCCUUUUCAUUUGUUUCCACGACGACUUAUACCAUAUGAACAUAAAUUUUUGGCAUUUAGAAUGCCUAAGAAGUGCUUGCCCCGGUUUUUGUAAUCAUCCUACGAAAUCUCUAUUACAUCCGAAGGGUGAAUAACCGGAGACUGAUGCUCAGGGCCGACAUUCAGCGGUAGUUCAAGGCCGACAUACAUUGGCUUUUCAAGGCUACGUAAUACAUAAUCAUGCUCCCAUAACUCAUUGUCAUUGUAGUAUCCCGGUACAGUUCAAUAAUGUAUACUUAUAAACGAUGCAAAAACAUAACGACCAAAAAUGAUGAAAUAAUUAAAAAUGUAUCUCCAUCCCCUUCAAGGUACCAACAUCAUCUCCGAGAGUCUUGUUGAUAAGUUUUAGAACCAUGGAUAAAGUAGCCUCAUGCUCUACUAAACGCUCCUCCUAGACCACAAUUGCUUGCGACAUUGAUGAACCUCAUUUUUCAAUUGAUCGAACUCGUUAUGCUUGUCACUAAUAAUUUGGUCCUUGUCAAUUGAUGGGUCGGGGGCGGCGGCGGUGGUGGUGGCGGGUGAGAUGGAUCAUCUAUUCGUGCCUUCCUNGCGGCGGUGGUGGUGGCGGGUGAGAUGGAUCAUCUAUUCGUGCCUUCUGUUCUUGAUGCUCAUGGGUAGGGGAGUUUUUGGGUGAUGUUGUUAGGGAAGGUGCCCUGUGAACUUUAGGGUCUGAAAAAUCAAGGCGAUCAAUCUACGCCGAGCUAACAACCCAUCGUUCAAAACGCAUCUCAUUUUCCGUCACCUCCAACUUCGGUACGAGUCUAAUACCAUGCUAACAAAAUUAUAAAAUUAUAAAUAAACAAAAAUUAUAUAAUAAAUAAAUAUUUAAAUAAUAAAGUAACAAUAUGUCGUCUAUCAGUAAAAACUGGUUGUAGUAGUCUUUUGUAACGGCUUAAGUUUUCACUAUGCAACAGCCUGAGGGAUCACAUUUUGCUGUCGGGAACAAAAUAAUAUGCUCACCGAAAAAGUCUCAAGAAUCCAUAUCUGAAUGUUAGUAAACAAAUAAAUAAAAAGUAGUUAGAAUGUUAGCAAAAGAAAAUAAAAAAAUAUAUAUAUUUUUCUAUAUAUACUUACCUUAAAAGGGUAUAAAAACCCCUGUACGGUCUAUGUAGGGUUUAGGUCAAUUUUUGAGGUUCAUUGUCUUUCGGAUCUUCUAGAUGUAUAGGCUUCUUAACGUUAUUGAAUACAGUAUGUAGUUGUUUGUACAAUUGAUCACAAAUUAUCCUCCCCCAUGGAUAUCUACCACAUGAAAAAUUAUUUAAUAAUUUAAUUUCUAAAAAAUAUUAGUAACGAUAGGAAAUUUAAUUAACCAAUAAUUAUAAAAUAGAUGACAUUAUACAUGUUGAUUUCAUCAAGGUUGGAUAGCAAAGCGAAGUUCUCUUCUGUAACAGGCUGUUUAGCCAAACGUCAAUUGACACCCUUCUAUAAGAGGUAUAGAAGACAUACACGGACUGCAUCCUCGUCCGAUAACUCAUUAUGUGAUUGUCUAAACACAUUUGUAACAUGGUGUAAUAUAACCGAGACAUUCGGUAGGAUAGGAAAGGAAUGGGAACAAAAGACGAGGCCGGAUGAAGAAAACCGAAAGCCGGUGAUGACACAAAAUUCUUUCUUCCGAAAAGACAGCUCGUAACCCCCAAUCUCAAAAACCAUUUCCUCUACUUGGCUUCGAGGGCCAGUGACAACUUUGUGGGAAAAGACGUAAUGUAGAAGCGAAGCAUCCCCAUCUACAUUAGGAAUGUCUAACCACCUCCCGAAACAUGUAUUCUGGAACAUAGUCUCGCAUUCGGGACUAUUUCUGAAUGUCACAAGGAUUUGCCCACCGAUUUUUGGGUUUACACAAGAGUGUAAUUGAUGCAUCGACAAUCAUGACACAAAUAAAAAAGGUGUUAGCACUUCAUUAUAAAAUGGGAAUGACCUAUAUUCUGGACCGGUUCCAGACCCGUACUUCAUGUUCCAGAGACAUUCAUCUUGUUCCAGAAUGCUUCUUCAAAUUCCGAAGCCUUUCGGAAUGACAUUUUAAGAUCCGAAACACGAAAUUUCGAUGUACAUCAACAAUAACUAAACAUCUAAAAUACUUUUAUGUUGGUUUUACAAUAAUGAAAUCUUAAAUUUUAAACUCCAGAACAUUUUCAGUUCAUUCCAGAUGUGACCUACUACAUUUGGAACAGUAAAUAACAGUAGAAAACGAAGAACAUACCCGUAAAAUAACGGGAUCGUAGUUGUCGUCUUCCACUCGAAGAUGGGUGUCGAGUCGGAACAUCGUAAUCUAUUCGGAACAUAGGAAUUGAUUUGGAACGUUGGAAUCAGAAUAUGCCUUUCCAAAAUGAAGUUGUCGCCUCAAAUUAUAUUCCAGAUUUUGAAAUUCAAGAUUCUGAUUCGGAACAUAUACGGGUCCUCCAGAAUAGGAAUUUCGGACCUAGUGAAGUGGGUUGGGCCAUUCUAAAAUUAAUCUGUAAUUCAUUCCAGAACGGCCCAUUUCGGAAUAUGUGGUUAUUUUGCAAAAAAAAAAGGUUAUAUUUAAAAAAACCCCCCAAAAAGUGGUUAGAUUACUCAAUUUCCCUUCUUUUAAAGGCUAAACUAAUCUUUGUUAUUAGCGAAUCUGGUGUGAUGUCAAACAAAAAAGGAUGGGUUACUCUUUAAUAUCCAAUGUUUUCUUAGAUGAAUUAUGCAGCAUGGUCCUUGAAAAUGAAGAUUUAUAUGCAAGCUUAAGAGGUGUUGGAAGCCAUAGAGCCGAAGAACCCAAAAAAUAUGAUGGAUGUGAGCAGAGACAAGAUGACAAUGGCUUCCAUCUACCAAGUGAUUCCGGAGGAGGUUUUGUUGAUGAUAGUUGAGAAGAAAUCGGAGAAAGAAGGUUAAGAACAGUAAAGAAGAUGUACUUGGGAGCAAAUUGAGUCAAAGCAACCAAAGUUCAAACUCUCAAAGCUGAAUUUGAGAUGAUGAACAUGAGAGAACUAGAGAACAUGGACGACUUUUCUGCAAAGAUCCAAGGUAUUGUGAGCAAUAUUUUUGCUCUUGGUGAGACCGUUGAAGAAUCUUAUAUUGUGAAAAAAAAAUUGUUAUGUGUCGUACCCUCCAAAGUUGUUCAGCUUGCUUCAACAAUUGUACAAUUUUGAUGAGAUAACUUUUGAAGUGGUGGUCAGAAGAUUAAAAGCUCAUGAGUGUAACGACCCAAUUUUUCCAAAAGAAUUUUUUCAAUUUUGGUUAACCAAAAUACUUUCCAUAAUUCAUGAAAUCCCAAAUAAAAUUGUUUUCAAAAUCCAUAACCAUUACAAAUUUAUUUUAAAUCAUCAGAGUGUCCCAUAAAAUGCCUGAGAGAGAGAGAGAGAGAGAGAGUACAGGCCGCAUCAUAAAGCCAUGCCCUUGCCCUUGGGCUCAGAUGUACCUAAAACAAAUCCACAAACUGUAAGCUAAUGCUUAGUGAGUUCCCCCAAGCAUACCCCACACACAGAUCACAUAACACAUAUCAUACUAGCUAUAAAAGCUACAUCUACCAUAUAAGCCAUGAAUAUUAACAUAUACGGAUGAUGUGGGCUCCCCCAAGGUCUUAUAACUUAAUUCCAUGGGCUCCCCCAUGGUCUUUACCUAGGAAUACCAUGGGCGCCCCCACAUGGUCUUAUAUCCAACUGCCACGGGCUCCCAUAGGGUCUUCCAUGCAGUAACAUACAUAAUCAACUAGCAUAUCAGAUAUCACAGAAGUAUCUAUCAUACUAUAUAACUCAUAAUUAAACAUAUAAGGAGGUUGUGGGCUCCCCCAUGGUCUUAUGCCUUCAUGCCAUGGGCUCCCCCAUGGUCUUUACCUAGGAAUGACACGGGGUCCUCCAUGUAUUCUUAUAUCUAACUGCCACGGGCUCCCCCCAGGGUCUUCCAUGCAAUAUCACAUAACCACUACCUACCAUUUAGUAUAAGGCUAACUAUCAUACCACAUAUCUUUACUACAACUAGUGUACCACAUAUCAUAAAAUGGGCCGACCUUGGUGCCUUAGACCCAUUGGUAUGGUGAGAAGACUCCCCUUACGUGAAUGUAGAACUGAUAAGCUAGAUCUAAUAUAUCCCAUGUACUGCUCCUCCUCAACUGCCUAUAAUCAUCAUGUGAUUAACUUGUCACAACCUCAUAAUACCAUAGGUGCUCUCAAAGUCAACGAUGAAGGUCAACAGUCCAUGUUGACCUCAACUCGUCGAGUUCUCUCAGUGAUUUAUUCACUCACCGACAUACCUGUGUAAGUCGACGAGUCCCUGCAUGUCCCAAACCAAAAAAUCACGAAACCGAAAACUCAUGACAACCAAAAACUUAGAAGACCUGAAAAUGGGUAAACCCUACUCGAAUUUUCGAGUCAGAUAAGGGAUUCGACGAGUUCCUUCAAUCUUCUUCAAGUUUAGCCAUUUUUAGUGGGAUCUAAGGUCCCAAACUCCAGAUCCAAACUCUCCUAGUGUAGAUACCACGUAAAGUUGCAAACUUUAUGUUCAUGCAAGGUCCUCCAAGGCUAUAACUUCAAAGCUAGGUUUCUUGCAAGGUUCUUGUGCAUGGAAAGUGGCUAAACUACAUAAAAGGAGCAACUUUAUGUCAUUGGGGACCUAAAGAGGUGCAGAUCUAGAACCAUACCCUUGUGAUAAGUCCAUAUCUAAGCAACUAGAGAUAAAGGUCACAACUUUAUACCUUAGGAUGAUGGACACUAUGAAUUAGAUGUUGGAUCUAUUGUUCCUCUCCUAGCUCCUUCUUCUUCCAGCUCUAAAAUCCUUCACAAAUACCCCAAAAUUGUUCAGAAAGGCUCUUUCUCUCACUUAAGUGGGUGCAAGGUCGAUCUAGGGUUUUCUCUGGCUGAUAGAGUCAUAAGUGAGCCCACAAGAGGCGGGUAAUGAUCUUUAAAUAGGGUGCAACCCCUAAAAAUUAGGGUUUCUUUUUAAAGCUCCUACUCGCCGAGUCGGGGCCUUCCGACUCAUCGAGUAGGUGCCAAUUCCGCGUCCUUAUAAUAGUCACUAUUCGAUGAGUUUGGGCACCCAACUAGCCGAGUCCAUGCACAAAACUCCACAACUUAAAUAAAUUAACACCUGGAAUAGAUGUUACAAAUCUCCCCCACUUGAACUAGACUUCGUCCUCGAAGUCUGCUGACUUAAAUAAGUCUGGGUUGUGGUCUCGCAUUUCGUCCUCUGGCUCCCAUGUCCAUUCGGAGCCCCUCCGGUGCUACCAUUGCACCUUUACUAGCUUCACUUCUUCGUUCCGGAGGACCUUAGUCUUCCUAUCCAAAAUCAUAACAGGCCUAUCAAUGUAGUCAAGGCUAUCAUCCACCUGAAUGUCAUCUAGAGAAACGAUUGCAGUCUCAUCGGUGACACACUUUUGAAACUGUGACACAUGGAAUGUGUUGUGAAUCUGGCUAAGCUCAUCCGUCAGAUCCAAGCGAUAGGCCACCUUGCCCACCCGGGCCGUAAUACUGAAUGGUCUUAUAUCGGGGUCCUAGCUUGCCCCUCAUUUAAAACCUGAUGACCCCCUUCUAUGGUGAUACUUUGAGUAACACAAAGUCCCCCACCUAGAACUCAAGAUUCAAUCGCUGACAGUCAACACAACUUUUUUGACGGCUCUGUGCAACCCACAGCCGGUCGCGCACCUGCUGAAUUAGCCUGGUAGUCUUGAGCACUACCUCAAUGCUCCCCAUGACCCGAUGUCCAACAUCACCCCAACAAACCGGGGUCCUGCAUCUGCUACCAUACAACAUCUCGAAUGGUGGUCGGUCGAUACUGGCCUGGUAACUGUUGUUGUAUGAAAACUCUGCCAACAGGAGGUAUGUAUCCCAACUCCCUCCAAAAUCCAACAUGCAUGCUCGAAGCAUAUCCUCAAUUGUCUAGAUCAUCCUCUCACUUUGUCCAUCUGUCUAGGGGUGGUACGCCGUGCUAAAAUGCAGUUGAGUGCCCAGUUCCUCAUGAAACUUCUUCUAGAACCUUGAUGUGAACCGAACAUCCCUAUCACAUAAAUAUCCGCCAACUUCUCAGUGGAUACACUCUCAGAGAUCAGAAUAAAAUGGGCACUCUUCGUUAAUUUGUCCACAAUCACCCAUAUGGCAUCCACACCCCUCGUCGUCCUCGGUAACUUCAUGAUGAAGUCCAUAGCGAUCUCCUCCCACUUCCACAUGGGAAUGGGUAGCGGCUGAACCUUACCAUGAGGUCGCUGAUACUCGGCCUUGACCUUCCUAUAGGUCAAGCACCGCUCUACAAACUAGGAAAUCUCCCGCUUCAUGGAGGGAUACCAAUAACUCAGUCUCAAGUCUCUAUACAUUUUCGUAGCCCCUGGAUGGAUAGAGAACUUGGACUUAUGCGCCUCCUCCAGAAUCUUCUGCCUUACUCCCCCAGAUGCUGGGACCCAUACUCGGCCACACUACGUCAGGAGGCCUUGACCAUUCCGGACGAACAAAGGAAUUUGUCCCCAUAUCCUCUCUAACUUCUAAUUCUCCUUCUUCAAACCCUCCACUUGUGCCUCCUUGAUCAUAUCCAACAAUGGGGAGAUCACAUUCAUCCUUAAAUAAACGUUCCCAAUCGGGAGUCCUGCUGCGUUGCGGCUCAAAGCAUUGGCAACCACGUUGUCCUUCCGUAGGUGGUAUAGGAUCUCACAAUCAUAGUCCUUCAGCACGUGCAACCACCUCCUAUGUCGCAUGUUGAGGUUUUGUUGAUCCGUCAAAUACUUCAAACUCUUGUGAUCAGUAUAGAUGGUGCACCGCACCCCAUACAAGUAGUGCCUCCAAAUCUUGAGGGCAAACUCCACUGCCCCCAAUUCCAGGCCGUGAGUGGGGUAGUUCGCCUCAUGAGGCUUCAACUGCCUCGAGGUGUAAGUUAUCACAUGCCCCUUUUGCAUCAGUACCGCACCUAGCCCUGAAAUCGAAGCAUCACAAUACACCACCAAAUCCUCUAACCCCUCAGUUAGUACUAGAAUCGGAGCCUCGCAUAGCCUCCGUCUCAGGGUCUCAAAAGCCAAUUGUUGAUCCAUGCUCCACCAAAGUGUCACAUUCUUCUUGGUCAACCGAGUCAAUGGCACAACAAUCUUGGAGAAAUCCUGAAUGAAUUUCCUAUAAUAGCCCGCUAGACCCAAAAGGCUACAUAUCUCGAAAGCAUUCUUCGGCACUUCCCACCGCAUCACUUCCUCAACCUUGGUUGGAUCAACCGAAAUGCCCUCCUGCUUGAUGGUGUGCUCCAAAAAUUGUACUUCCCGCAACCAGAAAUCACACUUGGAGAACAUAGCAUAUAGCCUCUCCACCCUCAGGGUCUCCAACACCUCUCUCAGAUGCUAGUCAUGUUGCUCCUUGGUCUUAGAAUAGACCAGGAUAUCAUCAAUAAAACAAUCACUGACCAAUCCAACAUUGGUCUACACACCCUGUUCAUGAGAUCCAUGAACACUGUUAGGGCACUAGUGAGCCCAAAUUGCAUCACCAAAAACUCAUGGUACCCAUACAGAGUCCUGAAAGUUGUCUUCGGUGUAUCCUCAUCCCGAAUCCUCAUAUGAUCGUAUCCCAACCAAAGAUCAAUCUAGGAAACCAAGAUACACCCUGCAGUUGAUCAAACAAAUCAUCGAUCCUCGGUAACAGAUAACAAUUCUUCACCAUUAGUUUGUUUAGUUCUCGAUAAUCAAUGCACAUCCUAUGUGAUCCAUCCUUCUUUUUCAUGAACAGGAUCGAAGCUCCCUACGGGGAACUACUCGGAUGGAUAAAUCCUCAGUCUAGCAGCUCCUAAAGUUGCAUAGAUAGCUCCUGCAUCUCGGGCGGUGCUAGUCGGUACGGUACCUUCGCUAUCGGAGCAGCACCCGACACCAAGUUAAUACGAAACUCCACUUGCCCCUCUGGAGGCACUCCAUGUAACUCCUCAGGAAAAAUAUCCUGAAACUCCUAUACAACCGGCACAUUACCCACCUCUGUGUUGGACUCAGUUAUCGUAUCUGAUAUAUAUGCCAGAAAUCUCAUACAACCCUGUUGCAGAAAUCUUCGAGCCCUUGCUGCCGAACAGAGGGUUGGUCCCUGCGAGGCCCUCUCUCCAUGAAUAACCAGUUCUCCCCCACUUGGGGUUCGAACCCUCACCAACUAGUGCUCCCAAUCAAUCAUAGCCCCAUUGGCCCCCAACCAGUCUAUCCCGACAAUCACCUUCAACCCUCGCAAUGGUAUUUGGACUAAAUCAACCCGAAACAUCUCUCUAAGCACGUUUAGGACACAGUCCCGAUACACCCUCGCAGCACUCAUAGUGUGGUUAUCUGCAAUCUCUACCUCGAACGGGGAAUCCAAAGUUACCGGAGUAUCCCGAAACUUCUUACUAAGCGCGAGAGGCACGAACGAUCGGGUAGCUCCCGAAUCGAACAAAACAUGAGCCGACAUACCAUUGACCGAAAAGGUCUCUAUGCAUACGCACAAUGUACACAUAAUCAAUGCAAUUAAACAUAGAACAGAGAAGAAUAAAUACGUACCAGCCACAACGUCUGGUGCUGCCCGAGCCUCUUCGGUAGUCAACUGAAAUUUGCGGCUCUUCACUGCUAGAACAUCCGCUUUAGCAGGGCGGCCAUCAGUAAUCCUCAUUGUGGCGGGCGCAGGCAUCGCCAUUGCUCCUCCCUCUCCCUGCAACGUCGGACAAUCGGCCCUUUUAUGGCUAGUCUGGUUGUAGUGGAAACAUAUCAGGCCCUUUUUGGGGCAAUCCCUGCUCAAGUGACCCUACUGGCCACAUGCGUAACAUCCUAGGCCUGCUAUCCGACAAGCCCUAUUAUGCAAUUUACCGCACCUGGCACACCGGCCCCCGACCCUGUUGGCCCCUACUUGAAGUAUCUGAGGUCUUAGGCUUUUUAGCCUGACCAACUGUUGUUUGUGCCUGCUUCGGCUUCCGCUUGGUGUGAAAGUGCAACUGCAUUUCCUGUUCUCGGGCCUUGUCUAUCAUCUCGUUCAGGGUUUUGCACCUUGUGAAGCUCACAAACUCCUAGAUAUCAUCCAUCAACAUGGAAUGUUACCUCGUCCUCCUCACAUCCUCAUCAGCAGCGUACUGCGUAAUCAACAAUGCUCAUUCCCGAAACUUGGCGGUGAUCUUCGCCGCAGUCUCGGUAGUCUGCUGGAGUUCCUGGAACUCCCUCACCAUCCUAUGCACCUGAAUGGCUGGUGCAAACUCCAUGUCAAAUCGCCGAAUGAACUUGGCCCAUGUCAUCUCAGCCACACCAGCUGCUCCCACCUGACUAGUCACAUCUCCUCACCAGUCUCGAGCUCUGUCUCUCAGCAUACAUGCUGAACUGAAAUGUCACCACCAUGCUCCACCUGACUAGUCAAAUCUCGAUCCUGAUUCCCCUGCUCCAAAUCAUGUCACCACCAUGCUGAACUAAAAUAUCAUAAAUCAUAACGAUUAGGAUAUCUAUAUAGGGGAUCUUCCUACACCAGUCCUCCUUAGAGCUGUCAGAUCUAACAUUGGUUCGGGUACAUGUCCUACGCUUUCAGUAGUAUGGGCCUAAUACUACCUUCCAUACCUGCAUGUACCUUCCCCAAGGCUCUACCUGAUGACUCCAAGUCAUCCCAAAACAAAUCAUAUCCCACAGAAUACCACAUAUCUCAAAUUAUACAUAGAAAAGGAUCAAAUAGACAUUCGAAUAAGAGAUUCUACCUUAAGACCACAACCAUACGAGGAAUAGGAACUAAUGCCAAAUCAAUCAUUCCAAGGCUAUAAGCUCAUAACCAUAUACAAUUUUAAAGGCAUACACAUAGCAAGUUUCAUAUGAUUAUCAUAGCUCAACUAUCAGUAUAACAUGGAUAACACAUUGGGGAACUACUUACUUGGCUCGGUUGAUCACGCGCAUUGCACUCUCCUCUUCUCCAUACUUUAAAAGUUUUAACCUCCAUUUUUAUUUUUGAAAACAAUUUUACCAUUUCCUUAGUUUGAGUCCUGGCACACCGGAGAGUGUGCCUGAAUCCCUCAAACUAAGGCUCUAAUACCAACUUGUAAAAACCCAAAUUUUUCAAAAGAAUUUUUUCAUUUUUGAUUAACCAAAAUAGUUUCCAUAAUUCAUGAAAUACCAAAUACAAUUGUUUUCAAAGUCCAAAACCAUUACAAAUUUAUUUCAAAUCAUCAGAGUGUCUCAUAAAACGCCUAAGAGAGAGAGAGAGAGAGAGAGAGUACACGCCGUGCCAUCAAGCCUUGCCCUUGCCCUUGGGUUUAGAUGUACCUGAAACAAAUCCACAAAUUGUAAGCUAAUGCGUAGUGAGUUCCCCCAAGCAUACCUCACACACAGAUCACAUAACACAUAUCAUACUAGCUAUAAAAGUUAUAUCUACCAUAUAAGCCAUGCAUACUAACAUAUAAGGAUGUCGUGGGCUCCCCCAAUGUCUUAUACCUUGAUGCCAUGGGCUCCCUUAUGGUCUUUACCUAGGAAUGCCACGGGCUCCCCCACGUGGUCUUAUAUCAAACUAUCACAGGCUCCCCCCGAGGUCUUCCAUGCAGUAACAUACAUAAUCAACCAACGUAUCAUAUAUCACAGAAGUAUCUAUCAUACCACAUAACUCAUACAUAAACAUAUAAGGAGGCCGUGGGCUGCCCCAUGGUCUUAUACCUUCAUGCCAUGGUCUCCCCCAUGGUCUUUACCUAGGAAUGCCACGGGCUCCUCCACAUGGUCUUAUAUCCAACUGCCACAGGCUCCCCUAGGGUCUUCCAUGCAGUAUCACAUAACCACUAGCAUACCACUUAGCAUUAGGCUAACUAUCAUACCACAUAUCUCUACUACAGCUAGUCUACCAAAUAUCAUAAAAUGGGUCGGCCUUGGUGCCUUAGACCCGUUGGUAUGGUGAGAAGACUCACCUCUCGUGAAUGUAGAACUGAUAAGCGAAAUUUGAUAUCUCCCAUGCACUGCUCCUCCUCAACUGCCUAUAAUCUUCAUGUGAUUAACUUGUCAGAACCUCAUAAUACCAUAGGUUCUCUUAAAGUCAACGGUCAAGGUCAACUGUCCAUGUUCACCUUAACUUGUCAAGUGCAUCCAGCAACUCGUGGAGUUCUCUGAGUUAUUCAUCCACUCGCUGAUUUACCUGUGUAACUCGUCGAUUCCCUCCAUGUCCAAAACCGAAAACUCAUGAAACCAAAAACUCAUGAAAACCGAAAACUCAUGAAACCGAAAAAUCGGAAGAACCGAAAACGGGUAAACCCUACUUGGUUCGUCGAGUCAGAUAAGGGAUUCGACGAGUUCCUUUAGUCUUCCUUAAGUUCAGUCCUUUUCAGUGGGAUCUAAGGUCCCAAACUCCAAAUCCGAACUCUACUAGUGUAUAUACCACGUAAAGUUGCAAACUUUACGUGCAUGCAAGGUCCUCUAAGGCUAUAAGUUCAAAACUAGGCUUCUUACAAGGUUCUUGUGCAUGGAAAGUGGCUAAACUGCAUAAAAGGAGCAACUUUAUGUUAAUGGGGACCUAAAGAGAUCCAGAUCUGGAACCAUACCCUUGUGAUAAGUCUAGAUCCAAGUUUGACUUCAUUUUGCACGAAGAAUGUCCAUUUACUUCCAAGGAAAGGGAUCUAAGCAACUAGAGAUAAAGGUCACGACUUUAUACCUUAGGAUGAUGGCCAAUAUGAAGUACAUGUUGGAUCUACUGUUCCUCUCCUAGCUCCUUCUUCUUCCAGCUCUAAAAUCCUUCACAAAUACCCCAAAAUUGUUCACAAAGGCUCUUUCUCUCACUCACGAGGGUGAAAGGUCGAUCUAAGGUUUUCUCUAGCUGAUAGAGUGAUAAGGGAGGCCACAAGACGCGGGUUAUGAUCUUUAAAUAUAUAGGGUGCAAACCUUAAAAUUAGGGUUUCUCUUUACACCUCCUACUCGCCAAUUCGGGGCUUCCGACUCGUCGAGUAGGUCUCGAUUUUGCGUCCUUAUAACAGUCACUACUCGAUGACUUGGGGCAUGUAACUCGCCGAGUCGAUGCACAAAAAGCUAAAACUUAAAUAAAUUAAGUAACAACUGGAACAUGUGUUACAAUGAGAUUCGUAUUGGGGUUCAUAAUGAACUAGAUGAGAUGAAGUUCUUGUUAACGCAUAAAGAGUAGUCGGAACAGGAAAAAAAGAAAAACAAUGAAGAUCCUUCAAAAUAGCAAAACAACAAUUAUAAUAAUAAUCGAGGUAGUGGAACAUGAGGAAGAGGAAGAGGUGGUUAUAACAACUUAAACAAAGGACGAGGUAGUGGUAUUGAACGAAACAAAGGUAUUAAUGACUUGUAUCAACCUCGUUAUAAAUCUAAAGUUCAAUACUAUAAUUGCAAAUAAAUUAGUGAUUACGUUGUUUAGUGCAAAAAUCCAUGAUGUGAGAGGAAUCAUGCCAACCUAACUAAGGAAAAAAACGAUCAUGUGCUGACACUUCUACUUAUAGCCCAAGUAAACGAUGAAGUUUAAUUGAAUGAGGAAAAACUAAAUCCCAAGCUAAGAUCCGUUGAAGAAACUCCACCCCAAUCAAAAGUGUGGUAUAUCGACAAUGGAGCAAGAAACCACAUGAUUGGUGUAAAAUGUAAUUUCGAACCCUUUAUCUAACUACUAGAGGUUAUUUUAAAUUUGGUGUUGUUUCUAGAGUUCGAGUGGAGGGAAGGGGUUCAAUAUUGGGAUAACUAGCUCAACAUGGUAAUCAAAUUAUAAUGCUUGGAGUGUAUAGAUGGAUUCAUAAUGCACAAGGAAAACUUUUGUUAAAAAUUCAACAAUCAAGCAAUUGUUUGUAGAAGGACAUACUUGAAGAAGAAGUUUCAAAGCGUUUUACUUGUAGAACAAGACGAAACAUCUUGGCUUUGGCACAAAUGAUUUGGACAUGUGAACUUCAAUGCAUUAAAACACUUGGCAUAUACAAGAAAGGUGGAAGGCUUACAAAAAAAUCGAAGUUCGUACUCGUUUGUGUGAAGCUUGCUUGAUUUCCAAGAAAGAUCGAAAAUUUUAUCCAAAGAAUACCAACUGUAGAACUAAAGAAUGACUAGAACACGUGCAUGGAGAUCCCUGUGGUCCGAUCGCAUUGCCAACACCAACCGGAAACAUGUAUUUUAUGUUACUUGUCAAUGAUGAUACACGAUUAAUGUGUGUUUGUAUGUUGAAAAACAAGGAUGAAACUUAAACUAUAUUUAAGAAGCUUCUUGCUGAAUUUCUCUGUAACUGAAUUCUUUUAGAGCAUAAGUUGAACUUAAAUCAUGUUUAAAAUCAAAAGUAUUUUUAACCGAUCAGAGUGGUGAAUUUUAUCGACACAAUUCGCUACAUAUUAUAAUGAAACCGAAUUGAAAUACCACUAUAGAAUACCUUAUUCCCCACAACAAAUUAGCAUUGAAAAAGAUGCAACCAAACUGUACGAAAGAUGGAAAGAAGCAAUCUAAAAGGAAUGAAUGUUCUGAUGGGUUUUAGUAUACUACAACAUCCUAUGGUCCACAUACAACCCUAAAUACCUUGGACCUAUGUUUUCACUAAUUAUACAUGCAAAGGUGUUUCCAAGGCAUUAUACCUAUAACUAGCAUGCAAUUUGACAUAAACAAUACAAGACACUAGUUAGGGUAACAUACCUUUGAUUUGGCUUAAAGUCUUGAUGUAUUUGGUGUUGCUUGAUAGACCUUGGCCUUUAAGAACUUAGUGGCCCAAGUGUUGCACCUCAAAUGGAAUCACAACUCACUUAGGGAAAAGGUAACUCUUAAGAGAAAAUUCCAUGCACCAAAAACACCUUCAAGUUUCUCUAAGAAAAGAAGCACACGUUUUGGUCAUGAACUAUCAUAUUUAUAUGUUGGAUUCCAAGGGUCAUGCAUAUAAACCAAAUCCAUAUCCAUGGGUAUUAUGAUCCAUGCUUCAUGUGGCCCAACUCUUUACGUAUCCAUACAUAAACUUGGUCCAACAUGGAUCAUAAGCCCAACACAUAUAAAUAUAACUAAUUACCAUAAUUUGUCCCCAUAUAUUUAAUUAGUCUCUUUUGAUCACUAAAUUAAUUCCAAAUGAAUUCUUGAUGAAUACUAAUUAAAACAUAUAAUUUCAUAUUAAUAUAUUAGAACUUAUAGCAUAUUAAUAAAUCAUAUAUAACCUUCUCUCAAGAAUCCAUCCUAACAAAUUGUCCUGGUGUUAUGCAACCCAAAUGGACCAUGCUACUUUCGGAUCGAAUAAAUACCAAUAAUAGUUAUGGGCUUAGACAUUUAGUCCAACAGUCUCCCACUUGUAUAAGUCUAAAACUAUUAUUUCGUAUGACUCCAAGAUCCCGACUAGCAAUCGUAGCUCUUAAAAGUCGUUGUCAAACUCUGACCUAGUCAAUGACAUGUCCAUUAGAUAAGGGAUCAUAUAUUCCGCCAUUCUAGAUAUCAUAUGGACUGAGACAUGGAUUAUAAUCAUUCUCUCUAAUCAUUUGUUGUUUCCCGAUUUCCGAUUUAUGACGACCGACUAAUUGAACAAAUCAAAUUAGUCCAUUCCCUGCCGAGCACUUACGUUUGUCAUCACUAAAUCAUCGACGGGCUCAUAGAUAUCGCUUUUAUCCCUCCAAGGGUAAAAGGAAUGGAUAAACUUCGACCCAAAUGUUUGCUUGUACUUACUCAUCAAAUUACACACAACGAUAUGUUUUAUAACAACCAAGUUACUAGUUGCGUUUACAUAUGUCAACGUGCAACCGAAGCGCAACUACAACUCACAUGUCUCCGUUUGAAGAAUAUAAGAUAUUAUCGUCUCAUGAUCACUAAUGAUAAAAUCCAUGAAGUGAGUCAAAUGAGCGUGGUUUAAAUCCAAUACUCGAAUCUCAUUCCAGGAGCACUCAUGAACACUACAACUAUGUCUAGGCCACCUAGAUAAACUACAGACCCAUUCAUCACAGUCUUGAUUUAUACCUACUUCCAAAGUAUGAUUGACUGCGGAGAGUUUGAAUAACCUAGUUAUUCGGGAAGUCAAAACAUGCAAAGUGAAACACAAGAAUAAUACUAAUCUUAUAUGGCCCCAAGCACCUUUGAGAGUAAAUAAAACACAUUUUAUUCAAACACCAUAUUGAUUACUCAUUAUGUAUUGUAUAAUGUUUCGAAUAAUCAAAUUUAUACUUAAAUCAAAAAAAUACAAGCAUGCACAUUAUGUUUGUCCAAACAAUAGUAUGCCAUACUCCAAGUAUACACAUUAUGUUUGUCUAUGAUCCUUAUUUUGUGAAAUAGACCAAUUGAACGUGAUUCCAAUGAUUCUCAUUUCACAAUCCCAAAUCUUUAUCGUAGAUGUAAGAAUUCCAAAUUCCAGCCAUUUACCGAAAUCUUUAAAAUUCUAAACUUAUAUACAUUUAUCCUCUUGUAAUGAAUAUGCACAAAGUCACAAAGACUUUUCAACAGACAUUACAGAGUAUUCCAUUGGAGAGAAAUUCCAUGGGAAUGAAGUCUCAAAUUCAAAGUACAACCCUUUGAACAUCCUUCUUGCAUUAAAUUUUCUAAUCUUACAUAGAUUUGAAGAACAACUUCCACCAAUGGAAACAUUUCCAGAUUCCCAUUUUACCUAUCACUUAUGAACAAGAGUUGCCUCUUUUUAGAAUAUGUCAAUAUGGUCCUUCCAAAAUUAACACUAUACUUCCAACUGUCCAUGAGCAACCAAUCUUUAGUAAACCUCAGAUUGUCCUCGACAAUUGCUUAAUCAUUUUAGUCAUAUCCAAUUCUAUUCCCUUUUCCCUCUUAAUUCCCUAGGCAUUUGGAAAAUUUAGAAAGGAUAAAUAUUAUAGCACAUGUAAUCGAUCCUAUACCCAAAGCAUAUGGGACAUGCUUCAUGAUGUCUCACAUAAAGACAUGAUCCUAGACCAGUCUUUUGCUACAAUAUUUUUUUUAUUUGCCAUGUUGUCAUAAUUCGACUAUGAAGAGGGAUUCCGUAAUCAUAAUAAAAUUUUGAGAACGCAAUAUAUAUAUAUAUAUAUAUAUAUNNNNNNNNNNNNNNNNNNNNNNNNNNNNNNNNNNNNNNNNNNNNNNNNNNNNNNNNNNNNNNNNNNNNNNNNNNNNNNNNNNNNNNNNNNNNNNNNNNNNNNNNNNNNNNNNNUAUAUAUAUAUAUAUAUCCUUGACUAAAGAUGAUUAAAAUCUCAAUUUAAGCUUUUAGAAUUGAAAUGAAGUAUAAUUUCCUCUCCCUUAAUUAUAGCAAAACAACUUUUCAAACCCUACAAAGUCACGGAUUGAGACUUUUGUUUUCUAUAAUUAACACUUAACAUAAUAAUCAUGCUCCCACUAACAUGAUAAUUAUUACCAUAACACUUAUGCUCCCACUACCUUUGACAUGUAUCCAGAAAUCAGUUGGGCUUCUAGAAACCAAUACUCUAUUGUCUUUCUUACCAAAGUUCAGAUUUCUGAUACAAGAUGCUUUGAUAAGACUUUAUCAAAAUCAUACCAUUUUCCUUAGAUAUCUCACAUUAAUGUCUAAACAAUUUUUAGAACAAUGAAAAGGGAUGUUGUAAUCAUAGUCUUAAUUGUUUAGACCUUUGCCAUUUCUCACAAGUCCAUGUUAGUGUGCCGGUUAACCACACACGCUCCACUAACGACUUUGAGAAUGCAAAUAUCACAAUUGCUAUCUACAUAAAAUCUUUUUAGUGAAAGCGUUUCCUCAUCAUCAUUUUCAUGAAUCGGAGAGAAACCUUAUGACACUUAGAUUUUAUGGUGUAUAUGUUCCCAUCCAUGUGAAUUUGUCAAAACCAUAAUUACAAGACAAGGUUAGUGACAAAUUCAAACCCAUAUGGACUGAACUUGUUCAAUCUUAAUUUCUUGCCACCUGGCAGCACAAGGGCCUACCAUUGCUUCCAAGUACUUAUGAAAACAAUUGAGAACUCAUAGAACUCACAUGCAUAGUCAACUUUAACUGGAGUGGGCACAAAAAUAAGAAUAUGUCAACACGAUAGGUUACAAACCGCAAGUCGUGUGCCAGUGAUAAACAACUUGUUUUAUUCUUGAUUAGUUCUUGAAACAUGCUCAAGAUCUUUAAGACUCCCACUGACCUCUUGACCUAUAAGAUUCUCUUUUCAAGAACCGUUCCUGGAUAAAGCAAAUAUUCAAGAGUUAGUGCAGAUUCUUAUCAAGACAAACACUUCACACAAUUGGCCUUAGUUGGUCUUUGUUUUAUCCAAAACAUCACAACUUACCAAUUUCAAAUGUACAAGAGUAAGAAAACAUUUUAUUCUACAUUUGACUAGUGUUAUAAACCUUUUUAAGACGGUGUCACUCAAGGUUAUAAUCUUGGAGCAUCACUCUAUGACUUGUUUUGGGACGAAGUAUGACUCAUCUUCUUGAUUUAACCAUUUCAACAAUUCAUGAUUCCUCUUCUUAGUCAUACAAAUGCACUAAGAUAACCAUAAAACAAGAUACUCAAGUACUCUCCCAUUUUUUCAGAUUGGAGAAACUUUUGUCUUUCUUCCUAAUUUGAUUCUUCUCAUCCGUCCUUCCUUACAUUGAAACUUUUCCAAUGUUUCAGAAUUACAUUUAAACUUGUAAGUAUAACCAUAUUUACUAAACUUUAGUAAAUCACGACGAAUAGUCUCAUCCGUCUUUGUGGUGGACCUGACCAACGCACAACCAAGUGUACCCGAUUUCCUAGUCCUUCACUUGAAUCACAUAUACAUGUGAUCAAGGAAUUAGUCUUAAUAUCCUAAAGAUGAAACUUCUCAUUCAGAAUACAAUACAAGUUGCAUGAUUCCAAGUUUCUAUCCAACUAAAACUUGGGUGAUGAGAAUCUUUCCUUAUUUGGUAAAUUAUGACACUACCACAAACAAAAGAAUCAAAUCCAUUUUUCCAAUAUUGCUAUCAAUGGAAUCAUAUAAACAACAAUUUUUCACAAAUGCUACUAUAAGGAUAUUUAAAAUAAAUAAAAAAAAAAAGAAACUUUUCCUCUAUUUAAAACUUGUAGAAAAACUUAUCCUUACAAUGCAAAUGAAUAUGAAAAACUUGUUGUUAUCUAUUCCUAAGCAAUAUAUCAUAACUCUUAAGCAACAACUCAAAAUUCUGAUCACCGAACCAUGCGAUCGAAAUCCAUCUUCGCGAUCAGAAUCAGCAUAUUCUUCAUUUAAGCUUCCUUUUUUUCUUUGAUUCUACAAAACAUCAAAAUGUGACCGAGUCACAUCAUGUAAUAAGAAUCUUCAAAUAGGAACUUAAUAGAGUUAGAUAGUAGACUUUACCCGAUGUAGAGUCAAACUUUUUAACUUUACCAUCGUUUUGAUCUUUCAGGUAAAUAGGGCAGCUUCGCAACCAAUGCCCUUCCUUUGGCAAUAGAAACAUAUGGACUCUUUGGUAAUGGUACAUGGGACUAUCUCAGACUUAGCCUUUCUCUUUACCAUUUGGUCAACUGAGUUGACUAUGGCCGAUCCUUUUCCAUUGGGAAGAGAAAGCUUUUUUGGAUUUCCAGUGUUACCAUUGUCAAUGUCCAUGGAAGUUUGGGAAGUUAAUCUUCCAAUCAAAUUUGCUUUACCAGUGCUCCAAAUCAUUGCUGAUUCAGCAGCACCAAACAAAUAGGUGAGAUCAUUAAGGGUCAUGUCAUGGUUUGUCAUAUAGUAGUCCUAAAGGAACUCACUAUGUGACUUAGAAAGUGAUUGAAGAACCUAGUAAACAACCAACUUCCUCAAGCCUUUGACACUCAACUCUCCCGACUUGUCAAUAUGUGACUUCAUCUUCAAGAUGUGAGCACAUAUAGACUUUGCUUUCUAAUAGGGCUUGAGUGACCUUGAACUUGUGGGUUAGGGAGAAUAAUUGGAGGAGGUGGAGGAAAUGAAGUAUCAUUUCCAUGAUCCAAUCGCAUGAUAUCAUCUUCAUUAGGAAAUCUUGUUCCAAGAGAUUUGGGAAGAUUAUAGUUGUCUGGAGCAGACAUCAACAAUGGGAGAUAUUCAAGUUAGUUGAUUUAAGUCCUUAAUAUAACUCCCAAUAUGAAAUAUUAAGGGUAGGACCCAACACAAUAUUUUAUAACUUGGAAGAGGGAUGCCGUAAUCCAAGCUAUGAAAUAUUAGAAGGUAGGUAAAUGAUGAUUCACCAAUUUCCACCAUGAAAAACAAAAUAAAUAUUAGAUUUUAAUUGGUUUGAAACUCCUAGGUCUUUUAAGAUUCAUUGAACUUUUCAAUGGCAUGUUUAAAUAUGGACUGUGCCCUCUCAAGUUUGUGACUGGGAUGCCAAGGAUCACAAACAAGGUGUGAAUAACCAUGAAAAUUAACUUGGUACCCUUAAUCUUUAUCACCUAAUCAAAGUGUCGGUUAUCCACACACGCUCCACCGAUCUAUGAUAAACAUUAAGUCACCCGUUUCCACUCUUACUAGUCCAUGUUAGUGUGUCAGUUACCUACACACGCUCCACAAACGACUUGGUAAGGUACAAUGUGUAAUUUCAUGGGUUAGCACAAAAUUCACAUUUUCCUAAGUAACUAAGAUUGGGAAUUUAUAAUGGUUUAGGUACUUAGUAUUUAUCAUUAUACUUUUAAUGUAAGGAGAAUUAUAGUCAUGUCAAACCUGUUCGACUAACUACCCUCCACUAGUCAAGGAAGCGGUGGGUGAGAGUGGACACCCAUCAAACUGCCAUUUUAUAGNCACCCAUUAAACUGCCAUUUUAUAGGCAGGAACCUUACCCCCCCCCUUCUAGACCGGCUUCGUGAAUGAGGCCUACUAAUGGUAAGACUGACUUUGUUCUUAUACAUAUAUAUAACUAUUAACUAUUAAUAUUAUAAAAGUAUAAGGGUUGAAUUUUAACCUUUCAAACUCUAAGGGUUAACUUGGAAUUAAAGUAUUCAUGGGGGGAAACUUUACAAAUUCGAAAACUCGAGGACAAGUUUUGAACACUUCAAAAACUUUUGGUUUCCAUAACUUAUGUGUUUAAAGUAGUUUUAGUGAACAAACUCUUCAAGUUCCAUAACUUGAGGAUAAGUUAUGGAAGACUUUAAAACAUUUUAAAAAAUGAGACUCUUUAUUUUCAUAACUUAUGGAAUUUUUUUUAUGAGUUUUAAAAUUCAUAAAUGAGUCUUUUCAUAUAACUUGAGGACAAAUUACAAAAACACAUUUUAUGAAAUACUUUUAGAUCAAUUUGGAUUGAAAACAAUUUAUCACACAAUUUUUCUAUUAAUCUAAACUGACUUCUAAGAACAAGAUAAUUCAAAUCAUCAAUCUUCAAGAAAUUAGCAUGAACAUAUAAACUAAUACAAAUCUUGAAAUUAUGACAAUUAUCUUUGAAAUUGGAUUAGCAUGAACAUUACCACAUCAAAAACAGAUUUAUAAGUUCAAAAACAUCUUAGGGUAAUGUUCCUUGUCCAAUUCCAACCAAAAAACUCGAAAAUAUGCUGUCAGGGGGUCCAAAUCAUCGAGUGCAUGAACCGACUCGAUGAGUUGGAUGAAUUUGUACAUGGACUCGUCGAGUCCCUAAAUGGACUCAGCGAGUCAGCUGUCCAAACAGCAAAAAAUUCGAUUUUUCAGCCUUUUUUUUAGCAAUUUGCAUCAAGUAUAAUUAAAAACAAGCCAUGGCUCUGAUACCACUGAUGGGUUUUAGUAUACUAUAACAUCCUAUGGUGCACAUAUGACCCUAAAUACCUUGAAUCUAUGUUUUCACUAAUUAUACAUGCAAAGGUGUUUCCAAGGCAUUAAACCUAUAACUAGCAUGCAAUUUGUCAUAAACAAUACAAUAUACUAGUUAGGGUAACAUACAUUUGAUUUGGCUUGAAGUCUUAAUAUAUUUGGUGUUGCUUGAUAGCCUUUGGGCUUUAAGAACUUACUGGCCCAAGUGUUGCACCUCAAAUGGAAUCACAAAUCACCUAGGACAAAGGUAACUCUUGAGAGAGAAUUCAAUGCACCAAAACACCUUCAAGUUUCUCUAAGAAAAUAAGCAUACAUUUUGGUCUUGAACUAUCAUACUUUAUAUAUUGGAUUCCAAGGGUCAUGGAUAUAACCCAAAUCCAUAUCCAUGUGUAUUAUGAUCCAUGGUUCAUGUUACCCAACUCUUUACGUAUCCAUACAUAAACUUGGUCCAACAUGGAUCAUAAGCCCAACACAUAUAAAUAUAACUAAUUACCAUAAUUAGUCCCCAUAGAUUUAAUUAGUCUCUUUUGAUCACUAAAUUAAUUCCAAAUUAAUUCUUGAUCAAUACUAAUUAAAACAUAUGAUUUCAUAUUAAUAUAUUAGAACUUAUAAUAUAUUAAUAAAUCAUAUAUAACCUUCUCUCAAGAAUCCAUCCUAACAAAUUGUCCUGGUGUUAUGCAACCCAAAUGGACCAAGCUACUCUCGGGUCGAAUACAUAACAAUAAUAGUUGUGGACUUAGACAUCUAAUCCAACAUGUUUGAGAAGUCCUAUGAGAUGAAGUCUUAAGUCACUCAGUCUACAUCCUAAAUCAAAUAACCAUAAAAACAUUUAAAGCAUCAACACCUUAUGAGCUAUAGACAGAUCGGAAGCCAAACAUUAAUCAUAUGAGUGUUUUUGGUUUUGUUGGUUAUAUAAAAAUAGUAGAAAUACAUCUAAAAAAAGUCAAUUAUAGAAGUAAGAAGCUAGUACACUUGGGAGUCAAAAAGGUACAAAAGGUUAUCCGCUACUUGAUCCAGAAACUUGAGAAAUUCGACUUGGAAGAGAUGUGAUUUUUGAAGGAGAUACUAAGUGGAUUUAGGGACCUAAAACAAAGUUUAACUCCAUGACAAACAGAACCUUCACCUGUGAUAUCAUGCUAGAUAUCAAAGCUGAACAAGAAUAAUAUAUCCAUCCAAAUUUCUAAGAAGAAUAAACACCAUAAGGUAGCCCGAUUACACCUUGGUCCUCACUUGAUAGUUCAUCCGAAAUUGAAGGUCCCCAAAUAUAUGGUAGUUUGGCUGAUUUUUAUGAAGUGAUGAACUUAUGUUUCCACAAGAUGAAGAGCUGGUAAAUUUCUCGAGUGCAUGUGAACGUGAAGAUUGGAUGGAAGCUAUGCAAAGUGGGCUAAGUACAAUUAAGAAGAAUAAAGCACGGAGUCUAGACGAGAAGAAUAAAACACAUUGGUGUUAAACAGGUUUAUAAAAUAAAAGCGAGAUCCAGACGAUUUUUUUUUAUGUACAAAGCAAGGUUGGUUGCAAAAGUAUACGUGCAAAAACAGGGAGUAAAUUUUGAUGAAGUGUUUGCACCCACAGCCCAGAUGGAAACCAUAUGUAUCAUUGUUGUACUUGUAGCCAAAAAAAGGUGGUUGAUACAUAAUCUUGACAUAAAAUUAGCCUUUUUAUAUGGGAAUUUGGUAGAAGAAAUUUAUAUCACACAACCGGGAGGCUUCGUAAAGAAAAACAAGACAAAACAAGUGUAUAAAUUUGCAAAAGCAUUCUACAGGUUACGCCAAGCUCCAUGAGCAUGGAAUUGUCGCUUGGACAAGUAUCUAAAGGGAAUUAGUUUUAAAAUAUGCCCACUAGAGUAUGCUUUCUACACAAGGAUAAAGGAUGGAAACAUAUUAAUAGUUAGUGUCUAAGUCAGUGUUGCAGAAAUCGGCCUUGGCGGCCGAUUAAUCGUUUGGCAGCCUUAAACCGAUUACGAUUAGGGUGCUUGGCGGAAAUUGGUCAAAAUCGGUCAGAGUCGUCCUUGGCGGUCAUAUGUGGGAAUUUAUUAAAAAAUUCAAAAAAAAUUAAUAUUCAAAUAUUACACCAAAAUUUUAAAUUUUUAAAAUUUUAAGCUUUCAAAAUUUAAAAUAUUAAACUAAAACUUUUUAAAUUUUAAAAUUUGAAAUUUUCAAAUACUUAGUUUUUUAGGGAAUAUGAAUUUUUUGAAUGAUUUUAUUAAUAAUUAAGGGUCUCCAAUUAAUCUCCAAUUAAUCCCCGCCUAGUCUGAUUAAUUGCUUAUCGUCAGUCGACCGCCGAGCUACCACCGAGCGAUUUUUACAACCCUGGUCUAAGUCAAUGAUCUCAUCAUCACCGCGGCUCACAAUGAUUAAGUAAAAAGUUACUAACAAUAAAUGAGCAGGGAGUCUAAAAUGAGCGACACUGGGAUGUUAUACUAUUGUCUAGGCAUCGAAGAACACCAACAUAAUGAAGGUCUUACACUAAAACAAUCAGCCUAUGCAACAAUAGUACUCAAGAAAGUUGGAAUGUUCCACUGCAAUGCAUGUAGGUAUCUCAUGGAACCAAAGUUAUAGUUAACUAAAGAAGAACAAAGUGAGUUUGUGGAUCCUACUUCAUAUCGAAGCAUUGUAGGAGGCCUUAAAUACAUGAAAAACACUCGACCACUUAUAUAGCUCAUUUGGUAGGUAUCAUGAGUCGAUUCAUGGAAGGUCAACUAAGCAACAUCAACAAGCUAUAAAACAUACACUAAGGUAUAUUAAAGGAACUAUUCAUUAUGACUUGAAAUACACAAAUGAAGAAAUAGAAAAUGUUGUAACUGGGUUCAUUGAGAGUGAUCUAACAAAAGAUGUGAAUGACAGACGAAGGACUACUAGAAUGACAUUCUACUUAAAUUAGAACCUUGUCACAUGGAACUCACAAAAAGAUAAGUGUGUUCCAUUAUCUUCGUGUGAAGCACAGUUCAUGGUAGAAACAAACACAACAUGUCAAGGGAUAUGGAUCUAUCGAUUACAAAAAACAGUAAUUCCAAUAUCGUGCUACUGGUGGACAACAAAUCAACUUUGGAUUUGAUGAAAAAUCUAGUUUUUCAUGGAAGGAGUAAACACAUUGACACUCGGUUUCACUUUAUUCAUGAUUGUGUUGAAACAGGUGAUGUAGUUGUAAGACAUGUGGACACAAAUGAACAAAUAACUGAUAUCUUGAAAAUUUUAAUGGGAAUAGUCAAGUUUGAAAGCAUGAGAAAAUUGGCUGGAGUUGAAGAGAUAAAAGCUUAUGAAUUACAUGGGAGAAUAUAGGUGUAAUUGAAAAUAAGCUUGAAAGUUAAGUAGUAAAGUUCUUCUUCUCUCUUUUUCANUAUAUAUAUAUAUUUCUCCUAGUAUGCUUUUUUCUUCUUGAUACUAUUUUUUUCGUGUUAAUUCAUAACAACAAAUUUAAGAGAUGAAACUAUCAUUGUUUAAAGGGCUAAACCAAUAGACUUAGUUUAGUAAGCGAUAUACUGGUGAUAUAUUUUUAACUUUGUGUGCUAGUUGAAAGGGUAUAUGUUAGUUGAAAAAAUAAUUGAUAACUGAAAAGCUAGUUGCUAGCUUGUAUGUUAGUUGAUAGAAAAAAAAUAAGAUUUGUUAAAAACUAGCUGAUUAACUAGCUGGAAGAUAUAAAAUGACGCAAAAUUACAUUUAGGAUAAUUUUCUAAAUGAUUUUCCUAUAAUUAAUUAAAGGUAUACUUGGAAUAUUUAAAAUAAAUCUUGAAAAUCUAGUCCAAGUGGCUUUUAAAAAAGCUAGCUUAUAAGCUAAUUUUUUGCUUGCCAAACAUGAUGGUUUCAAAAGGCUUGAAAAUAAGCUAGUUUAUUAGCUAGUUGUGAUGCGUCAAACAUAAAUUUAAUGCAAAAAAUCAACAAACAGACGUUUUCCUACGUCAUACCUUUCUCAAAUAAUUUUUCAAAAAUCAUAUAUCCAAAUAAUGCUUUAACUCGUGAGUCCCCGAACACAUGCAACAGGAAGUCAAAAUAUUUUGUGGGGUCUUUUUGAUUCCAAAGAUUAUUCACAUUAUUGGUAAAGUUACAAGCUAAAUGAAUAGAGCUUUUUCAUAUUUAAUAUUAUUUAAUUCGUUAGCUUCAUAUCGUCCAUAACAGGAGCUCAUUAAAGAGUUAUUUGAGCGAAAUCAAGUUUAGCUAAAUCAAAAUAUCUAUUGUGAGAACUUUUUCAUCCCAAAACCUUAAUUUUCAAUCUCAUAGGGCUUUUCACAAUUCUAAUUUUAUUAAUUUCAUUUUCAUAACUUUUAUUUUAUUUUAGUAGGACCUAUAAAUAAGUUGUAUAUGAAAAAAUUUACUACAGCUUAGAUAUAUUAAAAUUUUCAUUUAUUAAGUUGGCAACAAAAAGAUUAGUGAAAAAACUUUGAAAAAGUUUUCUAUUAAUGUAGAUGAUACUGAUAGCACCAAAAAAACGUUUGUUAGAAAGAUUUCGUACAAUGGACAUUUAUUUAAGCUUUAAAGUUUAAUAAUAUGGAGAUGAUGUGUUUAUUAUAACAACACCUUACAAGUUACAUCAUGAACAAUUGGCAGUGGUGACACUGAUGGAAUGAUCCCGGUAACAUCCUCAAGGUACUCUGUGAAUAAGUUAAAGCUUCCAAUAGAGACUGCUUGGAGACCAUGGUACUAUAAUGGAGAGGUAACAAUAUUUGAAAUGUUAAUCGCAUUGAAUAACAAUAUAGGAGUAGAAAAUUUUAAAUUUAAGAUAUUGAUGUUAAAAAAUGUGAUAGGUGGGAGGAUAUGUGGUAGGCUACAAAGGAGUUUUACUUACCACAGUAAGGGGCGCAGGGCAUGCAGUCCCUAGCUACCAGCCAGAAAGAGCAUUGUUGAUGAUUUCAUCAUUCCUUCAUGGUAAACUACCGCCAUCAUUGACUAAAUAAUCAUCGUCAGUCAUUUAUCGGAUGAAAAAACAAGUUAUAAGCAAGUGGUAUCCAAUCGUAUUCGAAAUAUAACAAGGUCAUUUAGAGCAUGGAAAGUUUAUAUACAAUGACAAAUAUAUGUGCUUAAUAACUUUCUAUGACUUUAAAAUAAACAAAAUGGAAAGAAAUUUGCCAAUACCAUCGGGCCUUCAGGGCCAACCUCUUUUAUUUCAUUGCAAUGAAAAUAACCAUACUAUUCCCUACUUGAUUCCUGUAGGAAAAUUGAUUUUAACCAAUUUCCAAAAAUGGGGUGUUCGUGAUUUUAGGCAUGAAUUUUGAACCAUAAAUGUUAUCAAACUGUAAAAAUGAUUAUAUUCUUGUGUUUUCCUCUAUGAUACAUUCGCUUUCAUAUAUCACACGUCCAAAAUGGAUUUAAGACAAAUGAUAAAUUGUAUGUUAAAGUGAGGUGCUUGGAAGAAAUUAACAACGGGGUUCAAUGUGUUUUAUUCCAUCCCAUAUGCAUGAGAGUUUAAAGAGGAAUAUAGUUUAGAACUUUAAAGGUGUCUUAUCAUUUUAAGUCAACUAACACAAAGACUCUCUCUUGCGUACGAAUGGGGUGGGAUGCAAAUGAAAACUAAAUUGGCUUGGGGUCACUAAACUCGUAUGUGAGCGUGUAACCACAAACUCCAAACCCAAUAAUGAGCGAAUUCCUUUUAAGGAAAUUAUGUUAAGGACAGGCCUCAUCAACAAUUUUAUGUUUUUCUUUGUUCGUAUAUUUUUAUGUUAUAUUUUUCUAACAAUUUCUUUGUAUCAUACACUAGCUAAUAAAUCUAAAACACAUAAAAAAUGUUACGUUCACAUGUGAUAAACUAUAUGAAAAAACCCAACAUAUACCUUCUGGAAAUAAUGUCACUAGCUGUAGUGACCAUAACCCAUGAAAAUCCAUUCUUAUAGGUAAAACUUAUCAAUAUAUGGUAGGGAUACUGAGAGUUGUAUCAAUCUUACUUUUCAUAACUAUCACCAAUAAUGUAGGUAUAGUUACUCACUUUUUUUACUAUGACUAUUAUACACCUUUUACUAUUGAUAAUAUUCGUAUAUUGUGACUAUUAUCUACAUUUAAUGACUUACAAGGAAUUAAAUGAUGAUCACAAUAUAAUUAUAUUGACAUGUUUUUCUUUUAUUAUGACUAUUGAGAACUUGUAGUCACUUGUUCAAUAUUUAAUCAUCAGCAUAAAAUAGUUAUUGUGACUUGUAUUUUUAUAUACAGUGAAGUGUUUAUAUUUAGUUGUUGGAUUAGGUGUCUAAGCUAAUAACAAAAUUAUUAUAAUCUUGAAUUAUAGCAAAAUCUUUUUAGGUUGCCCUCAAACCUAUUAAUUGAUUGAAAUGCUUUUUGGAGAGAGAAAUAGACUGAUUUAUUAAUUUAUUAUAUGAUUAAUAAAUUAAUUAGAAAUCAAAAUAAAUAAUUUAUUAAUAUAUUAUGAUAAUAAUAUAUUAAUUAGAAAUAGUAUUUUUUUAAUUAAAAAUUAGUUAGAUUAAUUUUGGGAUUAAUUGGAUUAAUUAAAAGUAGAAGAACUAAAGGUGACAAUGUUUAGUAGUUGAACAUUGGCCAAUUCCAGAACCUUCCAUAGGGGGGAAGGUUCCAAAGGAGUUGUAGAGGGUUUCUUGAGUUUUUCUUGAGCUCUAAGGGAACUUGGAUGCCUUAGCAGGAGAGCAAAAUGAUUAGGGUUAUCUAAAAGGAAACUAUAUUAUCCUUAGUCUCCUUAUCACCUAUAUAAACCCCAUUAGGUUAUGAUUUUUGAAAUUCACCUCAUUCCAAAGAGAAUUUUGUAAAUUCCCUUCCUCCGCCUAUCUCGUCUUUAGCCUCCAAUUUUGCUAGGGUUUGGGUAUGAGCCAUUAGAGGCACGAGACUUCUGUUGCUUUCUUUCUGAGGACCAACAAGGAAGGAUUACUAGUUUAUUUGCUAUAAUAAAAUAAGAUAUGAAUUUUAUAAUAACCAUUUACUAAUUUUGAAAAUAGCAACAUACUUUCAGGGUUCUUGAUGUUCAAUAGUUGUUUGCAAAUCAUGGUGAGAACAUAGAUCCUUUAGGUUGCAUGUGAACUUAGGGUUUAUGUUUCUCCACCAAAUAUAGAAUUUUUGUAACAUAUAAAAUUGAUCAGUGGUAUCAGAGACAUUGCUCUGAUUGAUCUUGCACAAAGUUGAAUAGAUUAAAAUUAGGGUUUAUAGAAACCAAACCCUACGGAGUCAAUUUUUGAAAAUCCCUAGGAUUGUUGAAACCUUAGCGUCCAUCCUCAUAUUUUCGAUUUUAGCAAGGGUUUUAGAAACCCUAACCUCAUUUCCCCAUUUUUUGAAAUUGAGGUGUCCCUUUAGGGUUUACCUUGCUUCCUUAUUUUGUUAUUUUAAAAGCUUAAAAUUGGAAAAAUUAAAAUCUGGUAAACCCUAGCAUAUAUUUGAAAAUUAGAAGGUUUUGGAUUAGGAUUCAAUUUGAAUUAUUUUAUUAACUGGUUAAUAGUAAAUAAUUAUUUAAUGCAUAAAUGAUUUAAUUAAUUGGUUAAUUAAAAAAUAAAGAUAAAUCAUAAUUUGUUCAACAUUAAUUAAUUAAAAAGAUUUAAUUUAGAUAAUUAAUAUUUAAACCUAGUAAAUACACCAUAUAUAUAUUAUUAAAGGUUUAAUAGAUUGUAUGUAUAAGAAAGGUCAGUCAAAUCGCUAUUACGCAUCAUUCACAAAACCAUGCUAUAAAGAGGGUAUAAGGAAGUGACCUAUAAAAUGGUCGUUGAAUGAGUGUCAACUCUCACUCACCGUUCUCCUAUACGGUGGAGGGUCGUUAGCCGAACAAAUUAGAUAAGACAUAAUCUCAUUAUUAAUUAUAAUGAUAUAAUGUAACUAACUAUUUUUAAAAUCCCACUCUUAGUUACUCUACGAAAAAUGUGAAAUGUAUGCUAACCCAUGAAAAUGCACAUUAUGAUUUAUAUAUCAUUAGUGGAGCGUGUGUGGUUAACUGGCACACUGAUAGAGACUAUAAAGAGAUAUUAUGGACAUCUUAAAAAUUAACAUUGUUGAUGGAUCAUGUGUGGUUAACCGAAACAUCAAUGUGAGAUUGUAAAUAACUUUCAUGGUUGUGAAGCGGGUUUGAAUGAUUAUUCGCAUCUUGUUUGUGAUCAUUGGCAUCCUAGUCACAAAAGUUAGAGCAUAAUCUGAGAUUAAACAUGUCAUUGAUAAGAAUUAAUGAAUCUUGAAAGGUCUAGGAGUUUCAUAAGAUUGGAAUUGGUAAAAGGCUUACGUACCUAAAAUAGAUUCUAAUGUGAUUAUGUAAUCCCUCUUCAAAGUUCGAAUCGAAAAUAUAGACCCUAGCCUUAAUUUAAUUUAUGGGUUAAUAAUUAAGGAUUAAAAUGAAAUAACUCAAAUUCUCCUUUUUCUCCUAUUUUUAAAAUAUCAUAUAAAGAUGGAAAUGGUCUUCCUCAUUCUUAAAGAAAUAGUUUUCCAUCAGAGAUGCUCUUCCAAUUUGAAGUCAAUGUGAAAUUGGUUUUCCUUCCUUAGGAAAUGAUAGAACUAGAAAUCAUCUUUCUUCCACCUCCUCCUUAUGUGACUCUCCCAACGUCAUGUUUUCCUCAAUUUCAAAAAUAUGAGACUACUUAAUCCCUAUUGGCAUAUAAACAUCAACAUGGAAACUUUGUUUGUACACAUGUACUGAAAAGAAAUCGUACAUUGACAAGUUGGAUAAAAUGGGUGUUGUUUCCAAGGGAGCAAGCCAUUGAAUAGGUUCUUUUUUUCCUUCCAAAGUCAUAUGACUAGUCCUUCGAGAACAUUUAUAUGAGGAGUAUUAAUGUGACCCUAAUUGAUCUAACCCAAAUGUUGAUUGUUGUUGAAGCAAAAAAGCUUAAGAGCAUAUCUAAUGCAUAAAGGCUUAUUAGUUCCAAUUCCAAGGUUUUCAUGGACUUGACAAUGGUGAAAAUGGUGGUCCAGAAAAGAUCUCUCUUCCCAAUGGAAAGGGGUCGUCCAAGAUGAAACUGUUUGAUCGUAUGGUAAAGAGAAAAGCUAGUUCUAGGAUUAUUCCAUGUGUUGACCUCAAAUAGCCCAUUUGUUUCUGCUGUCAAUUAAAGGGGCAUUAGAAAUGAAGCUACCUAAAAUACCUAAAGGAUCUUAAAGAUAGUAAAGUCAAUUUGCAUGACUCUACUUCAGGUACAUCAAUUAUCUGGCUCCAAUGUUUUAUAAGUUCUAAUUCAAAGACUCUUAAUACAUGAUGUGAUGAUCACAUUUGAUGGUAUUAAAGGAGCCAAGUGAAGAAAGAAGCUUAAGCCAGGAGAGCAAAAUCUGAUCAUGAGAAAUGGACUUUGGUCACAUGGUUCGAUGAUCAAAAUUUGGAGCUACUACUAAGGAGUCGUGACAAUUUAAUAUAUUUUUAUUACUCUUCAAAGAUAUCUAGAAAUAUGCUUUUCAUUUUAUGUAUCCGUUUAUUUUCAAUAAAAGUGAAAAUUUGGUUUAUAUGGUUGCCUUAUUUAUGUAUUUCCUUAUGAUGAAAUUUAUGAAAGUGUUGGUUACAUUUCUAAUGAUAGAAAUAUUAAUUAUGGAUUUUAUUCUUAUUAUAUCGCUUGUGGUACUGUCAUAAUUUACCAAGUAAAAAAAAAUCUCAUCACCAACUUGACAUAUACCUGGUACUGUACAAGUCGUAGUGUACGAGAAUCUUGUUCAUUAGACAAUUAUGACUAAUUCAUUGCUCAUAGGUUUAAGUGAGUCAAGUGCAGGGCUAAUGGAUCUAGUAUAUGUUGAUUUGUACUAUUCAGAUCCACCAUAAUGGACGAUAACCAUAUUCAACAUGAUUUACUAAUGUGUCUGUAAAUAUGGUUGUGUUUAUAAGAUUAACCAUAAUUCUGAUACUAUGAAAAGAUUCAAAUAGUAGCAGAAUGAAUAACAAGAAUAUAUUAGUCUAAAACUUGGAUAUCUUGUAUGUUCCUUAUUGCCCUUUUAUUUUGAAAAUGUUACAUUUUAUCCCUUGGAGUAGUAUGCGGGGCCUACCACAUAGUACACAUAGUGUACUUGCUGAAUAGCUAGUACACGGGGCAUACCACAUGGUACACUUAGCGUACUAAGUGAGAUGGCAGUCGGGAUUGCGGGGCCUCGUACGUUGGGCAUACGAGGGUUACGCUUAGCGUACUUGGUGUUUAUGAAACCCUAAUUUGAGGGUGUUGUACCCUAUUUAAGGACCUCAAGUCCCUAGGGCUGGCCUCUUUACCAGACCCCAAACUUCCUAAAACCUUAAAUCAAUGCUUAAUCCUUCUUUUUGGUGUUCUUGAGCUCUUGAGAAGAUUUUGGUGGUUAUUUUGCCCUUUGUGAAGGAAGUAAAGAAGAUAGAAGGUGUUUUGCUUGGUGAGGAGUCUAUAGAUGUAGAAUCUUCACCCUUUUUGCAAGACUUUGGAGUUAUCAAGCUCAUACCUUGGCUUUUAGACGCUUAGAUCUCUUUAUGACUUGAUUUAUUAUGCUUUUUGUCCCUUUUUGGGUUGGUUGUUGAGUUUAGGUGUUUGAAGGACUUAUUCUUUUACAUCUCAGCUUAUUAGGAAUUCCUUAAGCAUAAAGGUGCCAACUAUAUGGAGUAAUGGGUCUUAUGCAUGCCUUAAGUCAUCUAUUAAUCCCUUUUAAGCAUAAGAGCUUCAUUUAACCAUGCAUGAAUGUCACACCCCCGAACCAGACGGCGGAAACGUCCGGGGGCUGUUGUGACUCAAUUGAAUACCAUAACAUUGAAUAUAUAUGAAACAUAACAACAUUCGUCACCAUGCAUUAAUAUAGUACAACCAGUAGCGUUUACAUGAAAUACAUUGUUUAAACAUUACAUUCCCAAAAAUAAAUUGUUCGACUCGUACAUAAAUAAACUGCAAGCCAUCACUGAAUAUGAUUUCCUUUGAUUCACUGGUUCCCUGAGAAUACAAGUAUGUUGAAAAACGUCAACAUAUGAAAUGUUGGUGAGUUCAUAAGUAGUGUUUUGAAAUCCAAUGUUUCGUAUUGUUUGAAAAACCACCAGAAAAUCUGAUAUUUUCUGAAAACAGUAUAGUCAAAAAGAUGUGAAGAUCCAUAGGUAUGCUUGUUUGUUUCUAUACUUAAAAAAAAAUUGUUCGUUAAAAUUGUAUGCAUUUCGAAUCCGAUAUGUAUUGAGAAACCUAGGAAAACCCGAUGUUUUCCUAAUCCUUUGAGUUCCAUGAAGUUGCGUUGAAACCAUUGCAAAAAUAGUAGUCUCAUUCCCAGGCGACGUUGGAUUAUUUUUGAGCAUGAUUAAUUACUACAAACCCGCAUUACACAAACGCCCAGUUUAUAGCAAUACUAACGAUCCCGAAGGCGUCGUCCGUACUAAUCACGUUAUCCAGCCGCCCUGACUACGUGUCGUCCCACAUCCGAAGAGAAAGAGGACACGAAGACCUCUAUGACUCUAUUAGCCGGUUGGGGAUAAAAUGUGUACGAGGGGUCCCCGACCCGCCUCGCAAAAAAAUGUAGACUUUACUAGCAAUACCAAAGGACCCUUGGGGACCAGUGGUAUACAAGCCAUUGAAAGUCCCUCUACGUUGUGCCAAGUCGGUGAAACCCAACACUUCGUAGAAAAAAAAUGUCUUCGGGCCUUAAGAUCAGGUCAUUGGGCUAGCUAGGCCCAACAAACAAGAUUUUACACUUUUGGGGCCCAAAGAUGGUGCGUAGACGUCUGUGCACACUCGUAUGUAAGUUGAGUUCCCAAACGUUAUUUGUAUGUAUCGUAGUGUCGCCAUGUUAGUAGUUUCGGAUUUUCAUUGGUUCGAGACCGAACCAAUUCGUUUUACAACGAUUUUGGUAUUGUAGUGUAUUGUAUUUCGUCGAUAGUCGCGGUACCAUUGUUUGAUCAAAUUGCAUGUAUUGAAUUAGCCUUGAAAGUUUUCUGUUUUCAGCCCCUCAUUGUUUGUAAAAUUUACUUUUUCAACCCUUUAGUUAAAUACUUUCCGGUUUGGUCCUUAAAUCAAUUUUCUUGACAUUUUAACACCAAAAAUUAUUGAAAUUAAUAUUUUUCAACAUAUUUUUCAAUGAAAACAGUUUAAGUCCCUGAAAAUGUAGUUUUCUCGGUUAUAACCCUUCUUUUUCGCAACUUUGACAAUUUUGGCCCAAAUUGUAAAAUUUUUGCAACUUUGGUCCUUUUUAAAUUUAAAAAGCAUUUUAAACCUUUAAAAAGGACUUGGAACACUUAUAGUCCACUGUUUUACAGAAAAAUACAGUUUUGGCCCUCCAAAACAGAAAAUCUCGCAUAAUGGGCCUCAUUGGGCCGAAAAUGUCAUUUUUAGCCCAUUAAGCUUGAAAUUUAUGUUUUUAAUCCUCUAAAUGAGUAAAUUUCCAGAAAUUGUUUUAUUGAAACUGUUUUGGCACACCUCAUCCAUCAGAAUUCGUGAUAUGUCAAUUUGGACCCUUAAUUUUGUAUUUUUCACAUUUUAGGCCCAAAAUUUGUGUUUUUAGCCCAAAGAAAAUUGUUACUAAACUACUUAGCCAUUUUUCUUGAAACACUUUGUAUGUAGAAAUAUAUUUGAUGCAAAAAUCAUUUAACAUAAGAUAUAUCUCGGUUUUGAGGGGUUUUAUGGCUAGAUCCAACAUUUUAGCACACAAAAGCAUACAUGUAAGCAUGGAAAUCAUACAAGGCAUACAAAACACAUAUAGAUCUACACUUUCACUUGUAUUCCCCCCCCCCCACAAAACUCAUAAAAACAGAAAAUAGGGGGUAUGAAGCUCACCUUGUUUGAAGCUUUCGGUUUUUGAGGAAAAGAUGGAAGAAAGAUGAAGUGAUUUUUGGCCUUAGCACCCUUUGAUGAUGAUCUUGAGUUUGAGAUGGUUCUAGGAUGCAAGAUCACGAUUUUUGCAUAGAUUAGGAAAGGAUUUUGAUAAAACAAAGAAUUUAAUUCAUAGAUCCAAGCAUAAUCUUACCUUAGAUGAAGAAUUUUGUGGAAAUUUCCUCUUGAAUGCUUCCUAAAACUCGAGAUUUUUGAGUGGAGAGGGAGGGAUGUUCUUGAGUGAUCUAGAGAGAAUUUGUGAGAGAUUUGUGAAUGUGUGUGUGUGUGUUUCGGCCGAGAGUGAGAGAGAGGAGAGAAGAGAAGUGAUUUUGAAGUGAUGUGCAUGGAGGUAUGUGAGAUAUUUUGCAUGGAAGUCCUAUGGAUAACAAUGAUGUGGCACAACAAGUCAAUUCUUCCAUCCUCUUGGGCUUGUGCAUUUGGGCCGAGAAUUUGGAAAGAAAAGGAAAAAAAUUUGGGCCUUUGCCCCUAAGCCCAAUAUUAGUGUUAAUUUGGGUGAAUUUUCUCAUAAAAGAAUAUAGUAUGAUUUUUUUCCAUUUUUGUUGAACUAGUUUAGGGUAUUCAUGGAUCAAAUCUUUCAAUUCAUUUCAUUCUAGGCCCAACAUGGCCCAAAAUGUUGAAAUAAAUUAGUGUGGGUCCAAUUAGAGCCCAAUUAGGGUUCUAAGCCCUUGGUAGUCAAAUUGGAAGCUUAUUGGUCCAUUUGGAUCCAAUAAGGAAGUUCUAGUCCAAGGUGUACCUAAACAAGAACUUCUAGGGUUUCCAAUUGUUUGAUGACUAUUUGUGAUAAUUGUAUGGUGUGUUUGAUUGAAAAUUUUGAAGUCAUAAUCAUAGGUGUUACACAUGUUCCUAAGCUUUUGAUUCACAUUAGCUUGAGUGUAUGGAUUACAUGACACAAAAUUUCUAGUUGUGACAAUGAACGUAAAGUUAGCAACUCUAUGUGAUAAUCCAGCUCAACGAAGUCAGAUCUAUGUUUUGGAGCAACGUCUUAAUGGAUUAAGGGUUAAAAUUGAGAUUUUGCUGAAUGGGUGGGUAUGUUCGGCAUACAAGCAGGUAUGCUUAGCAUACAAGCCCUCAAGCGAGUACGCUGCAUGUACAUCUGACUACGCUCCGCGUCCUACAUCUGAUGGACUUCGCAUUUUGGGCUUUGAGUUUGGGUCAUCCUUUUGGGCUUGGAUGCAUAGGGCCUUUUUCUUCUAUCUAAAUGCAAGUGUUUCUGAUUAGGAAAAUUAGUCGGCCUUGGGGUAAAGCACAUGUAAGGGAUUUGGCCCGAUUUGGAAAUUUGGGUCAUGUAUGGGCCUUGGAUGAUCACUUGGUUUUGGGCCUUUAAGAUUUUAGGUUUGGACUUAUUUUUAGACCAAACUAGGUAAGGGGAAAAAAUACUCUUUUUACCCUAUGUAUGGAUUGAUAGUAAUAGUUUGGAAUCCAAAGGUUUAAUUGUGUGUUAUUUGAUAUUGAUAGCUCGGGGAUUUGUCGGAUCAGCAGCCAUGGAUUAUCAGUAUGAUUAGGCAGUGCGAGAUGAGUUUCUUCACUGUGCAUAGCGGGUCGAAUGCAUCAAUGCCGGCCCAUGAUUAUGCUAUGUUAGGGUACUAGAUGUCUGCAUGACCCUUUCAUGUGUUGUGUACUCAUAUGCUUACUGGGUGGAGCCCGAUGCUAGGCAGGGCCUGAUGACCAUUAUGUAAGCUAUGUAUCUUUGUGAUUAUUGCAUGUGUACUUGUUUAUUUGAUAUAUGUUAUAUGUAUGUUGGGCAGGGCCCAAUCUGUAUAUCGAUCGGGGCUCGAUGUCAGGCGAGACCCAUUAUGUGUUUAUUAUGUAUGGUAUGUGGUAUUUUGGAGAACUCACUCAGCUUUGUUCUUACGGUUUUUAGUUUAUCUUUCAAAUACUUGCAGUUCCAAAAGGAAGGGCUCAAGAUGAUUGCAGGGCACACACUACCUCGUUCCGCGUUUUCUUGGUUUACUCUGAUAUGUCAUGAUGAUUGAUACAUUUGUUUAUCUUGAUUUGUAUGAAAAUGUUUUGGAAUAUUGGUUUUAUUAAUUUUUUUUAAAAAAAUGAAAUUUUUAGGUCUUAUUUUUGGGAUGUUUCAAGUUGGUAUUAGAGUCUUAGUUUGAGGGAUUCGGACAUACUCUCUGGGGUGUCUGAACUCAAGUUGAGGAUUUGGUAAAGUUUUUUCAAAAAGAAAUAUAUUUUUAAGAAAAUUGUUAUUCUAAGAAAAGAAAGGGUGUGGUGCAUGCAAUCAGCCGAGCUCAACUAAGUUUUCCCAAAAUACUUAUACAUGUUAUCUUAUAUAAUUUGAUCUUGGAAUCUGUGAAUCACAUGCUAGUUACAGCUAAGUAUCUGCUCAGUUUUUGCAUGAUAGAAUGCUAGGAGAGAUGCAUUUGUAUGCCUAUUAUAUGAGCUUGUAGACUUGCAAGCUAGUACUAAUCAAUCAUUGAUAGCGUGGCCUGAUUAGGUGAUGCUUUCUUCUGAUUACUUGAUGCUCGAAUGUUGCUUGCUUUGUGCUUUUAGGAGUUCUUACUAAUUUCAGCUAACUAGUAAGCGAAUAUGAUAAGUUACAUAUUAUGGGAACUAAAUAAUUUUAGAAGGUUAAGUUAAAACUCUAUUAUGUAGCUCUUGUUUGAGUCCAACCGUCGUAGUGUGAGACCAUUCAUUCAAAGAAUUAUCUAGUUUUAGUGAUAUGUAAUUGUAUUCACCAGCUAGUUAGAGUGAGUUAGCGGGAGUUCCUUCUGCAAUUGAUGGCGGAGAGUGGUGUGGAGUUUGACCUAGGAAAAGCUAGGAUGAGAUCUAGUGUUGGGAGCCUUAUCUAUGAGAGGAAUUUGUAUGGAUAUAAAGUGACUUGGUAAAGUGAAAGCACUCCUUGAAAAAAGUACACGUAGAUGUCGAAGGUAGAAUGGGCCCGUACUACUGGAAGCAGAGGAUCCGUACUCAAUUUAAGGAGAGCUGCGAUGAAACCAAGAAGCUUGCGAGUUUUUAUCACUCGAUGUAUAUGUUAUGAUGUGAAUUCUGAUGGUGACAUUGCGAGGCGGACCUGUUGGCCAUUCUGGCGCUGGUGAGGGAUCGGGCUCAGGUUCUGGAGUCGGUCAGUUAGAUGAUUAUAGUAUGGAGUUCAUCUCAUCUAAGAUUACUUGUUGCAUUCUUAAGCAGACUCUUGUGAUUUUUGGAACUGUCAAGGAGUGUAUUCUGGAGAUUCUGGAUGAGCGGUUGAGCGCCUUUCGCUCUGAGAUGGUGGCCUUGGUUGGGGUGCGUUCAUUGACCUUCAGGGAGUUCUGGGCAUGUGGAGCUCCAGACUAUUACAGGGCGAAGGACCCGAUAGCGAGCAGGAGGUGGUUAGUGGAUGUUGCUAAUGCCUUCCGCACUAGCAGUUGCCCCGAGGGGGAAAAGGUCAUAAUUGUUUCCUGCCUUCUGAAAGACAAGGCACGAGAUUAGUGGGGUGAGAUCGGGUGCUCCGUUGGUGAUGAUGCAUUCUAUUCGAGUACCUAGGAUGAUUUUGUGACCAGGUUUAGGGUUGUGUUUGCACCGGUGAUUGAGGUGCAACAUCUGGCACGAGAGAUUCAGGAUCCCUGCCAGACUACCGAGACAGUGGCUGAGAUCACCGCGAUGUUCCAAGAGAGGGCACUAUUGGUUUCGUAAUAUGUGGUGGAUGAGGAAAUGAAGAAAGCUCGGUAUCAUGAGAUGCUGAGGAUUGACAUUCAACAGUUUGUGAGUCGAUCCAGCUGUAAGACGCUUGAGGAUGUGAUAGUGAGAGCUAGGGAGAAGGAGAUUGACUUGGAGUAGCAGAAGAUGAGGAAGCCAAAUUAUGUGUCGAGUGCUGAGGGCUCGGGAAAGAUGCGUAAGGUAUCUUAUUCUAGAUCGAGAGGCUAUCAGGGUUGGAGCCGAUAAGGCAAGUGUGGCAAGGUGCAUGAGGGAACGUGCAGGGUGGGGUGGUUGUAGAUGCUCCAAGUGCAGUCGAACGGGUUAUAUUAGCAGAGAUAGCACUGCUACCACCACCACCACCCCUGUAUCUGAUUUGGUUUGCUUUCAUUGCAAUCAGAGGGGCCAUAAGAAGGCCCAUUGUCCGACUUUGGCUAUAGCAGGACCGGUUUCAGUACCCGCUCCUAUAACUCUUCGGAUUACUGACGGUCGCCAGGUCCGAUCCGAUGCACCUAUGGUGAAGAGCAGGGCCUUUCAAUUGACAACCGAGGAGUCUCGCAUGGAACCAGAUAUGGUGAGGGGUUUGUUUCUUUUCCUUAUCUCUUUAUUUAUUAUGAAUUCAUGUUGGUAUUUAUGUGUUUAAUUUUAGGAUCAUUCCUCGUGAAUGGUAUUUCAGCUUUGGUAGUUUUUGAUUGGGGCCUACUCGAUCUUUCGUAUCGCUUGUACUUAGCUAGAUUUUUUGUUGGAGCUACGGUGGAGCAGGAUUGUCCUCUUGAUGUUGAGAUUGUUGAUGAUAAAUCUAUUCGGGUUAUGAGUGUUCAUCGGGGUUGUACUCUUUAGUUGUUCAGUGAGCAGUAUUUAGUGGAUUUGGUUCCCAUUCCGUUGCGUGGGAACAAGGUUAUCGUGGGCACGGAUUGGUUGAGCCCUAAUGGGGCAGUGACCAAUUUUGAGCAACAAUUAUUACAGGUUUGGACUCUAAGUGGGGGGGAGUUAGUGGUUCAUGGGGGAAAGAUCUCAGCGUGGGCCGAUUUUAUGUUCAACAGCGAGGGACAGACACUAUUUUCAGCAUGGUUGUUCCAGUUAUGUCACCUAUUUCAUGGAUACCAAGGAUAAGGGUAAGGCACCAUGGAUGAUGUGUCGAUUGUACGGGACUAUCUCAAUGUGUUUCCAGAGGAUUUGCCUGGGGUGCCUCCGGAGAGGCAGGUUGAGUUCAAGAUUGAUCUGGUUCUUGGUGCAGCUCUGAUAGCUAAAGCACUGUAUCAGAUGGCUCCUCCCAAGAUAAAGGAGUUGUCAACACAGAUGCAGAAGCUGUUACACAAGUGGUUUAUGUGGCCGAGCAGUUCUCCUUGGGGAGCACCGAUCCUGUUUGUGAAGAAGGAUGGGUCUCAUUGCAUGUGCAAUGACUACCGAGACCUGAAUAAGGUAAUGUUGAAGAACCAUUAUCCACUUCCAAGGAUUGAUGAUCUUUUUGACCUGCUUCAGGGUGCAUAUUGGUUCUUCAAGAUUAAUUUGCGAUCAGGUUAGCAUCAGAUGCGGGUCAGGGAUGAGGAUGUGCAGAAGACAGCUUUUCGGACUCGUAAUGGUCAUUACAAGUUUGUGGUGAUACCUUUUGGGCUCACUAAUGCUUUAUCCGUAUUCAUGGAUCUCAUGAACCGUGUGUGCAGGAUGAUGCUGGAUCGGUCUGUGAUUGUGUUUGUAUAUGAUAUCUUAGUUUAUUCCAAGACUCAGGAGCAGUACGAGCAGCACUUGAGGGAAGUUCUAGAGACAUUGAGGAGGGAUAGACUUUCGGCAAAGUUCUCCAAGUGUGAGUUUUGGUUGCGCGAGUUGCAGUUUCUAAGGCACCUUGUCAACCAAAAUGGUAUUCUGGUCGAUCCGACCAACGUCGAGGCCAUGAUGCUGUGGGAGGUUCCGAGGUCUCUAUCUGAGUUUUAGAGUUUUCUUGAUUUAGCAGGUUAUUAUCGGAGAUUCAUCCCGGAUUUCUCCAAGAUAGUUGUUCCAUUUAUAGGACUGACAAAGAAGACGAUUACAUUUCAUUGGGGCCUGAGCAGCAGGCAGCUUUUGAGACAUUGAGACAACGGUUGUGCGAGGCGCUGAUUUCGACCUUACGAGAGAGUGUUGAUGAUUUUGUGGUUUAUUGUGUUGCUUCUAUCAUAGGAUUAGGGGCUGUGUUGAUGUAGAGGUGUCGCGUAAUCGCUUACGCUUCGAGGAAGCUAAAGCCUCAUGAGGCGAAUUAUCUAACGCAUGAUUUGGAGUCGGGAGCUAUGGUUUUCGCCCUCAAUAUUUGGCUGCAGUACCUCUAUGGGGUCCGUUGUACUAUUUACAUGGAUCCCAAAAUCCUAAGGUACUUGAUGGAUUGGCCAAAUCUGAAUAUGAGGAAGCCCCAAUGGUUGGAUGUGUUGAAAGAUUAUGAUUGUGAGAUCCUUAAUCACCCAGGGAAGGCCAAUAUGGUGGCAAAUGCUCUUAGUCAUAAGGCGGUCGUGGCUCUGAUCCGAAAUAUAUUUUUGAGGAUGACCAUGAGUACUCCAUUAUUGGAGUGGAUUCUUGAGGCACAGGCUGAGGCUAUGAAGGAAGAGCACCGAAAGAGCAAGUGUAUUGUGGGCCAGGUGGCUUCCUUCGAUUAUGAUAGUUGUGGAUUGUUGACUUUGCAUCAACGAGUUUGUGUUAUGUAUUAGGGCGGUGUGCAUCAUAUUCUAAUGGAGGAGGCCCACGACUCUAGAUUCUCCAUUCAUCCUGGGGCAACAAAGAUGUAUAGGGAUCUUCGUCCUGAUUAAUAGUGGCCGUGUAUGAAGCGGGAUGUGGCAUGGUUCGUGGAGCGGUGCUUGACUUAUAGGAAAGUCAAGGCCGAGCAUCAACGACCUCAUGACAAGAUGCAGCGGUUAGAGACUCCCGUAUGGGAAUGGAAGAUAUUACUAUGGAUUUUAUCACUAAGCGCUCAUUUAAUCCCUAUCCAUGAGAUUAUUUAUGUUGAGAAGUUAGCAGAUAUUUAUGUCAGGAAGGUUGUGGCACGUCAUGAGUGUCGGUAUCGAUGGUUUCAGACAGAGAUGUUCGGUUUACUUCUAGGUUCUAGUAAGGGUUCAAUGACGAGCUGGCCACUCGUCACCAUUUCAACAUAACAUUCCAGCCGCAAACCAAUGGUCAGAGUGAGCAGACUAUUCGGACCCUAGAGGAUAUGCUAUGGGUGUGUGUUCUGGACUUUCAUGGGAGUUGGGAUAUGUAUCUUCCAUUAGCGGAAUUUUCAUAUAACAAUAGUUAUCAUGUCAACAUUGAUCGACCUCCUUUCGAGAUGCUCUAUGGGAGGAAGUUUAAGACCCCGACGAUCUUCUACCCCUCCUCCCAAAUUCCAUUAAGUUGAUGAAAGAACCUAAAUCCACAACUUCAUAGAAAUCUGUCCCACGAUCAUAUUUUACACCAUUAUUUAUCCAGACAACAUUUCUCAAAACAUUUCUCAGGGAGAAAAAAAAGAAACAAGGCACAAGUUAGCAUGUCAAACAAAAGUUACAUUUUAUUUAUAAUGAAUUGGUAGUGGUGACAUGGAUGCACGGGUCCUUGUAACAUCCUCAAAGUACUAUGUAAACAAGCUAAAGCUUCAAGUAGUGACUACCUCGCGACCAGGGUACUAUAAGAAAGAGGUAACACCCUGACAACAUCGGUGUUGGCAAAAAGUACAUAAAAGAUUAUAAUAUCCAAAUCUAAUAAGUUGAUGUUAAAAACUGAUAGGUUCGAGGAUAUGUUGUAGGCUAUAAAGGAUUUGUAUUCACAGUAUGACUGUAUGAAGCCUAAUACGCACUAGCAUUGCUAAUGAUCUCAUCAUUCCUUCAAGGAAAACUUAAUUCCUCCAUAUUUCACAAAUGAUAAAAGGGUUAUUUACAGCAUGAUUUGGAUGAACAAAAGUUGAAAUUCUCAUUUUUUCUUUUUACUUCUUAUGAUAUUGCUACACUUGUAGAGGGUGAAAAACUGAAAAUUGUUCUUGUGAUGUACUCCCUCACUUAGUGAUGUGCUCUUAGGAAGAAAGUACUUCGAAUUGUAAACUAGAAAUAAAAAUAAAAUAGAGAUGAUGAUUAAAUAGCUCAUUAUUUCGCUCUGAAAGAUGACAGAAAUGUAUAAAUGGUGCAAACAGCUAACUUUGAAACAUAAAUAAGGCAAGCCGGUUAAAAUAAAAGGUGCCCUGAAGAUAAAACCAUGCGUUGUCUCUGACUAAGCAAAAAAUUUCAAAUAUGUUUUUGAAGAAAUCUACAUAAAACACACCCGGCUCGGAUAGGAAAAAUACGAAGAAAAAUUUAGAAAAGUGAAGUAGAGGAAAAAAGACGUCUCUAUUCAUAAAGAUAUAUUGUAAAUAAAUGCUGAAACAAACAUAUUCUUGGCUUAUCAGGUUACAAAGCACUAAUUUAACCAAAAUCAGAAAAUAUAAUGAUUUUAAUAGAAACAAAAGUAAGUAAAUAAUAUAAUGGUUUUUUAGCAUUGUCCUUGAAAAUCCGACUAUUAUUUUUCAUGAGUUUACAACCAAAUACGGUUUGUUCUUCGGUUAUGAUUCUUACUCGUAGUUAAAUUUAAUAAAAGGUUCCAAAGAGCAAGAAAAAUGAGCAUAGGAAAUGACGUUACAACUUACAACAACACACAACUAGCUGCAAACAAUUCUUCAUCCAUGCUUCUCUCACAAUAUAUAAAGUGACACAACACACAUAAUAACAUAUACGCCUGAUAUAGUUUCUUCUAUGUCAAUAAUUGAAAUGAACCACAUUUCUUGUUAUUUGUUGUUAGCUUUUUCACUUUAUUUUCUGGGUUUCUGUGUGGCAAGAAAGGAUGACCAGAUCACCAGCCUCAACAAAUUGAUGGAGUCGAGAAGAUCAGAGAAUCCGCCACGUGUCUAGCCAUGGACAGUAGAAGAUACAUCAAACUUAUCUACACUUUCUAUUGUCCCUCAACAAGGGUCAAAGGAAGAAGAUAUGAUUGAUAAGUUGCCAGGUCAACCACAAUUCGAUUUUGAUCAUUAUUUAGGCUAUGUAACAGUCGAUUGAAAGGUGGGAAAGGCAUUGUUUUAUUACUUUGCUGAAUCACCUCACAAUUCUUCAACCAACCCUCUUGUCCUAUAGCUCAAUGGAGGUAUAAUGCUUCUAUUAUGAUUCAAGUCUAUGUGAAAAAACAAAACAAUACAAUAAUGCGUUGUUUUCACACUAAAGUCGACUUAAAAUACUGUAAAACUAGUAAUGAAGGUAUUAUACAGGGCCAAGAUGCUCGUCAUUUGGAUAUGGAGCCAUGGAAGAACUUGGACCCUUCCGAGUAAACAGUGAUGGGAAAAACUCUAUCGCAAUGAUUAUGCAUGGAACAAUCGUAACAAAAAUUGAUGAAGGCAUUCAUGUCUUUUUCACAUACAAAAGCGUGUACAUGUAAAAAAAAAUUCGUGAUUACAAUGUGAAAGUCUAAAUACAAAAGAUUUUGACAGCGACUAAUGUGCUAUUCUUGGAAUCACCUGCUGGAGUGGGUUUCUCGUAUUCAAACACAUCGUACGUGACAGGAGACAUGCAAACAGCUAAAGACUCGUACACUUUUCUGAUCAACUGGAUUGAAAGAUUCCCUGAAUACAAAACCUGAGAUUUCUUUAUUACAGGCGAAAGCUACGCAGGUCACUACGUACCUCAACUUGCUUCCUUCAUUCUCUCGGAAAACAAGAAAACAAACUGAACAGUCAUUAAUCUUUGUGGAAUUACGGUAAGUAAUUAUCAUACUAAUAGGAGAGGACAGGAUAGGUUGUACUAUCUUUUGAAUGAAACUUUUUGUUCCACCCUAAAAGGUGGGACAAGGACUCACUCUUGAUCACUUGUUUGUGCAAAAGACAUAAAUGCCGUUAUCAUUGUUGUCAUUAAGAAGCUUCUCAAGUCCUAUCAUGUGUACUAUGCCAUGUAAGGGACUAAUAUGCUAAAUGUGUAUGUGUUGUAAUUGUGCAGAUUGGGAAUGCUUGGAUUGAUGACAAUACAUCUUUUGAAGGGAUGUAUGACUACUAUUGGACACAUGCCCUAAACUCUGAUGAGACAAAUGAAGGUAUUAAGAAGUAUUGUGACUAUGUUACUAGGAACUUCUCUCAGGAGUGCUACAAGUAUCAAGGCCAAGGAGACGGUGAAUAUGGUGAAAUUGAUAUUUAUAGCAUUUAUGCACCACUUUGUCUUGAUACUACACAAAAAUCUGGAACUACCGGAUCUAUAAGUCUGUGAUUCUAUAAUAAUAAAAUAAUGUCACAUAGAAAUUUCAAAAUUUCUUAUAAAUUAUCAAAAGUUAGAUAAAACGUAUCCUACUGAACUCUUUCAAUUAAGGGAUAGUACAAGAAAUAGCAACAUACUUUGCUUAGUUGUUUUAUUGUAGCAUAUUACUAUUGUUUACACUACAAUUUUUUUUCCUAUUAAAGCAUUGUACUUUGAAAGAUUUACCUAUUUAUAGCAUUCUACUUUCAAUUUAUUUAUGAUUACGGCAUUGUAAUUUGGAAAAUCUACACAAUUAUAGUGUAACAUCCGGGAAUUUGGGUGUAUUUAUUUAAGCCUUCUUCUUCUCCAAGUUGUCAAGAUUAGUCCAUAAAAUAAAAGGGUGGCAGGCGAGUACGUUGGGCGUACUGACGAGUACGUUGCGCGUACUCAUGGGAUGGAUUUGGACGCAGACGUUACUAGGUAUGCUGGGGGUACCAAAGGUUACGCUGGGCGUAGCUGGCCCAGAUGCAAAACCCUAAAUGGAACUAGAGGACUAUAAAAGGAAUGACAGGGUCUCUUCCUCAGCCACCAAUUUCACAGAGAGAAACCCUAAGAGAGCAUUAUCGUCGUUCUAAAUUUUGUGUGUGACUGUUUUGAGCUAGAAAGUGCCUUUGGGUGAUAGUGAAGAAGAAGAUGAGGUUCUUGUGGAGACUAGAAGUUGGAGUACAAGUUUGGAUCUGAGUUCUUCAGAGGGUGGAGCUUCACUUAGAGGUAAAAAGCUUAGAGCUUUCCUUAUCAUUUUUGUUUUGUGCUUGAUGUACCAAAUUUUAGGGUUUUGGUCCCAAGGUGGAGGUUUUAUGAGCAAAUGGCCUCCAUAAACUAGAAUCUGCCUUAUUUCAGUGUAUUAUGAGUUGUGAGUUCGUAAAAAUCCAAUCUUGGUCGUUAAUAUUAAGUCAUGCUUGAGUUAAGGACUGAAUGAGGAAAGAGGUUAAGAGUUUGGAGAGGUUAGUGGCCUUUACAGCCAUGCAAAGGCUCAAAGGUUUCGACUUUAUGACUUAAGAGGCAGUAGAGAGCCUAGAUCUGUGAUAUAAGCCCAUGACUUAACCUGUUCAAACCAAAAAUAAAGAAAGUAUAAGUCUGGGACUUACAAUGGGCGUAAGUCUCAAAACGCGCAGCAUAGUAGGUUGAGGUCCCCAAUCAAUUUCAGGCGUGUUUGAGUACGCUGAGUGUACCAAGGAGGUACGGCCCGCGUAACUCCUUCUGUGGGCUUUUGGGUUAUGUAUUGUGUUGAGCCUUGAGUGUUGGGCAUAGAUUUUGGGCUUCAUGCAAUAGAGUCUUGGACCAGAGAAGUGUCUAUAUGUGCCUUGGGGCUCUUGGGUUGGGCUUGCCUUUUUGUUUGGGAAUUGGGCCGUGUGUGGGCCCAUUUAUUAUUGGGCCUUGGUGGGCCCAGUGGGUUAGGGCAUUAAUGGGAUGGUAGGUGGUUUACCUUUAGACCUAAUAAGUGAAAGGAUGGACUUAGUUUCUAAUUGAGAUAAUUGCAGGUUUGGCACAGAGAUAGAGGUCGGUACGUAUCAACAGCAUCUAUAGGAGCUGUUCAUCAUCCGAGGUGAGUCUUCUCACUAUACUUUACCAAGAGUGGUAAUUAGAGUUAUGUGACAGAGUAUCUUGUAUGCUAUUUAUUUGAUGUGAUACACUGCAUUAUUUCUAUGUGAUUUCUGUUAUGUAUGAUUCAGAGUUUACAGAGUUAGGACCGGAAGGUCAACAGAGUUAGGACCAGAGGGUCCACAGAGUUAGGGCCAGAAGGUCCACAGAGUUAUGGGACUGGAGGGUCCUAGUGAGACACAUUGACCAGAGUGUUAUACAGAGUUAUAGCCUCGAGUGGCUAAUAUGUGUUGUAUGUGGUAUUUUAGGGAACUCACUAAGCUUUGUGCUUACCAUGUUAUGUGUUAUGUGUUUCAUGUUUUCUUCUCAGGAUCGCGGGACGACACCGACUUGAUUAUACACACCAGAGAAAGAGUUAUGAGGAUCCUGGAUUAUUAAUGGAGUUGUGCUUUGUAAUUGAAUAAAAGAGAUUUUUAUACAAUAUGUUAUGAAAAGUAUGAAUUUUAAAAAUGAAAACUUGUGUUAAAUUUUCACGUCGUUACAAGUUGGUAUCAGAGCCUUGUUCGGAUGCACCUUCGGGUAUAUCUGUACAAGUUGGUAUCAGAGCCUUGUUCGGAUGCACCUUCGGGUAUAUCUGUACAAGUUGGUAUCAGAGCCUUGUUCGGAUGCACCUUCGGGUAUAUCUGGACUUAAACUGAGGAAAUGAGGAAAAAUUUCAAAAUAAAUGAUUUUUCUAAAACGAGCAAGAGUUUCUAAGAGAAAACGGGAAGGAGCAGUGUGUACAAUCAGCCAGAGCCUGAAUGGUGAUUCCCAACAUACCCUUACUUUUUUGUUAUGAAAUAUGUUAUGAGAUAUUAUGCAUGCUGGAGAUAGGCUAGGUAUUUCAUAUUUUAGGACUAGAGUGGCCUGAUGUGUGAUGCCUUAGUCUAGGAGUUGUUGUUAUAUGUGAUGCACUUUCGAGUAUGUGCUGAGUAAGAGUAUCCAGCGGGAAUCCUUGUAAGGAAGGAUUUGAGUAGAGGAGUAAUCUAGGAGAGAUACCUGGAUGAGCAAUUGUGGAGCCUACUGAGAGAGUAGAUAGAUACCCUCAGGAGUAGAGUUGCAGAGUUCGUUGAUAUCUUGUGAGUAUGGGCAGAGCAGGUGAAGUUAUCACCUAGAGCGGGUUUUACAUGUUAUUUGGAUGCCCGAAUGCUGCUUGCUUCAUGCUUUGUGGAAUUCCCGAUGAUGGGAGUCAGCUACCAAGUGAAUGUGACGAUAGUCAGGAGGUAGAUGACCGACAUCAUAAGGAGUUUCUCAGCAGCUGAUGGCGGAGAAGUGUGACAACCUAGGAAGAGCCUAGGAAGUGACCUUAGUCAAAUGAGUAUGCUGACAGAGUAAAGCAUUUCGCUGGGGAGCGAGCACGCGUGUUGAGAUUGGUGAUUGAGAAGGUUAAGCAGCUACUUAGGGAAUCUGGGAUGGUCCGUGUAGAGAGUAUGAGUAGAUGUGGCAGGUAGUAUGGGCCAGUACUACUAAAAGAAGAGGACCCAUACUCGAUGUGUAACAUCCCAAUUCUAGAAGUAUGAGUGAAGGGCUUAAAGUGAAAAUUAAGGAAGCUACUCGACGAGUAGGUAUGCUACUCGUCGAGUCGGAGCAGGAUUUGAUCAUGAGUUAAGUGGCCAACUUGCCGAGUCGAAAGCUGAACUCGACAAGAUGGUGCUGGAAUGAGAAAACCCUAAUCUCGAGGGUUGCACCCUAUUUAAAGGACUUUAUGUCCUUCUCUCAGCCUCCUUAUUUCUCUUGAGAACCAGAAGAGCCUAAGCUCGUGUAUGUGAGGCCUUUGGAGGGAGAUUGAAGCCUUGGAAGUUGUCUUUUGUGGAAGAAACUUGAAGAUCAAAAAGGGCUUGCAUCAAGGGAGUGGUGUAGAUCCAGAAUCUACUUCAGCUUGGGCACAUCUUGGAGGUAAUAAGUUGUUACCUUCACUCAUUUGCACCUAGAUCCACUCAUGAAAGAGAUUUGGGGCCAUUUUGGGUAUGUUUGAGACCUAUUUCGGGUUUGGAGUUUAGAUCUGAGGUUGCUACUUUAAAUCUAGACUUGUGUUGGUCCAGAUUGUCAUAAAGCAUCAGUCAAUGAGUUGUUGGUGAAGCCCCUUUGUCUAAAACCGAAGCCCUAGAGUGAUUUGGACCUUUAACUCCUUGGAUUCACGUAAAGUUUGCAACUUUAGAUAGGGGUUAUGCCCUAGAAGAGUGGAUCUAUAAUUUGGAGCCCCUGCAUGGCUCGAAAAGCCUCUGUAUGGAUGAAGAACUGAAGGGACUCGGCGAGUCUCAAAGGUGGACUCAGCGAGUCAUAUGAAAAUGGGCAUGGACUCGACGAGUUAUAAGAACAAGUCGGCGAGUCUGUUGAUGCUUGCCUUGGACUCAGGAAGUCUGUUCUUGGACUCGGCGAGUCAUGUUGCAAAACCCUAACCUCUUGUGGUUAAACCUUGGACUAGUGAGUCGGUUGGCGAUUCAGUGAGUUGGACAAGAUGGAAUUCAGAGAUCGUUGAACUCGACGAGUCGCCGGUUAACUCGGCGAGUAGGGUCAAUCAGGAAGGUUUACUUUGGCAAGGACUUUGACCUUGACCUGUUUGACCUUCAGGGGUGUUAUGUAUUUUCGAUAUUUAUGACGUGGUCCAUUGAUGGCAUCAGGUGUUGGAGUUUGAGGCAGUGCUUUGGGCCAGUGCUUUCAUGGUUCGGUUCGGCAGUUGCAAGGUGAGUUAUCCUCACUAUAUCAAUAGGGUCUAAAGCACCAAGGCCGACCCUUUUAGUUGUAUAUUGGUUACAAUAUGCUACAUGUGGUUAUGAUAUGAUAGAUCGGUACUCGGAUAGACAGUAUGUUGUCAUGCUCUUAUGAUCCGUUAUGAUUCGUAUGUUAGUGACCUGGUUAGGUCGGUGUUUUGGUUAUGAGAGAUUACUAUGAUCGAUGAUCUGUGAGAUAGUUAUAUCUGAUAUCUGUACGUGUACUGUUUGAUGUGCUUAUUGAUCUAAUUAGAUCGGAGUCCUGGUAAUUAGGACAAUAUUAUGUUAGUGACCUGGUUUAGGUCGGUAUCCUGGUAUAUAGGAUGGUGCUAUGUCAGUGACCGGUUAGGUCGGUAUCCUGUUUAGGAUGUUGCUAUGCUUUAUGAUCUGCUAGAUCGAUUUGUUUGUCUAUGGACUGUUAUGUGAUUACCUGUUAUAUGUGCACAUGGUUAUUUGCUUGAUGUUUGGGUUGAGGUGGUCCUACUUUGUGCUGAAGGCCAACAUACCCUGCGAGCGGUCCAGAUAGAUUGUAGGCCUAUUAAAGCCGAAAAUUACAAUCAAGACCCAUAAAACUGUGAGUUGUCAAAUAAAGCCCACUUUUAUAUGACACUUUUGGCCCCUAAAACUGUGAGUUGUCAAAUAAAGCCCACUUUUAUGAAAAAUGAAACUUUUGGCCUUUAAAACCAUGAGUUGUCAAAUAAAGUCCACUUUUAUGAAAAAUGACACUUUUGGACCCUAAAACCGUGAGUUGUCAAUUUAGGCCCAAUAAAAUGGAAAAUGACUCUUAAAAGCCCAUUUUGUUUAUCUUUAUUUUCAAAUGUUAUCCUUUUGUAUACUUUCUUUAGUUUUCUUAUACCUUUAGCAUGUUUAAUCUUUUCAAAACAUCAUAGUAGGUUACUUCAAUUAGAUUGCUUACUAAUAACCCCAAAACUUGGAAGAUAUUACGAAUUUAUGAGUGUUUAACAUAUAUUCACACAACCUAACAUGAAAAAUAUACACAUGCAUGCAUAAUACUAAGAUUAACCACAAAGCUAGCUGGUAUUCUCCACCAAAAGGUAGUAAAACUUGAAAACAAGGGGUAUGAAGCUCACCUUGGUGUUAGAUUGGUUUUGAAGAGAAAGAAAGAUGAUUUUCGGCCUAGCCUGCACCUUUGGGAAUAGUUUCGAAACAUUGAUGGUUCUAGGAAGCUUGAACACGAUAUGAAGUUAUGUAAGGAAGAGUUUUUAGUGUAAAAUGGAAACAAAAACAUCUUGAGAGUGUUAACAAUUUACCUAGUUAUGAUCCUUGAUGAAAAGCUCUUGAACACACCAACAAACUCACAGGUUUUUGAGGAAAAAUAAAGGAGCUUCUUGGAGAUUUAGAGAAAAAUGAGAGAGGUGUGUUUGAGUUUGGAGGUGAGAAUGGGGGAGAGAGGGAAAGUAUCGGACAAUAUUUUAGAGAAGAGAAGGGGGAAAUGGCUAAGUGGUCAUUACAUGGAGGGUUAGCUUUUAAAUCCUAGAAGUUUGGUGGGUAAUUUGCAUGUGUUACCACCAUGCAAAAAUUAGGUGUCAUCAAGUUUAAAUCAAUUCAAUUUUUCUAAACCGAGAAUAGGAGAGGGAAAAGGAGAAAUAAUUUGUUUGGGCUUGGAUUUGGGAGUGUAGUCGUGAACCCUUAGGCCAAAUAGGGUUUUUUGUUUAGAAGCCCAAAAUAAAUGAAUUUCGGUCCAUGAAGGCUAUAUGUUUGAGUUUUUGGCCCAAUAGGGCCCAUUAGGAGCUUUCGGCCUUGGAAGGCCCAAUAAGAGCUCCAAUAUUAAUUUGCGGCCCAUAAGGUUCAAAGAAAAUGUUUACAGCCCAAUAAAGCCCAUUACAUGACUUAUGGCCCAAAUCAAUGUUAAAUGAUCAAUUUCGGUCUACUAUGGCCCAAAUAUGGGUUCUCGGCCCAAAAGACCAAGUUGAGAGAUAACCAGCCCAUUAGGGCCCUGUCACACCCCCAAACCAUGGAUGGCGGAAACGUCUGGGGGUGGAGGACUUCAUGUAUACUAUCACAACAACGAAUAUAAUAGUGCUCAAAGUAAAUAAAACAUCAUAAAUAUAAUUGAAAAAAUUACACCAAGGUAUAUGUUUACAUGUUUCAAAUUAAUUACAUUAUGAUGACAAAAUGAACUGUUUGACGAUUUAACGGCCCAUCCUCAAAACACUGUUGGUUUUCCUAUUUCACUGAUUUCCUGAGAAUACAAGUAGUUUUGAAAAAGUGUCAACAAUUAAGUUGGUGAGUUCAUAAGAGUUUUGUUUGAGGAAGAAACCGUUUUCUUGGUAAAAACGACAAAUUAUGUUUCCAGAAAUCCAAUAUUUUCUUUAUCAAGUGUGAAAUGAAUGCUUCUAUGUUAUGCGAUAAUGAACCCUAGGAAGACCCAUAGAUUCCUUCUAUAAUCACCCUGUGUAUAUAAGCUAUAUAAGAUUUAAAUUUACUAAACCGUCGAAUAUAAUGGGUCUGCCCUAGAUCCACAACCAAACAAGGAACAGGAAGAAAGGCGGGCCCACCAAUUCUAAGUCGAUUAUGAAUAGAUUCUUAUAUAACUCUAGCAUAUACACUUAGCAAUUAUAGCUGAAACCUAACAAUUCUAGAUGAAUGUAGUUUUAACAGAAAUAUGUUUCCAAAGAAAAUUCAAUAUUUCCCUAAUAAGAGUUAGGUAGUCCUAAAUCCCAGGACCGAAAGUAAACAAGUAUUUGCCAUACUUAAAGAUAUAAAAGUGGUUUUAAAUCGGCAUAAAACCCUUUUUCAUAUGAAAAUGUACAAGUGUUUUUCCAUACUUAAAGUAAUUCAUGUGAGUUAAAUUGACGCAACUUGCUAAUAUAAAAGUAGAACCCGUAAAUCUUAUGAUUUGUUAAUACCACAUGUGAGCUAUUAUAACCAUGCUAAGACUCAGACAGCCUCGUAAUUAAGACAUUCUUNGUGUCGCCGUUAAAUGACACUUGUCACCCCAUACCUGCCGGUCUAGCUGUUGCAAGCAGCUUAGGUGCGGGUUUGUCAGACCCAAUAUAGAUCUAUACACAACUAUCACGCUUUCCCUACAAGAGACUCUGGUUAUAAUUUACAGGAAUUUCGACUUUGUUACCAUGAAGGUAACACGAAGGAAAUGACUCACAAAUUUAUUCAUUAGCAGAUUUACGUGAACUGAACUGAAAACCUUUGGUAAAUAAGUUUGAAAUGUAAAUGAUACAUAAACUACACCUAUUAUAGUUUAUCCAAAACGUUUGUAAUAUAAAAGAACUCUUUUAUGAAAUACAUUAGUGUUAUGAACCCAUAAACUAUGCUUAUUAUAGCUUAUUAUAUGUGCUCUAAAUGAAUGAAGAAUCUUAUCGUGAAUGACUAAAUUUCAGUUUAUGAUGAUAAACUAACAAGAAAACACAUUCGAUAUUUAGUACUUAUUGUUAUACACUUUGCUCAACAUAAUACAAAGUGUUAUGAAAGUUAUAAGUUGUUAACUGGUUUUUAACCUUUCUGCAAUGUAUUAGAAAAAUUAUAGAAAAAUCAUACAAAGUCAAAAACUGAAUCCGUAAAUUCUGCGAGUUCGUAAAAUGCGUCUAGUUUGUCAAUAAUUUUUAUUAUGAUAUUUGGAAGUCUUUAACUUGUAUUAAAAUGUCCAUAUUCACAGACUGGUCCGGAUUUGUUCUUGAAAUGAUAGGCUGUUUUGUAAGAAUCAUCAUAAAUCGAAGAAAAAUCAUAUGGAGAUGUGCAAGUAGUCAUUUUAAAGGUAUAAACCUGAACUAUUUGAAUCUAAUACAGUUUUAAAAACUAAAAUGUUUAAGUUAACCAAAAGAGUCCGUGAAUGGAGUUAAACUUUCCUGAUGAAAGUUGUUGGAAAAGUUUAGUUGUGUUCUUGGUGUUUUAACUUGUAUCCCCCCCCCCCCUUUAAAACAUAAGAAAAACAUGAAAAUAUAGGGAUAUGAACUCACCUUGUGUGAUUUCAGUGGAUGAAUGUUGAAGGAAAGAAGUGUUCAACUCAAGAACACUUGGAAGAUUGCUUGAAGAUUCGAGAAUCUAACGUAAAUAUGAUGGAGUUUGUGUAACGAAUCUAUGAUUUGAGUAAAAAGAAAGUGUAAUAACCAUAUGAAGGGUGAUGAUACUUACCAAAUGUAGAAGGAAAGCUUGAAAAAUGCCUUAGAAAUCUCGAAAUUGUGUGAGAGAAUUUGAGAGGAGAGAUGUGUUUGAUCUUUGGUGAAAAUCAGAGUAAUGAGUGAGAAUGAGGAGAGAGGGUGAGUUUUCAGCCUUUGACUAAGAGUGUGGCUGGUCAAAUGGUGGGGAAAGUACUCUUGAAUGACCAGGUAUGGUGGGGAGGGGUGUGGGUUAGUCAUGGAGUGGGUAUGGGGGUGGUUGCUUGUGUCUAACACCAUGGCAAAGUCAACACUCCACCACAAGAUCUUACUUUAUGGAUUUUAUUCUUAAAUAAGGAUUUCCUUAAAAAUAUGCUUAAUUUAUGAAUAUAUGUGGUCUUAUAUGUCAAAAUAUAAAUUUGGGUGAAAAUCCCUAGUUAAAAUAAUGAAAAACGGGCUUAAAACGGAGUCGUGUUAAAAAACCAGGUGAAAAAUGGGGAAAUCCGAAGUCUGGCAAGGCUUCGGCCUCAGCAGCCUAAAACCGGAGUGGCUUGGUCGCAUGACUGCGGUCCGAGGGGAAGAGGGCUGCGGUCUGAAGGCGAGGUACGAUGCGGGGCUUGGUUCCGGGUUCGGUGGCUCUGGGCUUGAAGGCUGCGGCUCUGAGGCUUCGGCUCGGUGGCUGCGGCUACUCAAGGGGCCUCGAUCUCGGAUCUUGUGGCCUCGGCUCUAGGAGGACUUGGCCCCUAUAGAGAGGCUUCGGCCCUAAGGGGCUAUCUUCUAAUAUUUCACCCCUUUUCAAGUGGUUUUUCACCAUGUCAAGUGUUGGGAUGCCCCAAAUGAUUAAAAAUAAAUCAAAAGGGGUUUUGAGAGAGAUUUGGGAGAGAUUCCACAUACUUGGAGAGAUUUCACAUACGGAGAGAGAUUUGGGAGAGAUUCCACAUUCUUGGAGGGAUUUGGGAGAGAUUCCACAUUCUUGGAGAGAUUUGGGAGAGAUUUGACAUACUUGGAGAGAUUUCACAUAUAGAGAGAGAUUUGGGAGAGAUUCCACAUUCUUGGAGAGAUUUAGGAGAGAUUUGACAUACUUGGAGAGAUUUCACAUACGGAGAGGGAUUUGGGAGAGAUUCCACAUUCUUAGAGAGAUUUGGGAGAGAUUCGACAUACUUGGAGAUAUUUCACAUACGAAGAGAGAUUUAGGAGAGAUAGAGUGAAAGAGGUUGAGAAAGACUUCUUUUGAGACCUUUUUGAGUGUUUGGCUCUUUAUUUCAUGGUUCGUAAACCUCGUUAAGUCUUGUUCUGAUUGUCAUAUGCCCUGAGGGUUAUGGAAUAAUGUUUUAUCGAGUAGUUUCAUCACUUGCCCUGAUUAGGGUUUAGAGUUUCCGAACACGUGAAAACUCUAAGUGAUACUUUGCAUUAAGAGUGCGAGUUGUUUAAUAAGAAAGAUAAUGAAAACCCUAGUAUACAAGGGUUAGAUGAGUUGAUCGGUUUGACUUGUUGACUUUAUUUGACUUUGACUUGACCGAAAAUUGACGGUUGUCACAUCAUCCCCCUGUUAGGGGGAAUUACGUCCCGAAAUUAGCACUUUGACCGGGACUUCAAGAAUUUGGAGAAAAGAUGGGGAAACUUUUUAUAGUACAAGAAAUUGAUAUGGCGGGGACCAAUCCGCCUGAUGUUAAAUGACAACCUUGGAAUUUCUUACGGUAACUUGAGCUAAGUCUAUUUAAAAGGAGUUUAUUGUUUUGGUAUGAUAGUUUAUUCUUUUAUACUCUUUGUUUUAUUCUCGUUAUUCCCACUAUGAAUAUUUCAUGUUGUAGUUAAUGAGUACUGGUAUUACGAAUGCUUUAACAAUUGGUGAUGAAGUUUGUAUUAUAAGUCCUACCGGCUCUUUUAUAAUCGCUUGGUGUAAACUAGUCGUAUACCAUUAAGAUUGCAAGGGAAUUCGGAUGAGUGACCCCGCCUUAAGCCCACAACCAAACAAGGAACAGGAAAUGAGGCAGAAUCACACAUUCUAAGUCCAUAGAAUCUUAAUAAUAUAUGACCAUAAUGUUUACACUAGCCAUCAUAGAUUCACUAGUAAAAACCCUAUGUUUUUAUAUAGAUGGUAAGACUUAUUCGGGUUUUGUUGUGUUCUCGAGAUAUAUGGUCGAUAAGCCCUAAGUCGACACUAGUCUCAGCAAGGGUUUAAAACUUAUAUGUGGCGGUUAGAAGCACGUACCGUUAUUCACGGGUGGUUACGAGGGAGUUUCUCCUGUGGUGAUCAUGAGUACCCUUCCACCGUCACCAGCAUUCCUUGUCCUUGGACAGUCUCUCUUAAAUUGUCCUGCUUCACCGCACUCGUAACAAGUUGGGUUGGCUCAAAUGUCGGGGACCUGGUUGAUGGCUUGUGCUGGUGCUCUACAGAAACGGAUAGUGUGCCCCUUCAUGUUGAAAUUUUUGCAAUGCAUCUCUCGGCAAACCCAAGUAUGAUGGAAGUUACACUUGUUGCAUUUCGGAAGGGUUCCAACAUAUCGAUUUAUGGGUGCUGGAGUGGCAGGAGUUGUGGAAGCAUGAACAACAACAGUCUGUUGCUUCUUGGUGGAGUCCUGGGAUGGUUGGUCCUUCUCGUUGUUCCAUAACUUCCUUUUGUUACUUCUCCCUCCAUCUUGCUAAGGGGUGGUUGUUACCGUGUCAUUGCUGGCCCUAUGGUCGAUGAGUUAUUGUGCCAACUCCUUGGCACUGUCAAAGGUAGUUUGUCUAGAGGCCAAUACGUUGUUUUGAAUUUGGGGAGACAAUCCCCAGAGGUAUCGUUCCACCUUCUUUUCCUCAGGAGUGACCAUCACGGGACAAAGGAGUGCUAGAUCACAGAAUCGGUCAGUGUAAGUUCCAAGGUCAGAGCCUGUCAUCUUGAGGUUCUAUAAUUCUUGCUCCAGUUUUUGCACAUCACCCCUUGGGCAGUACUCUUUUAGCAUUCUCGUCUUUAAAUCUACCCAGCUUAACGAGUUAGCUACUGCAAGCAUCAGUGACUUAACGUGGUUGUUCCACCAAGUAAGGGCUCGGCCUGAGAAAGUGCAAGCUGCAAAUUUGACCUUGCUUGCUUCGGGGCAUGCACCAAUUUUGAAGAACGAUUCAGUCUUCUCGAACCAUUGCAUCAGUGUGAUGACUCCCCUGCUUCCAUUGAAAGAAUCGGGUUUGCCAUUGGUGAAAUAUUUAAAGGAACACUCUCUCGGGCGACCUUGUCUUUCUCCUUAAGUGGAGUUAUUAAUGCCACUCCCUGUCCUUCUGGUACCAUCAGGCUGAUUUGGGACAUAACAGUUGUCACUGCGGCCGUGACCGCAGCUUGGAACAUGACAGGAUCAUAUUAGGGAGGCGGUGGUGGCGGAUUUGUUUGCGUUCUGCCAGUGCGUCUAGCAGACCUACGAGGCGGCAUCUUUCUGUUAUAGAAUUUCAAAGACGAAAUGGUAUAAGUCUUUUAGUAAUGGUUAUUAGUUGUGUGUCGUAAAACUAGGUUAUUAGUUUUCAAGUAUAGCAUUUCCACUGUUGUUCGAAAGUGGCAAUCAAUUCAUAGUAGAAGUCUAUAUAAAUAAACUUAUGAAUUUAGUAGUAACGAAUCGAAUGAAAUCUUGUAAUCUUGUUCCACGUCGGAUCCACUCCCAAGAUCACUUGGCAUAUACCAGUUGUGUAUAAUUAAGGUCCAAUAGGCCGUUGAACUUAAUGAGUCUGCCCUAGGCCCACAACCAAACAAGGAACAGGACCCAAGGCGAACUCACCAUUUCUAAGUCGAUCGUCUCUUAAUUAUACCUAACCUGGGGGUAUACAUUAAGCAAUCUUAGAGGCACCGUAAGCGAAUCGUCUGUAAUACCCGGUCAUGAAAUAUUUGGUAAACUCCCAAUGAAAUAAAAUGUAUGUUGAUUUCAUUUAUAUAGUUUAGUGCAUGAAGUUUUGGAAAGUUUGACCUUAUAGAAGGUCCACAUCACACUAUGGUAUAGAAAAUUUCGACACUGACACGACUCUCUUGAACGGUGUAGUCUCUAAAUUUGAAGGGUCGAAUUAAUGCAUGUGAGGGUAUUGUUUUCACGUAUCCCAGUAGCGUGAGUGUUUAUCGAUUCGUCAGUAGUGUACACACUACUCGCGGUAGGUGAUGUUUUUUGGGCCAUAGAAUGAAGGCAUGAUAGUCUCCAUUGGCCUAAUUCCUGCCCUAGUUUCUGUCAUUUGGUGUUCUGCCUUUACCACGCCUUCUCUCCAACGCUGUUGACGUUCCUCAUACCCUUUAGUCUCGGCUCGGGCUGCGAUCCCUUUCCUCCGAAAGGUUUGACGUGGUUUCCUAUCCCGUUCAUGGCCUCUAUCUGGAUGACGAAGGCGUAUUGCGGUGAUCUUGGUGGUAGAGUCGAUCUCCAUUAUUCUGCUUAUCGAUGCUUGUGUUGGUACUCUCUUAUGAGUGAUAUGGCAUGUUAUGACAAGGAGAAUCAUGUCUGCUACUCUUCGCCCGUUGAGGUUUUAAAAACCCCAUCCAUGCCAUAGGGAGGGUGUUGACCUAGUUCCUAACUCCGUCUCUGUAAAUCUACGGCUCAUUAAGGUGUCAGACCAUGGAAGUCUCGUCGGGGUCUUCCUCUAUUAUUUCUUCAGUAUCCUCUUCGAAAUCCUCUUUGUCGGGGUCUCUUGGUAGUUGAGCUCCCGCCAUGUUGUUUGUGCGAGAAUAGGGGUAUAAGGGAUAAUUAAUAGACGUCUAAUCCUAUAAUUACUUAUAGGGGGUGAUCCGUAUCAGUCACGCCUAUACUCGCAUAGUGCAUACCAGUUAUACAUAUUCUGAGAUAUAAUAGACCUUCAAAUAAAUGACUCUACUCUAAAUCCACAACCAAACAAGGAACAGGAAGUAGAGCAAUAGUCAUAGAUUCUGAGUCUAUAAUAUCUUUAAUUAUGUAUAACCUUAGCGUAUGCACUUAGUCAUUAUAGACCUACUAAUAGGGGUCUUUAGUUUUCACAUAAGUUAGUUAUAGUACCACAAAAUACUUCUAUAGUAUUUUAAAUGUUUGACUUAUGCUUUUCAAUGUUUCUUGGUAAGUUUUUAGACUUGUUGCAACACCACAACCAUUCCUGGGCAUAUGCUAAUCACUUAUGGGUCAGACAUAGUUGAUCAGGCUAUGACAUUCCCAGACCUGACUAUACAUCCCCAAGCCUACUUGUGCCAUUCAACAAUCACUACUUUUGUUUUGUUCUAGUAUGAUGCUGACCUUAGUAUGUAUGCAUGUAUACUUUUAACAAGAAACUAUUUAUUUCUAAAAGUAUAGUUUUUGGAAACGUUUAAUCAGAGACCAUAGUCCCAAUGCAUUUAUAGUCGUAUAUCUUAUGUGACUCAAUAUACUUAGUUCACUAUAAACAAUGCUCUGAUACCAAUCUGUCACACCCCCAAACCAAGGAUGGCGGAAACGUCCGGGGGUGGAGGACUUCAUGUAUAAGAUCACAACAAUGAGUAUAAUAGUUCUCAAAGUAAAUAAAACCAUAAUAAAUAUAAUUGAAAAAGUUACACCAAGGUAUAUGUUUACAUGUUUCAAAUCAAUUACAUUAUGAUGAAAAAAUGAACUGUUUGACGAUUUAACGUCCCAUCCUCAAAACGUUGUUGGUUUUCCUGUUUCACUGAUUUCCUGAGAAUACAAGUAGUUUUGAAAAAGUGUCAACAAUUAAGUUGAUGAGUUCAUAAGAGUUUUGUUUGAGGAAGAAACCGUUUUCUUUGUAAAAACGACAAAGUAUGUUUCCAGAAAUCCAAUAUUUUCUUUAUCAAGUGUGAAAUGAAUGCUUCUAUGUUAUGCGAUAAUAAACCCUAGGAAGACCCAUAGAUUCCUUCUAUAAUCACCCUGUGUAUAUAAGCUAUAUAAGAUUUAAAUUUACUAAACCGUCGAAUAUAAUGGGUCUGCCCUAGAUCCACAACCAAACAAGGAACAGGAAGAAAGGUAGGCCCACCAAUUCUAAGUCGAUUAUGAAUAGAUUCUUAUAUAACUCUAGCAUAUACACUUAGCAAUUAUAGCUGAAGCCUAACAAUUCUAGAUGAAUGUAGUUUUAACAGAAAUAUGUUUCCAAAGAAAAUCCAAUAUUUUCCUUAUAAGAGUUAGGUAGUCCUAAAUCCCAGGACCGAAAGUAAACAAGUAUUUUCCAUACUUAAAGAUAUAAAAGUGAUUUUAAAUCGGCAUAAAACCCUUUUUGAUAUGAAAGUGUACAAGUAUUUUUCCAUACUUAAAGUAAUUCCUGUGAGUUAAAUCGACAUAACUCGCUAAUUUAAAAGUAGAACCCGUAAAUCUUAUGAUUUGUUAAUACCACAUGUGAGCUAUUAUAACCAUGCUAAACUCGGAUGGCCUCGUAAUACGACGUUCUUCAGGUGUCGCCGUUAAAUGACACUUGUCACCCCAUACCUGCCGGUCUAGCUGUUGCAAGCAGCUUAGGUGCGGGUUUGUCAGACCCAAUAUAGAUCUAUACACAACUAUCACGCUUUCCCUACAAGAGACUCUGGUUAUAAUUUACAGGAAUUUCGACUUUGUUACCAUGAAGGUAACACGAAGGAAAUGACUCACAAAUUUAUUCAUUAGCAGAUUUACGUGAACUGAACUGAAAACCUUUGGUAAAUAAGUUUGAAAUGUAAAUGAUACAUAAACUACACCUAUUAUAGUUUAUCCAAAACGUUUGUAAUAUAAAAGAACUCUUUUAUGAAAUACAUUAGUGUUAUGAACCCAUAAACUAUGCUUAUUAUAGCUUAUUAUAUGUGCUCUAAAUGAAUGAAGAAUCUUAUCGUGAAUGACUAAAUUUCAGUUUAUGAUGAUAAACUAACAAGAAAACACAUUCGAUAUUUAGUACUUAUUGUUAUACACUUUGCUCAACAUAAUACAAAGUGUUAUGAAAGUUAUAAGUUGUUAACUGGUUUUUAACCUUUCUGCAAUGUAUUAGAAAAAUUAUAGAAAAAUCAUACAAAGUCAAAAACUGAAUCCGUAAAUUCUGCGAGUUCGUAAAAUGCGUCUAGUUUGUCAAUAAUUUUUAUUAUGAUAUUUGGAAGUCUUUAACUUGUAUUAAAAUGUCCAUAUUCACAGACUGGUCCGGAUUUGUUCUUGAAAUGAUAGGCUGUUUUGUAAGAAUCAUCAUAAAUCGAAGAAAAAUCAUAUGGAGAUGUGCAAGUAGUCAUUUUAAAGGUAUAAACCUGAACUAUUUGAAUCUAAUACAGUUUUAAAAACUAAAAUGUUUAAGUUAACCAAAAGAGUCCGUGAAUGGAGUUAAACUUUCCUGAUGAAAGUUGUUGGAAAAGUUUAGUUGUGUUCUUGGUGUUUUAACUUGUAUCCCCCCCCNAGUUUAGUUGCGUUCUUGGUGUUUUAACUUGUAUUCCCCCCCCCCCUAAAACUUAAGAAAAACAUGAAAAUAUAGGGGUAUGAACACACCUUGUGUGAUUUCAGUGGAUGAAUGUUGAAGGAAAGAAGUGUUCAACUCAAGAACACUUGGAAGAUUGCUUGAAGAUUCGAGAAUCUAACGCAAAUAUGAUGGAGUUUGUGUAAGGAAUCUAUGAUUUGAGUAAAAACGAAGUGUAAUAACCAUAUGAAGGGUGAUGAUACUUACCAAAUGUAGAAGGAAAGCUUGAAAAAUGCCUUGGAAAUCUCGAAAUUGUGUGAUAGAAUUUGAGGAGAGAUGUGUUUGAUCUUUGGUGAAAAUGAGAGAAAUGAGUGAGAAUGAGGAGAGAUGGUGAGUUUUCAGCCUUUGACUAAGAGUGUGGCUGGUCAAAUGGUGGGGAAAGUGCUCUUGAAUGACCAGGGAUGGUGGGGAGGAUUGUGGGUUAGUCAUGGAGUGGGUAUGGGGGUGGUUGCUUGUGUCUAACACCAUGGCAAAGUCAACAUUCCACCACAAGAUCUUACUUUAUGGAUUUUAUUCUUAAAUAAGGAUUUCCUUAAAAAUAUGCUUAAUUUAUGAAUAUAUGUGGUCUUAUAUAUGAAAAUAUAAAUUUGGGUGAAAAUCCCUAGUUAAAAUAAUGAAAAACGGGCUUAAAACGGAGUCGUGGUAAAAAACCGGGUGAAAAUGGGGAAAUCCUAAGUCUGGCAAGGCUUCGGCCUCAGCAGCCUAAAACCAGAGUGGCUUGGUCGCAUGACUGCGGUCCGAGGAGAAGAGGGUUGUGGUCUGAAGGCGAGGUCCAAUGCAGGGCUUGGUUUCGGGUUCGGUGGCUCCGGGCUUGGUGGCUGUGGGCUUGAAGGUUGCGGCUCUGAGGCUUCGACUCGGUGGCUGUGGCUGGAUGGCUGCAGCUACUCAAGGGGCCUCGGUCUCGGAGCUUGUGGCCUCGGCUCUAGGAGGACUUGGCCCCUAUAGAGAGGCUUCGGCCCUAAGGGGCUAUCUUCUAAGAUUUCACCCCUUUUCGAGUGGUUUUUCACCUAGUCAAGUGUCGGGAUGCUCCAAAUGAUUAAAAAUAAAUCAAAAGGAGUUUUGAGAGAGAUUUGGGAGAGAUUUGACAUACUUGGAGAGAUUUCACAUACGGAGAGAGAUUUGGGAGAGAUUCCACAUUCUUGGAGGGAUUUGGGAGAGAUUCCACAUUCUUGGAGAGAUUUAGGAGGGAUUUGACAUACUUGGAGAGAUUUCACAUACGGAGAGAGAUUUGGGAGAGAUUCCACAUUCUUGGAGAGAUUUGGGAGAGAUUCGACUUACUUGGAGAUAUUUCACACACGGAGAGAGAUUUGGGAGAGAUAGAGUGAAAGAGGUUGAAAGAGACUUCUUUUGAGACCUUUUUGAGUGUUUGGCUAUGUAUUUCAAGGUUUGUAAACCUCGUUAAGUCUUGUUAUGACUGUCAUAUACCCCCGAGGGUUAAGGAGUAAUGUUUUAUCGAGUAGUUUCAUCACUUGCCUUGAUUAGGGUUUAGAGUUUCCGAACACGUGAAAACUCUAAGUGAUACUUUACAUUAAGAGUGCGAGUUGUUUAAUAAGAAACAUAAUGAAAACCCUAGUACACAAGGGUUAGAUGAGUUGAUCGGUUUGACUUGUUGAAUUUAGUGGACUUUGACUUGACCAAAAAUUGACGGUUGUCACAGGCCCAAUAAGAGUGCCCUAGCCCAUUACGAGGUUUGACUCAGGAAGUUAGGGUUACGAGACCAAAGUCGAGUGAAUGCAGUGUAUUGAAUUAGGUUUAGAGCUUUCAUGAGGGAGUUUCGACUUGAAUUGUCAUUUUUGAAUGAACAAAUUGUAUAACAUCAAAAUUAGGGUUACAAGAUCCACUAGGAGUUAUUUACGCAUGAACAGAAUUUCGUAGCCCUAAAAUGCUAGUUGCGACAUCAAACCCUAUAAUGGGGGGUGAAGGUGGGUUGCACCUGAUCGCACAUCGACUGGGAAGGAGAACGAAACACUCCUUAAAGGGGUGUGGAUACCUUCCCUAUCACAACGCAUUUUAAAGCCGUAAGGGCAGCAGAUCCCAUAAGAACUCUACAGUUAAGCGUAUCCGGGCGAGAGUAAUCCAGGGAUGGGUGAUCUCCUGGGAAGUUUUCAUGCUGGGAACCCAAAGCAGACAAUAUUGUGAUACGUACCAUAGGGGGAUGUUACAGAAGAUUUCGCAUUUUGUUUUCUGACAUUCUGAUAAUUAUUUUGGAACUUCUUUUGAUACUAUGGUGAUCCUUUAUGAAAUGGAAUGAAUGUUUUAACUAUUUUAAAAAUGAAAAUUUUACCUUGUAUUUUUUGGGAGGUUACACAAAGAAAGAGAUGAAAUGGAUGAUUUAUUUUUGAACGGUGGGAUUAAUGGUUAUAAGUUAGUAUCACAAAAUUGUCAACGCCUGGGUUAGAACUCGAGACCUCCAAUCGAAUAUUCAAAGCUUCAACCAAGUAGGCUUGUCCCAUAUUGGUGGGUACUAUUGAUUAAUACAAAGUCUAUGCACCACUCUGUGACAACACUACUAAAAAACCUGUUCUGGUGGUUAUGUAAGAAUAAGGUUAUCUAAGUAUCUUAUUCCAUAAAAUAUAGAAUAUAUAGCAUGCAACAUUCAAAAAAUACUUAUACAAUUUAUAAAAAAUGGAUGGAAAGUAUCCUACUCAUUUAGUUUAGUGCUAAAUGAAAGAAAUAGCAAAUACUUUUAUUUAUUUCUUUAUUUAAGCUACUAUUCUCAAUUUUGUCUAUUACAACAUUGUACUUUCGUUUUUUUUUUCUUAUUAGCGCAUUGUGCUUUUAAUACUCUACCAAAUUUUCGCAUUGUAAUUUUUGUUCUUUUUUAAAAUGACAUUGUACUUUGGAAAAUCUACCCAAUUAUAGUAGUGGAAAUAGUUUUGCAUUUGAAUGAUAGUGCUAUAACCAGGUAGACUUUUCAUAAGUACAAUCUUGUAUAUGAAGAAAUGAAACUGGGACGCUAUAGUGAGCAACUAUGAUGCACGGAAACUCAUGUUAAGGUACCGUUCACGUAUCGGAAACUCCUGGAAACCGAUACGACUUGAAACCCCUUGGAAACGUUUUGGUGAAGUAUCCGGUAGGCAGAAACGUUUCUGUGAAAUAUCCGGUAAAGUUUCGGUGAAGUUUCCUACUAUCACUCAUCUUAUUGAAAAUGGUAUUAAUGUCUGGAUAUACAAGUAAGUCGAACUAGCCUACACUUUAACUAAAUCUUGGAUGCAAUAGCUCCUAACUUUUUACAAAUCUGUCCCACGGUCAUAUUUUACACCAUUAUUUAUCCAGACACCAUUUCUCAUGGAGAAAAAAAAAGAAACAAGGCACAAGUUAGCAUGUCACACAAAAGUUACAUAUUAUUUAUAAUGAAUUGGUAGUGAUGACAUGGAUGCACGGGUCCUAGUAACAUCCUCAAAGUACUCUGUAAACAAGCUAAAGCUUCAAGUGGUGACUGCUUGGCGUCCAGGGUACUAAAAGAAAGAGGUGACACCCUAACAGCAAUGGUGUUGGCAAAAAGUACAUAAAAGAUUAUAAUAUCCAAAUCUAAUAAGUUGAUGUUAAAAACUGAUAGGUUGGAGGAUCUGUUGUAGGCUAUAAAGGAGUAGUACUCACAGUAUGACUGUAUGAGGCCCAAUACGCAUUAGCAUUGCUAAUGAUCUCAUCAUUCCUUCAAGGAAAACUUAAUUCCUCCAUCUUUCACAAAUGAUAAUAGGGUUAUUUGCAGCAUGAUUUGGACGAACAAAAGUUGAAAUUAUCAUUUUUUUUUUCUUUUUAACUUCUCAUGGUAUUGCUACAUUUGUAGAGGGUGAAAAACUGAAAAUUGUUCUUGUGAUGUACUCCCUCACUUAGUGAUUUGCUCUCAGGAAGAAAGUACUUCGAAUUGUAAAUUAGAAAUAAAAAUAAAAUAGGUUUGAUGAUUAAAUAGCACAUUAUUUCGCUCUGAAAGAUGACAGAAAUGUAUCAAUGGUGUAAACAGAUAAAAUUUUAAACAUAUAUAAGGCAAGCAGGUUAAAAUAAAAGGUGCCCUGAAGAUAAAACCAUGUGUUGUCUCUGACUCAAGAAAGCAAAAAAAUUGCAAAUAUGUUUUUGAAGAAAUAUACAUAAAGCACUCCCAGCCGGGAUAGGUAAAAUACGAAGUAAAAUUUAGAAAAAUAAAGUAGAGGAAAAAAGACGUCUCUAUUCAUAAUGAUAUAUUAUAAAUAAAUGCUGAAACAUAACAUAUUCUUGGAUUAUCCGGUUGCGAAGCACGAAUUACCCAAAAUCAGAAAAUAUAAUGAUUUUAAUAGACACACAGAUAAGUAAAUAACAUAAUGAUUUUUUUAGCAUUGUCCUUAAAAAUCCGACUUUUAUUUUUCAUGAAUUGGUUCAAUGUGGAGUUUACAACCAACUACCGUUUGUUCUUCAGUAAUGAUUCUUACUCAUAGUUAAAUUUAAUAAAGGGUUCCAAAGAGCAAGACAAAUGAGCAUAGGAAAUGACGUUACAACUUACAACAGCACACAACCAGCUGCAAAGAAUUCUUCAACCAUGCUUCUUCUCUCACAAUAUAUAAUGAGACACAACACACAUAAUAUAACAUAUAUGCCUGAUACAGUUUCAUCUAUGUCAAUAAUUAAAAUGAACCACAUUUCUUAUUAUUUGUUGUUAGUUUUUUCACUUUAUUUUCUGGGUUUGUGUGUGGCAAGAAAGGAUAACCAGAUCACCAACCUCAACAAAUUGAUGAAGUCAAGAAGAUCAGAGAAUCCGCCACAUGUCAAACCAUGGACAGAAGAAGACACAUCAAACUUAUCUCCACUUUCUAUUGUCCCUCAACAAGGGUCAAAGGAAGAAGAUAUGAUUGACAAGUUGCCAGGCCAACCACAAGUCGAUUUUGAUCAUUAUUCAGGCUAUGUAACAGUCGAUUCAAAGGUGGGAAAGGCGUUGUUUUAUUACUUUGCUGAAUCACCUCACAAUUCUUCAACCAACCCUCUUGUCCUAUGGCUCAAUGGAGGUAUAAUGCUUCUAUUAUACUUCAAGUCUAUGUGAAAAAACAAAACAAUACAAUAAUGCGUUGUUUUCACACAAAAACCGACUUAAAAUAAUGGAAAACUAGUAAUGAAGGUAUUAUACAGGGCCAGGAUGCUCGUCGUUUGGAUACGGAGCCAUGGAAGAACUUGGACCCUUCCGAGUCAACAGUGAUGGGAAAACACUCUACCGCAAUGAUUAUGCAUGGAACAAUGGUAACGAAAUUUGAUGAGGGCAUUCAUGUCUUUUUCACAUACAAAAGCGAGUACAUGUCAAAAAAUUUCCGUGAUUACAAUGUGAAAGUCUAAAUACAGAAAAUCUUGACAGCGGCUAAUGUGCUAUUCUUGGAAUCGCCUGCUGGAGUGGGUUUCUCGUAUUCAAACACAUCGUACGUGACAGGAGACAAGCAAACAGCGAAAGACUCAUACACUUUCCUCAUCAACUGGCUUGAAAGAUUCCCGGAAUACAAAACCCGAGAUUUCUUUAUUACAGGUGAAAGCUACGCAGGUCACUACGUACCUCAACUCGCAUCCCUCAUUCUCUCAGAAAACAAGAAAACUAACGGAACAGUCAUUAAUCUUCGUGGGAUUGCGGUAAGUAAUUAUCGUACCGACAAGACAGGACAGGUUGUACUACUUUUGGAAUGAAACUUUUUGUUCCACCCUAAAAGGCGGGACAAGGACUCACUCUUGAUCACUUGUUUGUGCAAAAGACAUAAACGCCGUUAUCAUCCUUGUCAUUAAAAAGCUUCUCAAGUCCUAUCCUGUGUACUAUGCCAUGUAAGGGACUAAUAUGCUAAAUGUGUAUUUGUUGUGAUUGUGCAGAUUGGGAAUGCUUGGAUUGAUGACAAUACAUCUUAUGAAGGGAUGUAUGACUACUAUUGGACACAUGCCCUAAACUCUGAUGAGACAAAUGAAGGUAUCAAGAAGUAUUGUGACUAUGUUACUGGGAACUUUUCUGAGGAGUGCUACAAGUAUCAAGACCAAGGAGACGGUGAAUAUGGUGGAAUUGAUAUUUACAACAUUUAUGCACCACUUUGUCAUCAUAAUACUACACAAAAAUCUGGAACCACCGGAUCCGUAAGUCUCUGAUUCUAUAAUAAUAAAAUAUAUCGCAUACAAAUUUCAAAAUUUCUUAUAAAUUAUCAAAAGUUAGAUAACACGUAUCCUACCGAACCCUUUCGAUUAAGGGAUAGUACAAGAAAUAGCAACAUACUUUGCUUACUUGUUUUAUUGUAGCAUAUUACUAUCGUUCACACUCCAAUUUUUUUUCUUAUUAAAGCAUUGUACUUUGAAAGAAUUACCAAUUUAUUGCAUUCUACUUUCAAUUUAUUUAUGAUUAUGACAUUGUAAUUUGGAAAAUCUACACUAUUAUAGCAUUGGAAAUUGAUUUUUAUUUAGAUGGCAUCACUAUAAUUGGAAAGAUUUUCCAAAUUAUAACGCCGCGAUAGGUUGAAAUGAAAGUAGCAUGCUACAAUUAACAAAUUAACAAAAGUAAGUUGCUAUUUCUUUCAUUUAGCCUAUAAUUAUUCAAUCAUAAAACCAAGUAUUAAGUCUAAUUGAACUACAUAUGAUGUGUUGAACUAGAUCACGACCUUUGAUCCUUGCUCUGAUGAUUAUGUCUCCUCAUAUCUGAAUCGAGCAGACGUGCAAGAAGCUCUUCAUGUCCGAAAUACCUCAUGGGCAUUUUGCGCGUACCUUUUCUUUUCUUUCUCUAAAACUAGGAUUCCAUUAUUCCAUAACAAACAAAAAUCAAUGAAAGUCUCAUGUUAUUUCUUGUAUUCGACUCGUGAUUUUAUGUGCAGUGGUAUUGGAAUGAUAGACAGCCCAACAACCAUUUUGCCUACUAUCACUCAACUUAUUGAAAAUGGAAUUAGUGUCUGGAUAUACAGGUAACUCAAUCUAGUCUAACACCCAAUCAGUUAUUUAUUAAACAUACACAAAAAUAAACUUACAUUUGAUUCAUGAUGAAUUGGCAGUGGUGACACAGAUGGACGGGUCCCAGUAACAUCCUCAAGGUACUCGGUGAAUAAGUUGAAGCUUCCAGUAGAGACUGCUUGGAGACCAUGGUACUAUAAUAAAGAGGUAUUUGAUAUUUAAAACUGAAAUCACAUUGAAUAACAAUAUACGUGUUCAUGAAAUAUAUGUAUAAAGGCAAAUUAAAUAAAUACUAUAAUAUCCAAAUUUAAUAAGUUGAUUUUAAAAAUGUUAUAAGGUUGGAGGAUACGUGGUAGGCUACAAAGGAGUUGUACUUACCACAGUAAGAGGCGCGGGGCAUACAGUUCCAUGCUACCAGCCAGAAAGAGCAUUGCAAAUGAUCUCGUCAUUCCUUCAGGGGAAACUUCCUCCAUCUUUCAGACAAUAAUCCCUAAAUGCCACCGAGUAGUUUUAGUUUAUCAGAAUCGAAUAACUAUGAUAAGCAAUGAAUCUGAGGUUGACUGAUUGCUUGAUAUUCUAUUAGGAUGAAAGAUAAACAAUAAAUAGAAGGUGAUGAAAUCUGAAGACUGUGAUGCGGAUUUGUUGAGUGUUUAAAUUGUUGUGAUGAAGGUAAACCCUCAAAGUUUUAUUGACUAAAGUCAGAGGAAAGUUGUACUUGUAUCAGAUUGUAUUUGAAAUAAAAAUCUCAUUCACAGAAUGUCAGAAUUAUAACUUUAUAUGAAAUGAUACAUGUCUCCUUAAUAAUUGCAUAAUGUCCAAGCGUAGCAAAAAGGGCAAAUUUGAUUAUAUAUGCAUCAGAAACUAGAGAGCUACAACAAACUAUCCCCAUGUAAAUCAAUGAUAACAACCUAGAAAAUUAUGAUGAUAUAAAAAUGCACUGAAUCUUCGACAAAAGCUAAAAUGUAGGAAGUAAAAGUGUAAAAUAGAUAAGAAAAAAAAAGGAUAAUUACAAGAGCAGUGAUGAACAACCCCUAACAACUAGGCGAGUAGAAAAUUAAUCAGCCGUGUGAAAUCCCAAAUUACAGUUUUUUUGGAUAAAUCAUAACUGCUCAUUUGUGGAUGAAACAACCUAAAUCCCUAAAUUGCAGUAGCCACGAUCUUUGGAUAAAUCAACCCACGAUCCCACUCAUUUACAUAACUACUCAUUUGUCACUAUAAAACAUUGAAGCUAUCACAGGCUGGUGGGCGAACAUGUUAUUAAUUUUAUCACACCAAAUCUGUUUUUUUGCUAUCUAUGUCAUAAUAUUUAUAACUAGAUUAUGAUCCGCGUUAAACGCGGGGAACACAUAAAUAAAAUACAAAUUUAUAUAGAUAUUACAAAAUAAUUAUAAAAAAACAGGGUUAUUGGUAUUAUUGAAAUGUAUAGAAAUUACACUAAAAUAGAUAAAUAUAUAUAACGUUGAAGGACCUCUUUAUAGACAAUAUUUUUUGUUUUAUUAGUUCACUGACCUUACUUGUCAGAUAUAAGUAUCUUCAAACAUUUUUUACUUGUGACACGGAAAACAACUAUAUAUAGCCAACCAUACGUGAAAAUGGGUCUAAAUAAGUAUAAUCCAACAUUUGACAAUAUACUUUCAAAAUAUAUUGUUAUUUUAUAGCUAUAUUGCGAAAUAUAACUGUUUAUUUAAAAAAAAUAGCAACUUCUUUAUGUUGCUUCAAAAUGAACCACAUAAAAUCCCCACAAAGAAACUAUAACCAAUAAAUCUGCAACGAAGCUAAUCAUCCUCUUCCACUUCAUCUCUAAUAUCAAGUCUUUUUUUCCUUAAUCUGAGUCGUUGUCAGUAUCAUCGACAAUGUUAAGAUUCAUUGAUGACUUCUUUUUUAUUGUAGGGAUAACUAUGACAUAAAUCAUUUAUCAGGUUCAUCAUUUAUGUUUAUAUCUUCGUUUUUUUUGUUGAUUUUGAUAUGUCUUCUUCGGUUUACCACCAUCUUUUUUUUCAGACUCCUUUUUUUUUAUGAAAUAACAUUUUUUUUUGUGAAAUUCGUUCUACGUUUUUUAGUAUGUGCAGGUACGUUGAUUUUUUUGAAGUAAAGAAAGUAGGGUUUUUGUUCGAUGUUGGUUCCUAGGUUUGGUUCUUAUUUUUUGUGAUUUCUCAUAAUCCAUUGCGUUUUAUUUUUCAUCUUUAUCUACGAUCUUUAAGUAUAGAACAUUUUAUCCAUAUAUUUAUUCACUACAGAGUUUAAUAAAGGAAAAAAGAAACACCCCCUUAGUUUUAUUUACUUUGCAAAUCAUCGAGCCUCCAUGCAUAGCUUACAACAUAAUGAAAAAAAAACAAAAAAAAAAAAAAACAUUAUGAGGUAAAUGCCAAUUACGAUUCUACCCAUUUUUCUCUUGUAACAGUUGUCUCACUUCAAUACUUCAAAACAUCUGUUUUUGUGUUUCAACAUAUUAUUGAUAGCAUGAAAGAUCCAAGCAUUGUUGCAUUUUGGUUAAUCACAAUGCCUCAAAUUAUGGGAGGAUUUAAAUAUGAUGAUGAGAUCAAACAUAAAAUAUGAUGGUAAUACAAGGUUCUUCUUCUUCUUAUUUAUUUAUUUACUUAUUUUUUAAUUCAACUUUAUUACAAAAUUAAAUAGCUUUUUUUAUUGAUAUUAGUGUUUUUUUAUUUAGAAAAAUAUGUGAUAUGAUCAACUUCUUGAUGUUAUAGCAAUGAGAAAACUUGGAUGAGCAGGAAGUGAGAUAAAUUUAUAAUUUAUUAUCUUUAAUGAGAAAUUAAUUAAUUACAAUUUUGUUAUUGAAUUUGAAAUACAACAGGGAUUAUAUCAAUGGAUCCUGAACGUGCAAGAAAUGAUCCAGUGGUAGCAAAGAACAUUCGUUACUAUAAAACAAAGAGCAAAUUAGAGGCAGAAGUUUUGGUCCCUUUGUUUAGUUGUUGGUUUUGGUCCCUAAAAGAAUCAGGUUGUAGGUUUUGAACCUUGUUUCACUGUUACAUAAAACUUUUAUGAUUGCCUAAGUUAACAGCCUAACUGUUAGUUUUUUUUAAAUGACCAUUUUGCCUUUGAACCAAAACUAAAAAACGUAUAACAAAACAACAAAAUUUAUUUUUUUUCUUUUUUUUCUAUGUUUUUUUUACUUUAGGUUAGAAUAAAUUACAUUUUUGGUCCUUGAGUAUACCUGAUUUUUUUUUUCAGAAGGUUCUUAGGGGUGUUUUUGGUAUUUCAGGGUCAAAUGCUGACUCUAGUUGAGUACACACUUCUAUUAUACCGUGCAUUCUUACCUGCCCAUGUAUGGUACCGAUUCUUUUUGAAGAAAGAAUACGGGAGUCUAUUUUCAUCAUUCACAACAUGCUUAUAUUUAACUUUAAAGCUCACAACAAUUGUUGAGAAGGUAUAUUUCUUAUUCUUAUUGUGUUACUACCGGAGACAUAAGAAAACUUUCUAAUGAGGCUUUCAUGUCUUUUGUAUAACCCGUCUGUUAUAUUAUGUCAUGUCAUCUCUUGUCUUGUUUAUUGAUUUUUUACAAAGGUAUACACACACAUGUAACAUCAUAAUUUCAUUAUAUAUAACAUCCAAUUUUAAAAUUGAGUUUACUGUUUUCGAAAAUAGGAUCAUAGUUACCGAUUAAAAAGAUAAAACCAAGAACCAAACACAACAUCAAAAGAAAUUCAAAACCAACAUUAUACAUCCAGAUUAUAAGUAUUCAACAAAGAACCAUACGAAUGAGUAAAAACAUAUAAAUUCGUAAACAAUAUCAAACUUACAGAUUAAAAUGAUUUAAGGAAGAAAUACAUACAUUUAUUCAACUAAUCAGACUGAUGGGAAGGUUGAUGUUUUUUUGCAUUUGUUUUCUACAGAGGAAUUAUAAUAUAAUGUUGGUGUAAAUCGAUUAUUAAAAAGGUUUGAAAUAUAUAUACAAGUGAAUAUGAUGAAAAUUAGCAGGUAAUCAAUUGAAAUCCCAUUUAAACUUAAAUUAGAAGAUACCAUGCUCCAAAGUGUAGUGGUUCAUAAUAAUAUCCGAAAUUUUUAAAAUUUGAAAUUAAUAGUUUCCGAGAUUUCAACAUAUAAUAUAUUUGGAAAGCAAAUUUUGAAUGGAAAUAUAGCCUAAAUUUAAAGUUUACAUUAAUAAGGAACCAAUUUUGUAGUUGUAAGUUUGGAAAGAAUUCAAGUAUCAUUUUCAUUCAAUUCUUACAUUUAAUUUCCUAAUAUAACGGGUUGACUUCUUGUUUGAUCAAGGUGACAUAAGCAAAUUGAUCUAAGGGUGUAAAACCUAUAAAGGCAACACAAUCAACGGCCGAGAUUGUUUUAGAUGAUGUCAUAAGGUUUCUCUUUUAAUAAUAUUUAGAGAUUAUCAUGUAAAUUAAAUCAUAAAUUAAAAAUAACAUUUAAAAAGUAAAAAUAAAAUUUUAAUAAAUCAUAAAUUUAAAACAAAAAAAAAAUUGCAACAAAGGACAAAAACAAUUCAAAACCUAAAAACCAAAAAGAUGAUGAGAAAAAUUAUAACUUUUUAUCUAAAUUAUUCAAAUUUAGUAUCAUCGUAGAUAUGAUCUGUCAAGUCUUCUUGAAGUUGUUUGUAUUUUCGUUGGUCUUGAAUGUCAACGACUAUAUGUAAUUAUUUUGUUGUCCCUGGUUGAAAUUGAAUGUGUCCAGAUUUCGUAAGUGAAUACUCCGCUGUGUUUCAUCACUUAUCUUCAAUCACCUUGUUAUGCAUUAUGAUACAUGCAUACAUAAUAUCUCGUAGAGUGUCCAAGUGAUAUGGUCGUGCCGCAUGUUCAGUUAUGUUCCAUUGUAACACCCCAAAAAUAUGAAGGUAAAAUUUCAUUUUUAAAACAACCAAAACACCCAUUGAUAAUUUUAUUUAAACACUUAAAGGUAUUUUACAAUAAAAACGAUUAUCAGAGUAUAAUCCCAAAAUCUUAAGGUUGCAAAAAAUAUGGGCGUAUGCACCACGAUCAAGUCGGACCAUUCCUUUUCGAACCAGAAGUACCUGAAACCAUAAACAACAACUUUAAGCACAAAGCUUAGUGAGUUCCCCAAAUACCACAAACCAUACAUAUCAUAAGAGUCAUACUUAUCAAACAUGCAAUACGAAGUGCUAUGUGUCAACCAUAGUCUUGCCAUUAUGUCACGAGCCAUAUCAUGGUCUUUCCUUGCCAUGCUAGGGACCAAAACUUUGGGUCUUAUAGACAAGUGCCAGGAGCCGCCUCCCACUCUUCCAUGUAAGCAUCACAAAGAAAACCAACAUAUAAUCCACCACUACUUAAACCAAAUGCCAAGGGUUACCCCUGGUCAUCCUAUAAUACAUAAACCAAAUGGGUCGACAUUGGUGUCUUCGGCCCAUAGUACAGUGAGGAGACUCACCUCGCACUGCUGAAUCACACUGAUAAUCCCUGGCCGCUGGUCCUACGAUUCUCGAGCUAUCAAUAGCAAAUAACACCCAAUUAACAUUUAGGUUUCAAUCCAAAUCCAAAAAUCCAUACAUGGGAUUAUACCUUCACAACCUCUGAUUGAACCACUAAAACUCAAUCCCAUUCAAAAUUGAAAUUGAUGUUAAAAAUCAAGACUCGAAAAUCAGAUACAUCUUCUUCAUUAGGAUGAACCCAUUUACUAGAAAAGCUCCAUUGAUUGAUUACAGAUAAUAAGCACAACCUCGGAUUUUGAGGAAACUAGUGAUUCGGAGAACACUUUUGAACCCAAGAUACCCACUACAAAUCUUUCAGUUUAGCUUCAGAGAUGUUGGAUAUUUGUAAGAUAUUGUGACUAAAGAUUUCUCCAUCUCUGGAUUUCGUCGCCGUUCUUGGUGGUGAGGUGUUUUUCGGAUUAUGAUUUUUUGCGUUGGUUUUCGUUUCAGAUCUGCCCUUCGACUUUUGGAUUAAGGUUUAGUUUCAAAUUCGGGUGUAACAACCCAAAAACAGUGAUAUAAUUUUUCAUUUUAAAAUCAUGAUUUCCAUACAUCAUAUGCUCUAAAAGUUAACCAUGAUACAAAGUAUCAAAACAACAAGGUUAAACUACUCACAAGUACGGAAACAUGAUGUGGAUAUUGUGCAGUCAUGUCGGGCCCUUCCCUUUCGUAUCGAAGUAUUAGAAACCAUAAACAUAAAUUGUAAGCAUAAAACAUAGUAUGUUUCCCCAAGGUACCAUAUGCCAUAUGAAUCAGUGGGCCACGCCGUGGGGUAUAUUCCAACUCAACAUACAAUGGGCCUAGUAUUGGGGCCCAACCCUGGGGUUUCUUCCAACCCAACCAUACAAUCAUGGGCCCUGCCUUGGGGCCUAGCCUUGGGGUUUAUUUCAACCCAAUCAUACAAACAUGCAAGAGUCAUAAAAAUAGUUAACAUCCUACAUAACAUAAUCUAGUGGGUCGAUAUUGGUGCCUUCAAUCCACAAGUACGAUGAGAAGACUAACCUCUUAGUCAAUGCUCAACUACUACUGCUCUCAAAUGCGAGAAUACCAAGGCUACGCUCCACCUAUGCAGUCAGACCAGAUAAACCCAUAGCUCUUCAUCCAAAAUUAGGUGUUUGACCAAUAGUCAACUCAAGCCGAAAGUCAAUGGUCAAAGUCUAUAGUCAAUGUUGACUUUAGUCAACCGCCACAUCGUGUCCAUCCUUGGCCACACUGUGGCCCUCAAAUAUCCAGACAUACGGGUUUUUCAUAGUCACCAUGCUUUGGUAACCUAAGGUCAUGCUGGUGGGCGUUGGGUUUCCAACAACUUAGUGGGUUAAGCUAUUUUCUUUGAUCCUAAAUGCUCCAAAGCGCAAGUCUGGUCUGAAGCAUGGUCUUGAAGGAUAAAGUUUCCAACUUUAUCGAUAAAGACUACAGAAAUGGACAUAAUCUCAUAUUCUAGGUUCCAAAAAGGCUAAAUAAGACACGACUUCAUCCAUUAAACACUUAUUCCAAAAAGUCUUUAGCUCAUCAACUUCAAAAUGGUUUCUAAUAUCAAAAUCAUCAUAAAAUUCGUUGCUUUAUGGACAUGCAUGUCCAAUUCAUGUCUUGAAGCAAUAAACAAUCAAAAUAAGGGGUUUUUGAUAAAAAUCACAUGCAUGGUUCAAAAAAUCAACUACACUUCAAAUCCAAACCCAUAAUCAUACCAAAUGAUCUAGAGAUUUAUAAAGUUGCAAAAUUUAUGAGAUCUCACCAACCAACUAACUAGAAAAUUAAGAUCAAGGGACAAAACUCAAGAUCUAGCAACUUAUCAUGAUAAAAAUUGAGUCUUGAACACUUACAAAUGUCUAGAAGAUUGCUACAACGAGUGUUAGGGGCUUGUUUGUUGAAUCCUAACUUAAUUCUUCUUCUUUCUUCAUUAAAGGACUUCAAAGAACACCAAAAAUAGCUAAAAUAAAGAAGGAAGGAAAUUAGGAUUUCUUAGAUCUUAAGGAGGCUAAUAGAGGCUAGGGGUGAGCAAACCCUAGCCUCAUCAUUCCUUUAAAUAUGGAGCAAACACAUAAAAAAUAGAGUUUGCCAUCUGCCAACUACCACGUCGUGGCCAUAUAUUGCCAUGUCAUGGCGACUUAAAUGAAGUACACAAUCCAUCUUCACUUGUCACGUCAUGGUGGUGCCUCCACCACAUUGUGGCAAACCCUAAAAUGCCAAAAAUGAAAAUGUGAAGUUCCUCGGGAUCCGGACAUUAGAUCGAACUAAGAACAAGUCCCCUUCUCCAUAUUUAUUUUAGAUCUAGAACAUGGAGUAUAUGUGUGUGUUGUUUUUUGAUGAAUACAACUACUGUGAGAAUUGUGUGUGUGUGUGUUCUAAAUUUGACAAGACAAAUAAUUUUGUGGGUUUUCUUGAGAGAGAGAGAGAGAUUUGUGGGUUUGAGAGAGAGAGAGAGAAGAGAGAAACUCUUAUUUUUUUAUUAUUAGAAAUAGAUAAAUAAGUAUUAAAUUUUAAAAAAAUAGAAAAUAAAUACAUUAAGAGUAUUAUAGUUAUUUCAAGUUUCAAAUGGACAAAAUACGCAACAAAACUAGUUCAAAAUGACCAUCGUUUCAAAAAAGACGAGGUUUGAACUAAACUUCAGAAAAAAUGCUUACCAAAGAGACUAUUUUUACAAUUUUGUCUAUUUUUUCAAACAUCAUAUAUCCAAACAAUUCUUUAACAAGCGAGUCCCCGAUAACAUGUAACAUGUAAUAGGAAGUCAAAAUCUUUUGUGGUAGAUUUUUUCGUUCAAAAGAUAUUUGGCAUUUCUUGUAAAGUUACAAGCUAAAUGAUAGAGUUUUUUUUCUUUUAUAAAUUUAAUAUUAUUUUAUUCAUUUGCUUGAAAGCAUAGGAGCUUAUUAGAUAGUUAUUUCAGUGAAAUAAGUUUUGCCAAAAUCAAACAAGCUAUUGUGAGAACCUUUUUGUCCCAAACCAUUUCACUUUGGCUGAAAUUUUACAAGCUCGUAGGGCUUUUCACAAUUCUAAUAUUAUUAAAAUCAUUUUCAAAACUUUUUUUUUAUCUUAGUAGGGCCCAUAAAUAAGUUGUAUAUAAUUUUUUUUUACUACUAUAGCAUGGUUACAUUAAAAAUUAAGUUAUUAAGUUAGCACCAAAAAGAUCAGCGGAAAAAACUUUGAAAAAAGUUUUCUGUUAAUGUAAAUGAUCUAAAUUGAUAUUUAUUUCAUCCAUAAGUAAAAUUUGUUAAAAGUAUUCCUUACCGUGGACAUUUAUUUAAGCUUUAUGGUUUAUUAAUGUGGCGAUGAUGUGUUUAUUGUACAUAUAAAAGCACCUUACAUGUUACACUUGAUUAAUGAAUAAUUGGCAGUGGUGACAUUGAUGGAAUGAUCCCAGUAACAUCCUCAAGGUACUUCGUGAAAAAGUUAAAACUUCCAAUUAAUAGAGACUGCAUGGAGAUCAUGGUACUCUAAUGGAGAGGUGAGAAUAUUUGAAAUAAUAAUACCAUCGAAUAACAAUGUAGCUGGAGCAAAAUAUAAAUUUUUAAAAUAAACAAUGCUAUAAUAGCAGAAUUUAAUAUGUUGAUGUUAAAAAUGUGAUAGGUGGGAGGAUAUGUGGUAGGCUACAAAGGGGUUAUACUUACCACAGUAAGAGGCGCAGGGCAUGCAGUCCCUAGUUACCAGCCAGAAAGAGCAUUGCUCUUGAUUUCAUCAUUUCUUCAUGGAAAACUUCCGCCAUCUUUGGCUAAAUAACCAUUAUUAGUUAUUUACCAGAUGAAAAGUGACAAGUUAUAAGCAAGUGGUAUCCAAUCAUAUUAGAAAUAUAACAAGUUCAUUUAGAGCAAUGAAAGUUUAUAUACAAUAAUAAAUAUGUCUCCUUAACCAUUUUGGACGGCUUUAAAAUAAAGUAAACUAGGAAAGAGCCCAUGCUCGCAUAGGUUGUAAAUAAUUUAAAGUUUUCUAAAAAAAUUGGUUGGAAAUAAUUUAAAGUUUUCUAAGAAAUAUUGGCACAAAAGUGACAUUUGUCAAAGUUUAGUGGCGUUAGUGUAACGAAUCAUCAAACUUUAGUGUCAAAAGUGUAAAUAAGUAAAAGUGAAACUUUUGUGGCAAAAGUGUAAAGAAAUAAAAAUAAAAUGGCAAAUAUAUUAAUUGGAAAAGGUUCCUGUUAAGGCAAAAGUGUAAAGAAAUAAACUAAAGUGGUAAAAGUAUGAAUUGAAAAAGGUUAAGGCAAAAAUGUAAGGAAAUAAAAGUAUAGUGGCAAAAAUUGGGAAGAGUUAAAAGUAGCAAAAGUAUGAAUUAAAAAAGGUUAAGGCAAAAAUAUAAAUAAAUAAAAAAUAAAAUUAAAGUGGUAAACGUGUGAAUUGGAAAAUAUUAAAGCAAAAAUGUAAUGAAAUAAAAGUAUAGUGACAAAAGUAUGAAUUGGGAAAAGUUAAAAGCUGCAAGAAUAUGAAUUGAAGAAGAUUAAGGCAAAAAUGUAAAGAAAUAAAAGUAAAGUGUCAAAACUAUGAAUUGAAAAAAGUUAAUGUUAAAAAUAUCCAUGUGCUUUAAUAUAUAUAUAUAUAGUUUAUAACCCGUGGGAACCACGGUUAGAAAAUUAAUUAAACUUUCUAANNNNNNNNNNNNNNNNNNNNNNNNNNNNNNNNNNNNNNNNNNNNNNNNNNNNNNNNNNNNNNNNNNNNNNNNNNNNNNNNNNNNNNNNNNNNNNNNNNNNNNNNNNNNNNNNNNNNNNNNNNNNNNNNNNNNNNNNNNNNNNNNNNNNNNNNNNNNNNNNNNNNNNNNNNNNNNNNNNNNNNNNNNNNNNNNNNNNNNNNNNNNNNNNNNNNNNNNNNNNNNNNNNNNNNNNNNNNNNNNNNNNNNNNNNNNNNNNNNNNNNNNNNNNNNNNNNNNNNNNNNNNNNNNNNNNNNNNNNNNNNNNNNNNNNNNNNNNNNNNNNNNNNNNNNNNNNNNNNNNNNNNNNNNNNNNNNNNNNNNNNNNNNNNNNNNNNNNNNNNNNNNNNNNNNNNNNNNNNNNNNNNNNNNNNNNNNNNNNNNNAUAUAUAUAUAUAUAUAUAUAUAUAUAUAUAUAUAUAAUGGAAUGAAAUUGGUGAAUUCCAUCGGGCAUGCAGAGCUAACCGUUUUUAUUUCAUUCCAAUGAAAUGAACCAUGAAUGUUCUUCCUCAUCAAUUAUUAACGAAUUUUCAAUAAUCAUGUAUUCCCAAUUUUAAGCAUGAAUUUUGAACCCUAAACAUUUAUCAAUGAGACAAAUGAUUAUACUACAAGAAUAAUGGGCAAUAGCAGCGACUUGUGUCGCCAUAAAAGGUAUGGGUUGUCGACGCUAAUACCUUUAGCGGCGACAUGUCGCUGCAAAUGAGUCGCCGGUAAUGCUUCGUCGUUAAUGUGCAUCUGGUCGCCGCUAAUAAUGUAUUGUCGUUGCUAUUGGUUUGUCGCCACUAAAGCCCAUUUGUCGCCGCAAAUACCCUGUCGCCACUAAUAGUGCAGUGUCGCCGCAAAAAAAAUUGGUUUUUUUUGUUUAUUUAACAUUAAAUUUAUAAAAAUCAAAAUAACACUUAUAGAAUCUAAUAAAUUUUUAUACAAAUAUUAAUCCAUACACAAUCAAUCAAAAAUAUUAAUCCAUACCACAACUUAAAGUGUUCUUCCAAAUUACAAAAAACAUUUCAUAAAAUCCUAAAGUAGCUACUCGUCCUCAUCAUUUCCUUCAUUAUUAUUUGAUGGCGGCAAUAAACGAAACCACUCUUCCAAUGAUGCAGAACAAGCCGAGUCCUUUAGUAUCGUUUGCAGCAUUUCCAACUAUAAAGAAAAUAAAAUAUAUUACCAACAUAUCAUAAUAGCAUUAUACAUUCCAAAAAUUACCAAAAUCAAAUAUUCAAACGUAUAUAACUAUAACCAACAUAUCAUUAUAGCAUUCUAACUUUCCAAAUACACUUAAACAUACAUCAUACAUAACACAUCAUUAUAGCAUUUUACUUUUCAUUAUAGCAUUUACUUUCCAAAAAUUACGAAACUACAAAAUAACAACAUAUCAAAUCAUAACCAACAUGUCAUUAUAGUAUUCUACUUUCCAUUACAGCAUUGUACUUUCCAAAAAAAUACACUACAAAUAUCAACAUAUUCAACCAUAACCAACAUAUCAUUAUAGCAUUCUACUUUCCAUUAUAGCAUUUACUUUACAAAAAUUAUCAAACUACAAAAUAUCAACAACUCAACCCAUAACCAACAUAUCAUUAUAGCAUUCUACUUUCCAUGAUAGCAUUGGACUAUAUACUAAACAAACAAUUAUCAAAAUAUAAAUAUAGCAUCCUACUUUUUUUUUCGUUUUUUCCAUUAUAUCCUUCUACUUUUCAACUUAAAGUAACAAUUACUUGUGAUUGUGGUGGUUCUUGUUUCACCGGUUGUUCCUGAUCGUACAUACACACAACGGUAGGAGGUUUACACUCAAUGCCUCUAAUAUGUCCACGUCGAACACCCAAUAUUCUUUCAAAAUAGUUUUUUAUAUCAGUGGAUAUUAGACCGCUUGCUUCAGAAGAAGUUUGUGUUCGUUUGUUGAUCUCCUGGAGUAAAGGAGUAAAGCAUUAUGUAUUUUCAAAAAAUAAUAAAAAUCAUAAAAAUUAGAUUACUAAAUACCCUUGAAGAUAUAAACACUUAUAUGAAAAUACAAAUUAACCACUUACGUAUUGUUGCUCGACUGCAAGAGUACAAAAUACCCCUUAGCGAUUGAGAUUAGCCUUAAGAAAAGCUUCAAUUCGACUAGUAUCCUAUUUAACAUUAAAAAUUAGAUUACAUAUACUUUAAAUAAACAUUUAAUUAUAUCAUAACUUAGUUUUUUGAAACAUGCAUUGAUGUACGAGCUCGACUCCCCUCUGUUUACAACUACUUGUUUUGCACGGACUUCUGUGUUUGACGUUGAACACCUUAAAAUUCUGGCGUUUGGAAAUGUUCGACUGUCUUCGCCUAAUUUUCACAUGACAUACCCUUUGGGAAGGGGGGGUUGGCUAAUGUGGCUGGGAUAUCAGCAAGCCCCCCGAUCUCCUUAAAAUAAGAAUGAGCUUUACUUUUUCGGCCUCUAUAAACUUUUGCAGGACUCGAAUCAAUGCUCCGCAACAAUUAAGCACGCUCCAGAACUAUGUUAACCUUAUCCAAAUCAAAUUUAUUCUAAAAAUAAAAAAAAGUUAGUUAAUUAAAUAACUGUCACACCCCAAAACCACGAACGGUGGAAACGUUCCGGGGUGGAGGACGUCAUGUACAGUAUCACAACAGAGUAAAGUAGUAAACACGCAACAACAUCAUCCAUUGCAUUAAAAGUAAAGUUUUAAUACAUGUGUGUUCUUUCAAUGUAAUAAGACACCAAAAUAUACAAUCAAAAUAAAAGACGAGUCUUGUCUGUGCUCCGUCUUCUCAAAACCUGGCCAUCGUACAUGUCUACUGGUGACCUGAGAAUACAAGUUAUUUUGAAAGCGAGUAUCAACCUAAAGCUGGUGAAUUCAUAAGUAUUUAAGUGUCAUUGUCUUGUUUUGGAAAGUUGUUAUGAAUGCCUUGUAAAUCUUUAAAUGAAACAAUGAUAUAAGUAAUGAAAACCCUAGAAAAUCCCUUAUUUCCUACUAGUAUGAAAUGUAGUCUUCUACCAAGACCCGAAUGUUUUGUAAGUGAAAAUGAUAGCUUUUCCUUUCUUUUGACUAUUACUAACAGUACUUAGUCUAACUCAUCGUUUAUGUGAAUGUAUCACAAAAUAAAGUAAUAGGAAAAUGUACUAAUGUAAUUGUUAUCCUUUUGUAUUAGGAUUAACACGACAUCGCGAUUAGCGAAAUGUAUAACCUUUGAACACCCGUAGAUUGUUCAAUUGUCCUCUGUAGCUACAGCAGGUGGGAGGAAGGGUUAGUCCCGCAAAGGUACUCCUAGUAUAAGUAUUAACCGUAGGCAUCCGUAGAUGUUCAUCAACCUCUGUAGCGAACAGUAGGCCUAAGGAAUGGUUAGUCCCGUAGAGGUACUCCUAGUAUAAGUAAUAACUAUAGACAUUCGUAGAUGUUCAUCAACCACUGUUGCUAACAGGUGGGAUUCGGAAUGGUUAGUCCCGUUUAGAUAUCCCGUUGAACUGGGAUAGCAGGACAAUUUACACAGAAGGUACUAAUAAAUCAUCCUCGUAAAUCGAGAUACAAGUAUUCAUGAAAGUGUAUACAGGUAAAUGUAUCUAUGUAAAGGUACUCAUGUAAUGUAUUCAUGUAAGCUAUUCAUGUAAGUGUAUACAGGUAAAUGUAUCUACGUAAAGGUACUCAUGUAAUGUAUUCAUGUAAGGUAUUCAUGUAAGUGUAUCCAUGUAAGCGUACUCAUGUAGGUGUAUUCAUGUAACAUGUAAUGUAUACCAUAGACUCAUGAAUGAACUGACUCUGAUGUAAUUCCUUGUUAGAGGAACAAUGUUUUGUAUCUUCUAACUAUCCGUAUAAUAGUUAACUAGAAGGUAAUUGGUUGUUCAAGCUGGUUUAUACACCCUUGCUACACAAGAGCGUGGGAAACUGAAUGAACGAUGAAAAACUAUAACAUCAAUACAUAUAUAACAACAUAAGUGUAUAGAUAUAGUUUUGUUCAAAAAGGUAAAAAUGGUUUUGUAAGACAUCUAAGAGUUUUGAACAAUAAUUAACAAUGACUUGAUGUCAUUUUAAGAAGCAUUUCAAAACAAAUACAAUUGUUACCAAGGUAUUUUAAGAUAGAAAACCAUUUCAUGCAUCAUAUUUUGAAGUAUGUGAAAUCUGCUGGAUGAAAACACAGUUAUAAAAUACAUAUGAGUGAUUUAAUAACAUGCUGUUUUCUACUUGUAUNNNNNNNNNNNNNNNNNNNNNNNNNNNNNNNNNNNNNNNNNNNNNNNNGGGGUAUGAACUCACCUGAAGAUGGUGGUUUGGAUGAACUGAACGGUGUAGGAUUGUUAGGUGUCAAGUGAGGACUUGUACACACACUAUGAUCCUAAUGAACAUAUAAUCACACAUAUAUGCACCCAAUUAGUCUUAAACUAUUAAUUGCAAAUGUUAAGACAUCCUAGAACAUUAUAAACACUUUAUAUAAGUGUUAUAAGCCCUAAGGAUUGUAUCUAAGUUGUCGUGGGACAAGGCUAAUGGGUUUAGGGUUCAAAAGGACCCUAUACAUGAGUUUACUCUCCAAUAAACCACACACAAGGAGUUUACAGUCGUAAACGCUUGAGUUUACGGCCGUAAUCUCCUAAGCUUAAUGACAUUUUGUGUUUUGAAGUGUUACAUGAUUCCUAGAAGCAAUUCUACUUGGUGGUUUAAUCCAUGGAAGAGUUUAGGGCAUUAAGAUACUCCUUUGAAGAGUUUAUGGCCCCAAGGCCAUUCCCUUUUGAGUUUACUGCCGUAAACUCAUAUGGGAAGGGGUAUUUUUAUGCUUUCAACUCCCAUGCUCAUCUAGGAUUGGUUCUAGACAUUUAUCUAAGGCUAAUGAAGGCCUUAGGCACACUUUGGUACCCCGUUUUGAUGUUCACGGCCCAAAGACCAAAACCAUAAGAGAUUAGAGCCGUAAUCUCUCUUUGGGAGGGUUUUUUGAUGAUUUAAAGUCCCUAAAUUAACUAGAAGUAAAUCAAUUCUAUUGUCCAAGGCUUUAGGAGUGAUUAAGGCACUCUUUGGCCUUUGAGUUUGGAGUUCACGGUCCAAGAACUUUUGGGGCCGUGAACACCUAAAUCUUGGUGUUCAUGGGUGAUAUCUAGUCUUAUACACACUAGUAUACAAGCCUAAGGUAGUUACAUAUCACGGGGGAAGGACUAGGCAUCAUUUAACCCUUAUAAAAGAGUUUACUCCCCAAGGUGUUCUUGGGCGGUAAACUCUCGAAUCUAGCUGUUUUGUUAUGAAAUCAAUGUUAUUGAGCACAUUAUAAGCCAUAUAAUACAACUAGAGAGAGGUACUCACGAUUUGAGAUGAAAACCCGAAGAUCCGUGAAAGAGAAAAUGGUUUUUCUCUAGUUGGAAGUGUAAGUAAUGAAUGAAUAUGGCUCAGAAUUUUAUAUAUAGUCCUAGGAUUUUUGGCAGAAAAUAUUUUAUUCCCGAAAUGAACUCUAAUGUAAUGGAGUUUUGGAAUAACAGAGUUGCACAAAACCCUAGUGCAUCCACUCUCCUGAUAUAUCCUUAAGUGUAAACCCUGAAAUACUCAAACUUAUACAGAAAAGUCUGAAAAUUUAUUGUGACUGUUCUAACUUCUAUUGAUUUGAUAAUGUUCGUACAAAAUGGAAAUUCUGGGUUGUCAUAAUAAAAAUCACAACUAAACUUAAAAUUUUAUCCAAGUUACAUUUAGAUGCACAACAUUUGCGUUCCUUAAUGUGGGGGAAACAUUGUCCCAACCAGAUACGUUGAAAGGGACGUUGUUCCACAAAUACCUCCCAAUUUCAUGUGUGAACCAAUUACCAGGCUUCCCGACAGGGGAAUAUGUGAUAUCCCUAUCGAAAUCCAAAUCCACAGGCUUUCCCUGUUUGCCUGUAUCAACUUUCCUAGAUUGAUAUUUUUUGACAUGCCCCUUCUUUUUUUUGGAAGCUCGGCUGAAAAAAUACAAUUAAAAAUAUUAGUCACGAUAACUUAUAUGAAAAUAAAAAAAAACAGCUAAGAAAUAUAUCAUAAUGAAACUUACCAUCGUGUUCAUGCUGACCACGACCAAAGUUUACUGGAGGUGGUGGAUCCCCAGCUCCAUCACCUCCAUGUCCAAUCCCCAUAACAUCGGCCAUCAUGGUGAAGAGUAUCGCCUAAGUAAACCUCCUUUGUAGCCUGUAAAUUACAAGAUGUACAAUAUAGAAAUAUAAGAUGAAUAAAAGUUAGUUAUCCUGCGAAAUUGUAAGAUAUACAAUAUAGACAAAUAACAUAAAUAAAAGUUUGACAAACAAUAUGAAUUAAAGGUACACUUCAAAUAAAGUUUCUACUAUAAAAAAACAUUUGAUUUUUUAAAUCAGAAUCUUUAUCAUAUACUUCAAUGUCUUCUUCAUCAAUAUCAUAAUCAAAAUCGUCAUCUUUAUAAUCAGUCUCUUCUUUGGAAACAUUAUCGAUUCUACCCGUUGGCGGAGGUACUUUAGUCUCGUCCUCGUCGUCAUAAUCAGCAUUGUUUUGAGCUAAAUCAACAUUGUUUUGAAUGUAUUAUGAGCAUUCAAUAAAAAGUCUAGCUCGAGAUGAAGAAUUUUUUUGAACUAUGUCAACAUUUUCGACCAGUUCGACUCGAAUCCUUACCAAUCCCUGUUUGUCUGGAGAGUGUUAGGAUGUUUACCCGGUUUAUGAAGUAGUAGACGACCUAGUUGCUCUUGUAUGUCUUCAUUAGUAAAGUGUCUCGGAGUGGGUCUUGUCUCGGGUUGCCCGUUAAAUUUCAAACUCAUACUUAAUGUAUCAUCAACAUCUAAGAACCGACGAUGACCAAUAUAAACGACUUUAUUUACUACACGGUACGAGGGAGUGUCUUCAUUGCAAGUCGGGUAUGCUCUAUACCCUUGUUCGCUCCAGCCCGAUAAACUACUUCGAGCUGGAAUGUAACAUACGGAAUUUCAGGUAUUAUAUUUAUUCAUUCUAUUUUGAGUUUUGUGGAAGAACUCGGCGAGUUGGUGCGUAGAAUCGCCGAGUAGAGACGCGAUUUCUCACCUGGAUUAAUGACCAGACUCGACGAGUCGCAUUGGUGGACUCGGCGAGUCCGUGCUGUUUAAUGAAACCCUAAUUUCUCGGGUUUGGGGCCUAUUUAAAGGGCCUUAUGGCCGUCAUUUGUGCUCACCAGUCCCCAGAGCGAAACCCUAGUGAGCUUGAGCGUUUGGAGUGAGAGAAGGAUCCAUUGUUCACCUUGGUGGUGUUGUCUUAGCAAGGGAAAGGAAGCUAUAGCCAAGAGGAAGCAAGAGCGUCAAAUUCCUGAAGAUCUGAGGUCCAGAACAUCACGUUUGAGGUACUAUUUUCCAACCCUUUUCUGUUGAGCUGAUGUUCAUGUUGAUUUAGGGCUUAUUGAGCCCUUUUGUGGCUAGAUCUAGUGCUCCCUUGGUCCCUUAAGCGAGUUAGGUUCUGGAUCUGGACCCUUGGAGGUCCAGAGUGUCCCUUUGUCCAAGCUUUUUAUGAAUCCAUGGAGGUUUUGUUUCAGGAUCUUUGUGCUUGAGGUCAAAACACCAUUUAUGAGUCAUUAGGUAUGAUAUGGGCGCCAAGACAUGAACUUUACGUGAUAAAUAAGCUUGGAAGGACUGGAUCUAUGAGUUNUUGGGGGUUGUGCAGGGAAUGCCCUCGCCGAGUCCAUUGGCAGACUCGACGAGUUGGUGCGGGUUGUUCAGGGAUUUCGAACCAGGGGUUGAGUAACUGAGUUGGGUGAGUGACUCGGUGAGUCGGAAGGGACUCAGAGGAAUCGAGUCCUCGUAGAGACUCGGCGAGUCCACGCCAAACUCGGCGGUUUUGGUUGAUCGUUGACCAUUGACCAGAGUUGACCAGUGCUGACUUGAUAGGGUUAGUCAACCCUACGUGAGUGACUCGGUGAGUCGGAAGGGACUCAGAGGAAUCGAGUCCUCGUAGAGACUCGGCGAGUCCACGCCAAACUCGGCGGUUUUGGUUGAUCGUUGACCAUUGACCAGAGUUGACCAGUGCUGACUUGAUAGGGUUAGUCAACCCUACUUGGGAAAGUGUUAAUUAGAGAUGUAUUGUGUUAUAGGAUGACUAUAGCUCGGGAGAUCGAGCACUAGUGAUUUUAGGGAUUUACGAGUUACNNNNNNNNNNNNNNNNNNNNNNNNNNNNNNNNNNNNNNNNNNNNNNNNNNNNNNNNNNNNNNNNNNNNNNNNNNNNNNNNNNNNNNNNNNNNNNNNNNNNNNNNNNNNNNNNNNNNNNNNNNNNNNNNNNNNNNNNNNNNNNNNNNNNNNNNNNNNNNNNNNNNNNNNNNNNNNNNNNNNNNNNNNNNNNNNNNNNNNNNNNNNNNNNNNNNCACGGACCCACAGAGUUAUAGCCUCGAGUGGCUAAUAUGUGUUAUGUGUGGUAUUUUGGGGAACUCACUAAGCUUUGUGCUUACAGUGUUUGGUGUUAUUUGUUUCAGGUACUAGUGAGGAUCGCGGGAAGGCGCCGGCCUGAUCAGUACACACACGGGAUUUUUAUGUUACGAGAUCUUGGGAUUUUUAUAUGCUAUGAAUUUGAGUUUCAAACAAUGAUGUUUUUAUGACAAUGAAUGAAUUAUGUUUCGUAUAAAAUGCGAAAAAUUGUUUGAAAUUUACGGUGUUACAAAUUGGUAUCAGAGCCUUGGUUUGAGGGAUUCGAGUACACCUUCGGGCGUAUUUGAACUCAAACUGAGGAUUUGAGAAAUAAUAUCAAGAAAAAAGAGUAAAAGAUUUUUUUUGGAAAAACACAAAGCAAAGUCGUGUGUACGAUCAGUCAGCGCCCGAACGGUGAUUUCCCAAGAUACCCUUAUAUUAUAUGUUAGGAUAUUGAUAUGAUGUAUUCUCAUGCUAGAGUGGGCUAGGUACUCCUAUUAGGACUAGAGUGGCCUGAUUUGUGAUGCCUUAGCCUAGGGAGAGGUGAGCUGCUAUGAGAUGCUUGAGAGUGAGUAGGUAGCAGCGAGGAGCUUAUGAGAGAUCUGUUAGAGAGUGGAUUAUGCAUAAUAGAGUACUUGGGAUUUGGGAUCCGAAGAGGAGGACUUGGGGUGUAUACUGAUACGGUGCGGACAGUAGUAUUGGGCCCGUACUACUGAAAACACCGGGGCAGUGCACAGUCCAAGUAAGAAUCUUCGGGAUGCUAGGGAUACAGGAGGGAUGAGUUGUGGAGUGUGAGUAUGCUCGAAUGGGUUCUAAUUUAUCAUAUGUUGUAUUUCAGAGGUAGAUCAUGGUGAGGACACGUCUUAUACCAGAGAGCAGUGGGGCUAGUGAUGAGGAGAUCCGCCAAAUCAUCCAUGAGGAGGUGGCUGCGGCCAUCAGGGCAGAGAUACCAGAGAUGUUCGGGUCUAUUAAGACCAUGUUGAUUGAGACUUUUGACAAGCGUUAUGCCGCUCUUUCUGAGGCUGCUGUUGCGACGGCCCCCGCAGCCAUUGCUGCUGCUAGGCCGCAAGGGGGUGACCCGUUGUUGUUCAGGGAGUUCAUUAACACGAAGCCACCAGAGUUUGACGGGACGCAGGACCUGAUUGCAGCGAUGAGAUGGGUAUCUGACAUUGAGGGUUGUUUCUACACAUGCUCAUGCGCAGGGCACUUGAGGGUUCGGUUUGCACUGAACCAGCUUCGCCUGGGGGCGAAGGACUGGUGGAAGUUCACGACAGCACACUAUUCUCUAGCAGAGCUUGCUGCGGUGACCUGGGAAAGGUUCACCACCAUGUUUCGUGAUGAGUACAUUCCUCCGGUGGAACGGGAUCGGUUGGCACAGGAGUUUUUGACCCUCAAGCAGGGUACAGAGUCCAUUAUAGUUAUCACCAGGAUGUUUCAUGAGAGGGCGAUGUUCUGCCCUGAGCACGUGUCUACUGAGCAGGCACGUAUAAGCCGUUAUUUGAGUAUUUUGCGGAGAGUUAUUCGGGAGUUCGUGGCGAACUCCUCAUACCGGACAUUUGCCGAGCUUCAGGAAAAUGCCCAGAAGAGGGAGAUUGAGCUAGAGACUCAGGCCAGGGAGGAGGCGGAGUCUCAAGGGAUGGAUCGGCGACCGGCACAGUCCCAGCCGGCAGCCAAGCGAGCCAAGCCUGCUGAUCCCAAAACAGGGAGCCAGAAGUGCCGCACUUGUGGAAAGUGUGGAAAGGGUCAUGAUGGAGUUUGUAGAGCUGGAUCUUGCUACAAUUGUGGAAAAGAUGGGCAUAUGGCCAAGGACUGCCCCAAGGGGUUUGCAGUGUGUUUUCACUACAACCAGACCGGACACCGAAAGGCAGAGUGUCCACAGUUGCAGGGAUCAGCUCAGGGAGCACCCCCGGGAUCUGCCCCUGCCGCCAUCAAAGCUACCGAGAGUCGGCUAGUGAAGGCCGAGGCGCCGAGGGCACGAGGGAGAGCCUUUCAGUUGACCGCGGAGGAGGUCCGCGCAGCGCCCGAUGUCGUGGCUGGUAUGUAUUCUUUCGUGUAUUUAUUUUGAUGUUGAGAUAUUAUGCUUAUAUUAUGUUAUGCGUAGGUACUUUUCUUGUGAAUUCCGUACCUACCUUGGUGUUAUUUGACUCGGGUGCGAGUCGGUCUUUUGUAUCUUUGGCUUUUAGUCAGCAUAUCAGUGUUAGUCGUGAGGCGUUGAGUCGGCCUCUGAGAGUUUCCAUAGCUGACGAGAGGGUGAUAUAUGCCACGAAGGUGAUUCGUGGGUGCGUAUUCGAGAUUUUCGGUGUAGAGUUCCCAAUCGAUUUGGUUCCUAUUGCGAUGGGUGAUGUCUGUGUCAUUGUGGGCAUGGACUGGUUGAGCAGAUUCGGUGCGGUUAUCGACUGCGAGCGACAGCUGGUGACCAUACGAGACCCUAGUGGGGGAGUUCUUACGGUGUACGGCGAGGGUACACGUUCUGGAUCAGCGUUUUGUUCGGCCGCUAGGGUGAGGCAGUGUCUACAGCAGGGCUGUAAGGGCUUUGUGGCGUAUGUGAUGGAUACGCGGGUUGAUUCAGAGAGGCCGAGGUCAGUUGAGGAGGUUCCGAUAGUGCGUGAGUUCCCGGAUGUAUUUCCAGAGGAGUUGCCGGGUGUGCCUCCCGUGAGGCAAGUGGAGUUCAGUAUCGAUUUGGUUCCGGGGGCCGCGCCUAUCGCCAAGGUGCCUUAUCGCCUUGCACCUCCAGAGAUGCAAGAGUUAUCCUCGCAGCUUCAGGAGCUGCUGGGAAAGGGAUUUAUUCGGCCGAGCAGCUCGCCGUGGGGAGCGCCUAUUUUUUUUGUCAAGAAGAAGGAUGGUUCACACCGGAUGUGCAUUANCUUCGUUCGGAAGGUAUGGGUUGCCGCGGGGAUGGAGUCCAGCCAUGUUAUCUAUGCGAUAAUUGGGGUCAAGAAGUAUUGGUUCUCCAAGAUUGAUUUGAGGUCUGGAUAUCAUCAGGUAAGGGUGCGAGAUGAGGACAUCCAGAAGACGGCGUUCAGGACGCGUUAUGGGCAUUACGAGUUUGUGUUAUGCCUUUCGGGCUCACCAAUGCCCCGAAAGUGUUCAUGGAUCUUAUGAACCGAGUGUGCAGGUCAAUGUUGGAUCGGUCGGCGAUUGUAUUUGUGACAACCCGAAAUUUCCAUUUUGUACGAACAUUAUCUAUUCAAUAGAAGCUAGUCCAGUUUCAGUAAUUCUCAGACUUGUCCGAAUAAGUUUGUGUACAUUAGGGUUUACAUUUAAGGAGAUAUCAAGAGAGUGGAUGCUCCUGGGUUUGUGAAACUCGAACAUUUCAAAACUUCAUAAUGUUAUAGUCAAAUUCCGGAAUAAAAAUAUUUUCUGUCAAAAUAUUUCAGGACUAUAACUAGAUUUCUGAACUAAAUUCAUUCAUUAUUCACAUUUCCAACUAGAGAAAAGUCAUUUUCUCUCUCACAGAUCUUCGGGUUUUCCUCCCAAAUCGUGAGUCUACAUUCCUAGAUAUGUUUUAAUGCUUGUUAUAUGCUUAAUAACAUUGUUUACAUGUCAAAUAUGUAAGAUUCGGGAGUUUACCGCCCAAGAACGUUCUUGGGGAGUAAACUCCAAAAUAAAGCCUAAAAGCUACCUAGUCCCAUUUCCUUGCUAGGUAACUAGUUAAGGAAAUUAUGUAUGAUCAUUUGAGGCUAGCACACAAUCAAGAACACCUAGUUUUAGGAGUUUACGGCCCAAGAGUUUCUUGGACCGUAAACACCAAUUUCAAGGGCUUAAAUGUGCCCAAAUCACUCCUAAGGCAUUAAGACAUUAACCCUCUAUUACUUCUAGCUAAUUUGGAGACUUAAACACAUCAAAAUCACCCGUUAAAGGGAGUUUACAGCCAAGGAAUAACUCUUGGGCCACAAACUCCAAGUAAAGGCACCAAAGUGUGCCUAAAGUCCCCUUUAGCCUUAAACAAAAGUCUAGAAUUUAUCCUUUGUGUGCAAGAGGCUUAAAUGAAUUAAAACACCCACCCCAUAGGAGUUUACGGCCGUAAACUCUAGGGGAUAUGGUCUUUAGGCCGUAAACUCCUCAAAGGAGCAUUCUAAGGCCCUAAACUACCUAAAGGAUUAAACCACCAAUGCUAGGCUUAUUCUAGAAAUCAUUUAGCACUUUAAAACACCCAAAACCACCAAGACAAGAGUUCACAGCCUUAAACUCAUGGUUUUACGACCGUAAACUCCUUUUUUGGGGUUUAUUGGGUAGUAAACUCUUAUUCAAGGUCUUUUGGUACGUUAAACCCUUUUGCCUUGUCCCAUAUCAACUUAGAUGCAACCAUUAGGACCUAUAACACUUAUACCAAGUGUUUACAUGUUCCUAAGUGUCCCAACUUAUUUCAUUAAGUUAUUAUUUGGCUAAUUAGUUAUAUAUAUGCUCAUUAUAUGAUAACUAGGCUCGUGCGCGUGAACAAGUCUCUGUUUGCCACCUAGCACGGUAUCCGAUACUUCAAUCCAGUCCACUCACCACAAGUGAGUUCAUACCCCUUUAAUUAACCUUUGAAAUGAUUUUAAAUGUUUUAAAUACUUUAUGGGGGAAUACAAGUUAAAUACUUAUGGUUGUUGCAUCAAUCACAUGUGAUUACAUUAAUCACAUGUGAUUAAUAACUAGAAAACCAAUGAUUUUAUCACUGUUCAAAUUGUUUAUCAAACUGUUUUACUUCAAAAUGUUUUACAAACUCUUUUACUUAUCAAAUUCUUUUAUUAAAAUUUGUUUUACUUAUUAUAAAUUGCAUGCCUAUAUAUGUAUAGAUAUAUAAGAAAUGUUUAAAGGGCUUAGGAAGGCCAUCCGCCCUAUUUCCUUUUUCUCGAUUUGGAUGUGGUCUGGUGGGAUUUCGGGUAACCGUCCGAAGGUUGUUUCAAUAUUAAUUAUAUAUCAAUUAUACAUAUAUAGACAUAAAAGUACUUCCAUAUUCAUGCGUACUAGACACAUCAUUAGUAAGUUACCAUCGGGGUAACACAGGAUGAUACUACUACAAUCUCUAGAUCAAUGAGUCAGUUCAUUCAUGAGUCUAUACAUUACAUUACUAUGAGAACAUAUACAACUAUACUAGAAAGAGAACAUAUACAACUAUACUAGGAAGAGAACAUAUACAACGAUACUAGAACAAGUAACAUUACAUUACAUAUACAUGAAUACGUUAACAAUUGUGAUCCACUGUAUCGGAGCAUGCCUUAAAUGUCAUGGCCCGAGUUGUAGCCAGAAUUCUCUUGGAGGGAGAGCGUGAGUUUGCGUAUAGAUCUAUACUGGAUUGACUAUCCUACACCUUGCUGCUAGCUACAGCCGGACCUGCAGGUCUGCGGGUGCCAAACGUCAUUCUGUUAUUACAACCAUUCAUAUGUCGUUGUUACCAAUCGAUAAUAUGGGGCAAUUUAUCACAUUAUACCUUAAUAUAAAUCCGGUUUAAGGUAGUUAGUACAGCAGUAGUUCCUAUAAUACAACACUACAGUACUACAAUGAUUUACCCAUUACAUAUAUUUAGUGAUUAUUUCACUUAAACAUUAAUGUACAAACUAUAUUUUGUUAAAUGAUAGUUACACUUGGGAAAUUACACACUUUUACAGCAAACGAGCAUACAAAAUAGUUAAGCCUUGGUAGAAGGCUACUUUAAUAGAAAAUAUAGGUUUUUCUGAGAGAUUCAAACUUUUAUAAACACUUACAAACACUUACUUACAUUUUAGAAACUUACACUUGAGACAGGUUCAAAUGUUUUUGAUAACAAACAUUGACACUAAAAUACUUAUGAACUCACCAGCUUAAAGCUGAUAAACUCUUUCAAAAUAACUUGUAUUCUCAGGUCAUCAGUAGACAGGUACCGAGGCCAGCUUUUGAGAAGAUGGAGUGCAUCCAAGUCUCAUCUUAUUAUUUUGAUUUACAUUAUUUUGGUGUCUAUAACUGUACAGAACACGCUUGUAUUAAAAUUAUAUAUUUAAUGCAAUGGAUGAUGUUGUUUGCUUAUUUACAUUUACUGUGUUGUGAUACUUUACAUGACGUCCUCCGCCCCAGAACGUUUCCGCCGUUCUUGUAUUUGGGGUGUGACAGAUUGGUAUCAGAGCAUUGUUUAUAGUGAAUCAAGUAUAUCAACCCAUAAAAGAUAUACUAAACUUUAAACCCAUUAGGGAUUAAAGUACUUUGACCAAGAGUCUAUACUUUAAAUAUUAAAAUAUUUAAUUAAGUAUACUAGUCUGCAUUCAUACUAAAAUCAGUGUCACAAUGACAAGAACAAAAGUAUUACGAUUGUUAAAUAUCACAAGUGAGCUCGGGGAUGUAUGGUCAGUCCUGGGAAUGGCAUAGCCUGAUCAACUAUGCUGGUCCGAGGAGUGAUUAGCAUAUGCCCUAGAAUGGUUGUGAUGUGUUAACAAGUCUAAAAACUUACCAACAAUACCACAAGAAGAUCAGUAGAACUUAAACUUAAAAUACUAUAGGUGUAUUUUGUACUACUAGUUACAUGUAUACUAUAUUCUUAUACCUCUCUUCUCGCGUAGAUUUAAAUGGCUGGAUUCCAUCACGGCGACCCGUACUUUCCAAAUGAAGGCAAUGCCGGGUGGAUCGAAGAAGAGCCCGAAGAUGAGCAUCCAAUCCCUUUGGAUGAUCACCUCACAGAAGGCUUUUCUGAUGGAUCUGACUCCGAGCCUGAAGUCAACAACCUACCGCUAGUAGGUCAAGCCCCGAACAACAACCCCCGACCAGCUUUUCCAGGUCCUACUCCCUUGUGGGCAACCAACUUGAAUCGCUGGAGUGACGAACAGGGUCAACCCUUACCAUACUUUGGGGACCGAAGCUUUUACAACGUCAGUGAAGGUGGUUCUGCUGACCGAGCUCUGCCCGUCAUUAUCCGCAGAAUAGCUCGUAAUGUUGAGCAAGGUCGAGCAACCAUCGACCGGGUCAUGGAGAUUGAUGCCAACUCAGGUGUCAACACAGUCCGCAUCCGCCGUCUUGAAGAAGACAUGGAACGGACCCGGAGAACCAAUGAAACCCUGCAACAACAGUUGGCUGCCUCCCGAGCUGAAGUCUUGGAACUUUGAGCCCGUCAGAGGGCUCAGGAGCGACACCUUCAAGAGGUGUUUCGUCAAGUGUCAGACCUCAGGGCUCGCCCGAGGAAUUCCCAUCGCCAUUAGAUGAUGUCUAGUGCAUCUUUGUCUUUUCGUUAAGGAAUAGCCUUUAACAUAUGUGCUCUAAGUAGCACUUGUCUGUAAAAUAUUCCUAACUUUCAGUACGCUAAUUAGGAAUCUAAGAACUAUCAAACUUUUUGUAUGGUAUGAUGUAAGACCUACUGUUAGGUCGAUUUUCCCUGAACUUAUUACAUCAGUAAUACCAGUAUUAUUGGAAUCUAUCUAAUCUGCAGGAAAAAUUUAUACACUUUUGUUUUCCUACUAAUAUUCCUUGUUAUGAUCUCAAACACUCAUUCAACUGUUGGGCUAUGGUUAGUUAGUCCAUGUGUCACUCUCACGUUGCUUACAAAUUGAUUCUUACCAUUUUUCUUAUCUUUAUAAACUUAUAGCUGAAAGAUGCCUCCUCGCAAAUCUCCCAAGAAUAACCCUACACCUCCACCGCCUCUUCCGCCUCCGGUCAUCGAUAUUGCAGCCCUAAAUGCUGUCGUAGCUGCAGCAGUGGCAACUGCCAUGGCUCAGUAUCACUUAUCUGAUGCCAGUAGAGGUGGAACCCCUGUUGAAUCAAUUCUGGUUGAAACCCCUGUGCGCUCGAGAGAGUGCUCCUACAAGGAUUUCAACAACUACAAGCCGAAGUCCUUUCAUGGGACCGGCAGAGUCAUUGCCCUCUCGCAAUGGUUCGAGAAGACUGAAUCAGUCUUCAAAAUCUGUUCAUGCCCUGCUACGAGCAAAGUCAAAUAUGCCGCAUGCACCUUUGAGGGAAAGGCCCUGACGUGGUGGAACGGCCACGUUAAAGCUCUACUCUCGUCGUGGCCAACGACAUGGGCUAAGAAACGAUGAAGGACCUUAUGAUUGAGGAAUACUGCCUGAGGGGCGAAGUCCAGAAAUUAGAACAGGAACUGUGGAACCUGACUAUGAAGGGCACCAAUGUGGUCGCUUAUACUGCCCGAUUCAGCGAGAGGGUGGCCCUCUGCCCCAAUAUGGUUCCCACUGAGGGGAAAAAGAUCGAACGGUACAUAUGGGGGCUAGUGCCUCCGUAUCAGGGGAAUGUCCUAUCAUCAAACCCCGCUACCUUCGACAGUGCCAAGCAAUUGGCACAACGACUCAUCGACCAUGGAGUCAAAACCCCUACAACAACAACUCAAGCCAUCCCAAAACCCUCCAAACCCGCUGACACCAAGCGGAAGUUCUGGGGCGAAAAGAAGAAGCAGCAAGCUGCCAAAAAGCAGCAAAUCGUGGCAGUGCAUGCCGCGGUAACCCCUACUGCUGCUACUACUCCGGGGAAGCAGUAUGCUGGAAGUUUGCCUAAGUGCAAAAAAUGCAACUUCCACCACAAUGGCCCCUGCCGUGAGAUGUAGUGCUCUAACUUCAAUAGGAAAGGACACACCGUCCAUUUCUGUAAGUUCCCGGUGCAACCGAUCACCCAAGUCCCCGGCUCUGGCGCGAGCCCGACCUGCUAUGGAUGUGGCGAAGCAGGCCACUAUAAGAGGGACUGCCCCAAAGCGAAGAAUGCUGAAGGAGCAGGGAGGGUACUAGCUAUAGGCCACGGGGAAGUAGUUGCUGACCCGACAGUGGUGACUAGUACGUUCCUCCUCGAUAACUCCUAUGCAUGCAUUCUGUUCGAUAGUGGAGCGGAGCGAAGCUUCGUAAACCAUAAAUUUGCUCGCAUGCUUAAGCAACAACCACACACACUUAAGGGACAAUUCACAGUAGAAAUGGCUAAUGGGAAAACUGAAAGUACGAAUAACAUCUACUUAGGUUGUACCCUAACUCUAGAUAACCAUUCAUUCCCAAUCGACCUCAUGCCGGUCUCAAUUAAAAGCUUCGACGUUAUCAUCGGCAUGGAUUGGUUAAGUCUUCAUCGCGCCGACAUCAUGUGCUACGAGAAAGCAGUCCGUCUAAACCUCCCGUCUAACGAAACUCUUAUAGUCUACGGCGACAAACCUGGUGCGAGUCUUCGCAUUAUAUCAAGUAUUCAAGCACAGAAAUAUCUGCGCAAAGAAUACCACGCAUUCCUUGCUCACGUCGUCGACACGAACCUAGAAACGAAAGAACUAAAGAACAUCCCAGUAGUGAGCGACUUCCCCGACAUUUUCCCAGAAGAGCUACCUGGAUUACCUCCGCAACGACAAGUCGAGUUCAGAAUCGACUUAGUCCCAGGAGCUACCCCAGUAGCCAAGUCGCCCUACCGUUUAGCACCAGCUGAGAUGCAGGAACUCUCUGGUCAACUUAACGAACUGCUCAGCAAGGGCUUUAUAAGACCAAGUUUCUCACCUUGGGGAGCACCGGUCUUGUUCGUUAAGAAGAAAGACGGAUCAUUCCGUAUGUGUAUCGACUACAGAGAACUCAACAAACUGACGGUCAAGAAUCGUUACCCUCUGCCUCGCAUAGACGAUCUAUUUGACCAACUGCAAGGGGCGAACUAUUUUUCCAAAAUUUAUCUGAGAUCCGGAUAUCACCAGUUACGGGUGCUAGAGGAGGAUGUUCCAAAGACAGCCUUCCGAACUCGUUACGGACACUACGAGUUCGUGGUGAUGCCAUUUGAAUCGACCAAUGCGCCCGCAGUUUUCAUGGAUCUGAUGAAUAAGGUAUGCCGACCUUACUUGGAUCAGUUCGUAAUCGUUUUCAUUGAUGACAUCCUGGUCUACUCCCGAAGUAAGGAAGAACAUGGCGAUCACCUGCGACACGUUCUAGGAACAUUACGAAAGGAGAAACUUUAUGCGAAGUUCUCGAAAUGUGAAUUUUGGAUCCGAAGAGUCGAAUUCUUAGGACACGUGGUAAGCGAAGAGGGAAUCCACAUGGACCCAUCCAAAAUUAAAGCCAUUGAGAACUGGUCAGCACCGAAGACGCCUACAGAAAUUCGUCAAUUUCUAGGUCUCGCUGGCUACUACCGCAGAUUCAUUCAGAACUUCUCUCGAAUAGCGAAACCUCUUACAACCCUAACCCAGAAAGGCGUGGCCUUUGACUGGGAAGAGAAACAAGAAAGAGCGUUCCAAACGCUCAAACGAGCCUUGUGCACCGCACCAAUACUAUCCCUUCCCGAAGGAAUAGAAGACUUCGUAGUCUAUUGCGAUGCAUCGAAUCAAGGGCUCGGAUGUGUUCUGAUGCAGCGAGGUAAGGUCAUCGCCUACGCCUCGAGACAGUUGAAGACACACGAGGUUAACUACACGACCCACGAUCUUGAACUAGGAGCAGUGGUGUUUGCUCUGAAGAUCUGGAGACAUUACUUGUAUGGAACGAAGAGCACUAUCUUUACCGACCACAAGAGUUUACAACACAUUUUCGAUCAGAAGGAGCUCAACAUGAGACAACGACGGUGGGUCGAGCUACUCAGUGAUUACGAAUGCGAUAUUCGUUAUCAUCCGGGUAAAGCCAACGUAGUAGCAGACGCCCUAAGUCGGAAGGAAUAUUCUGGUCGCAAAGUCAAGUCAUUGUCAAUAACCAUCCAUUCACACUUGUCUAAGCAAAUUCAGGCGGCUCAACUUGAAGCCAUGAAACCUGAAAAUGUGACGAGUGAAUCCCUUAGAGGAAUGGACAAGAAUUUGGAAGCCAAGGGUGACGGAGCCUUAUAUUUCAUGAACCGGAUCUGGACACCGAAACACGGUGGUUUCCGAGACUUGGUCAUGACCGAGGUGCACCACACUCGGUAUUCUGUCCAUCCAGGUUUAGAUAAGAUGUAUCUGGAUCUUAAAAAGCUAUACUAGNNNNNNNNNNNNNNNNNNNNNNNNNNNNNNNNNNNNNNNNNNNNNNNNNNNNNNNNNNNNNNNNNNNNNNNNNNNNNNNNNNNNNNNNNNNNNNNNNNNNUAAUCACAUGUGAUUAAUGUAAUCACAUGUGAUUGAUGCAAUAACCAUAAGUAUUUAAGUUGUAUUCCCCCCAUAAAGUAUUUAAAACAUUUAAAAUCAUUUCAAAGGUUAAUUAAUGGGGUGUGAACUCACUUGUGGUGAGUGGAUUGGAUUGAAGUAUCGGAUACCAUGCUAGGUGGCAAACGGAGACUUGUUCACACGCACGAGCCUAGUUAUCAUAUAAUGAGCAUAUAUAUAACUAAUUAGCCAAAUAAUAACUUAAUGAAAUAAGUUGGGACACUUAGGAACAUGUAAACACUUGGUAUAAGUGUUAUAGGUCCUAAUGGUUGCAUCUAAGUUGAUAUGGGACAAGGCAAAAGGGUUUAACGUACCAAAAGACCUUGAAUAAGAGUUUACUACCCAAUAAACCCCAAAAAAGGAGUUUACGGUCGUAAAACCAUGAGUUUAAGGCUGUGAACUCUUGUCUUGGUGGUUUUGGGUGUUUUAAAGUGCUAAAUGAUUUCUAGAAUAAGCCUAGCAUUGGUGGUUUAAUCCUUUAGGUAGUUUAGGGCCUUAGAAUGCUCCUUUGAGGAGUUUACGGCCUAAAGACCAUAUCCCCUAGAGUUUACGGCCGUAAACUCCUAUGGGGUGGGUGUUUUAAUUCAUUUGAGCCUCUUGCACACAAAGGAUAAUUUCUAGACUUUUGUUUAAGGCUAAAGGGGACCCUAGGUAUACUUUGGUGCCUUUACUUGGAGUUUACGGCCCAAGAGUUAUUCCUUGGCCGUAAACUCCGUUUAAGGGGUGAUUUUGAUGUGUUUAAGUCUCCAAAUUAGCUAGAAGUAAUAGAGGGUUAAUGUCUUAAUGCCUUAGGAGUGAUUUGGGCACAUUUAAGCCCUUGAAAUUGGUGUUUACGGUCCAAGAAACUCUUGGGCCGUAAACUCCUAAAACUAGGUGUUCUUGAUUGUGUUCUAGCCUCAAAUGAUCAUACAUAAUGUCCUUAACUAGUUACCUAGCAAGGAAAUGGGACUAGGUAGCUUUUAGGCUUUGUUUUGGAGUUUACUCCCCAAGAACGUUCUUGGGCGGUAAACUCUCGGAUCUUACAUAUUUGACAUGUAAAGAAUGUUAUUAAGCAUAUAACAAGCAUUAAAACACAUCUAGGAAAGUAGACUCACGAUUUGGGAUGAAAACCCGAAGAUCCAUGAGAGAGAAAAUGGCUUUUCUCUAGUUGGAAAUGUGAAUAAUGAAUGAAUUUAGUUCAGAAAUCUAUUUAUAGUCCUGAAAUAUUUUGACAGAAAAUAUUUUUAUUCUAGAAUUUGACUAUAACAUUAUGAAGUUUUGAAAUGUUCGAGUUUCACAAACCCAGGAGCAUCCACUCUCCUGAUAUCUCCUUAUAUGUAAACCCUAAUGUACACAAACUUAUUCGGACUAGUCUGAAAAUUACUGAAACUGGACUAGCUUCUUUUGAAUAGAUAAUGUUCGUACAAGAUGGAAAUUUCGGGUUGUCACAUCAUCCCCCCAUUAGAAGGAAUUNNNNNNNNNNNNNNNNNNNNNNNNNNNNNNNNNNNNNNNNNNNNNNNNNNNNNNNNNNNNNNNNNNNNNNNNNNNNNNNNNNNNNNNNNNNNNNNNNNNNAGGCAGUGAUGAGUUGGGAGGUGUCGAGGUCACCCUCCGAGAUCAUGAGUUUUUUAGGAUUGGCAGGUUAUUAUUGGAGAUUUAUCAGGGAUUUCUCUAAGAUCGCAAUGCAACUCACUAGGUUGACCCGGAAGGGUGUCGCUUUUUCAUGGGGCCCCGAGCAGCAGGCCUCCUUUGAGACGCUUCGCCAAAGGUUAUGCGAAGCCCCAGUGUUAGCCCUCCCAGAGGGAAUGGAGGUCUUUGUGGUAUACUGUGAUGCGUCGAUAUUGGGGUUGGGAGCGGUGCUGAUGCAGAGAGGGCAUGUGAUAGCAUACGCAUCGAGGUAGCUGAAGCCUCAUGAGACGAGGUAUCCCACCCAUAAUCUAGAGUUGGGGGCAGUGGUGUUCGCCCUCAAAAUUUGGCGUCACUAUCUGUAUGGGGUUCGGUGUACGAUAUACACAGACCAUAAGAGCCUGAAGUAUUUGAUGGAUCAGCCUAACCUAAAUAUGCGGCAUAGGAGGUGGUUGGAUGUGGUCAAGGAUUAUGAUUAUGAGAUCCUGUAGCAUCCGGGCAAGGCUAAUGUCGUAGCCGAUGCACUGAGUCGCAGGACGGAGAGCGCCCCAUUGCAAGAUGUAUGUUUGCGGUUGACCGUGAUGGCUCCGGUAUUGGACACCAUUCGUGGAGCACAGGCUAAGGCCGUGAGAUCGUAGAACCAAAAGAGAGAGCGAGUUGUUGGGUUGGUAUCGGAGUACGUUACCGAUGGUCGGGGGCUUAUGACAUUUUAGGGGCGUAUAUGGGUACCGUUUGUGGGAGGGACGCGUACCAUUUUGAUGGAAGAGGCUCAUCGGUCGAUAUUCUCGAUCCAUCCUGGGGCCACUAAGAUGUAUUUAGACCUGAGGAGAGAGUAUUGGUGGCCCUGUAUGAAGAGGGAUGUUGCGUGGUUUGUUGAGAGGUGCUUAACCUGCCGUAGGGUUAAGGCCGAGCACCAGAGACCGCAUGGUAAGUUGCAGCCGUUGGAGGUUCCCGAAUGGAAGUGGGAACAGAUUACCAUGGAUUUUAUCACCAAAUUACCAAGGACUGCUAGGGGAGUCAAUGCAAUUUGGGUGAUUGUGGACAGGUUGACAAAGAGUGCCCACUUCCUUGCUAUCAGUGAGAGUUCUUCCGCAGAGAAAUUAGCAGAGAUGUAUGUGAGGGAAGUGGUAUCACGGUAUGGAGUGCCGAUCUCGAUUGUCUCAGACCGAGAUGUGCGUUUCACUUCCAGAUUCUGGAAGAAGUUUCACGAGGAGUUGGGUACUAGGCUGCAUUUUAGUAACGCAUAUCACCCCCAGACUGACGGACAAAGUGAGCGGACGAUUCAGACGCUCGAGGACAUGCUCCGGGCAUGUGUGUUGGACUUCGGGAGGAGUUGGGACACGUAUUUUCCCUUGGCAGAGUUUUCCUACAACAACAGCCAUCAUUCGAGCAUUGGUAUGCCACCCUUUGAGCUGUUGUAUGGGAGGAGGUGUCGGACUCCCAUUUGCUGGGGAGAGGUCGGGCACCGUGUUAUGGGUAGUACGGAGAUUGUGCUGCAGACAAUAGAGCAGAUACAGCGGGUCAGGCAGAGAUUGUUGACCGCUCAGAGCCGCCAGAAGAGUUAUGCGGAUAGACGACGAUCCGAACUCGAGUUCCAGGUCGGUGAUUAUGUUCUCCUGAAGGUAUCUCCUUGGAAAGGAGUGAUUCAAUUCAAGAAGAGGGGCAAGCUAGGGCCCCGGUAUAUUGGGCAAUUCAGAGUGAUCGCGAGGGUGGGCAGGGUAGCGUAUCGCUUGGAGCUACCUGCGGAAUUGGAGCGGAUUCAUAAUACCUUCCAUGUGUCUCAGUUGAGGAAGUGUAUAGCCGACGAGUCGGCGGUAGUGCCGUUAGAGGACAUUCAGGUGGAUGCGAGCCUGAACUACGCNNNNNNNNNNNNNNNNNNNNNNNNNNNNNNNNNNNNNNNNNNNNNNNNNNNNNNNNNNNNNNNNNNNNNNNNNNNNNNNNNNNNNNNNNNNNNNNNNNNNNNNNNNNNNNNNNNNNNNNNNNNNNNNNNNNNNNNNNNNNNNNNNNNNNNNNNNNNNNNNNNNNNNNNNNNNNNNNNNNNNNNNNAUUCAGGUGGAUGCGAGCCUGAACUACGCGGAGAGACCAGUCGCGAUUGUGGAUCGGAAGAUCAAGGUUCUGAGGAACAAGGAGGUGCCUCUGGUACAGGUUCAGUGGCAACAUCGAAAAGGAUCCGAGUUGACCUGGGAGCCAGAGCAUGAGAUGCGGGAGCAGCAUCCGGAGCUAUUUCAGGGAUGAGACUUCGAGGGCGAAGUCAGAUUUAAGUGGGGGAGAAUUGUAACAUCCGGAAUUUCAAGUAUUAUAUUUAUUCAUUUUAUUUUGAGUUUUGUGGAAGAACUUGGCGAGUUGGUGCGUAGACUCGUCGAGUACAGACGCGAUUUCUCACCCGGAUUAAUGACCGGACUCGACGAGUCGCAUUGGUGGACUCAGCGAGUCCGCGCUAUUUAAUGAAACCCUAAUUUCUCAGGUUUGGGGCCUAUUUAAAGGGCCUUAUGCCCAUCAUUUGUGCUCACCAGUCCCCAGAGCGAAAACUCUAGUGAGCUUGAGCUUUUGGAGUGAGAGAAGGAUCCAUUGUUGACCUUGGUGGUGUUGUCUAGCAAGGGAAAGGAAGCUAUAGCCAAGAGGAAGCAAGAGGGUUAACUUCCUGAAGAUCUGAGGUCUAGAACAUCACGUUUGAGGAACUAUUUUCCAACCCUUUUCUGUUGAGGUGAUGUUCAUGUUGAUUUAGGGCUUAUUGAGCCCUUUUGUGGUUAGAUCUAGUGCUCCCUUGGUCCCUUAAGCGAGUUAGGUUCUGGAUCUGGACCCUUGGAGGUCCAGAGUGUCCCUUUGUCCAAGCUUUUUAUGAAUCCAUGGAGGGUUUGGUUCGGGAUCUUUGUGCUUGAGGUCAAAACACCAUUUAUGAGUCAUUAGGUGUGAUAUAAGCGCCAAGACAUGAACUUUAUGUGAUAAAUAAGCUUGGAAGGACUGGAUCUAUGAGUUAGUGGAACAUAUCUAACCUCAGAAGGUCGUUUAGGGUUGUGCAUGGAAUGAACUCGCCGAGUCCAUUGGCAGACUCGACGAGUUGGCGCGGGUUGUUCAGGGAUUUCGAACCAGGGGUUAAGUAACCGAGUUGGGUGAGCGACUCGGUGAGUCGGAAGGGACUCAGAGGAAUCGGGUCCCCGUAGAGACUCAGCGAGUCCACGCCAGACUCGGCGAGUUGGUUUGACCGUUGACCAUUGAUCAGAGUUGACCGGUGUUGACUUGAUAGGGUUAGUCAACCCUAGUUGGGAAAGUGUUAAUAAGAGAUGUAUUGUGUUAUAGGAGGACUAUAGCUCGGGAGAUCGAGCACUAGUGAUUUCAGGGAUUUACGAGUUACCGAGAUAUGCGAGGUGAGUCUUCUCACUAUACUUUACCUUGAGUAGGUGACCAGAGUUAUGUGCCAGAGUAUUUGUAUGCUAUAUAUAUGAUAUGUGUUGUACUGCAUUCUUUCUAUGUGAUAUAUGCCGUGCAUGUUUAUAGAGUUAGAACCGGAAGGUUCACAGAGUUAGAACCAGAGGGUUCACAGAGUAGGGUCCACGGACCCACAGAGUUAUAGCCUCGAGUGGCUAAUAUGUGUUAUGUGUGGUAUUUUGGGGAACUCACUAAGCUUUGUCCUUACAGUGUUUGGUGUUAUUUGUUUCAGGUACUAGUGAGGAUCGCGGGAAGGCGCCGGCCUGAUCAGUACACACACGGGAUUUUUAUGUUACGAGAUCUUGGGAUUUUUAUAUGCUAUGAAUUUGAGUUUCAAACAAUGAUGUUUUUAUGAACAAUGAAUGAAUUGUGUUUCGUAUAAAAUGCGAAAAAUUGUUUGAAAUUUACGGUGUUACAAAUUGGUAUCAGAGCCUUGGUUUGAGGGAUUCGAGUAUACCUUCGGGCGUAUUUGAAAUCAAACUGAGGAUUUGAGAAAUAAUUUCAAAAACAAAAAAAGAGUACAAGAUUUUUUUUGGAAAAACGCAGAGCAGAGUCGUGUGUUAAAGGCAUCAUCUGCCAGCCCUAGACUUACAUUGCGAGGUUCACUCGAGAAGUCAAGGUAAUCUACAUCAAAAUUUUGCUAAGACUCUACAUCAAUGAGAUGACGCAUCACACCAUCUUCUGAUCUCCCGGUACUAUGCCAUAUCAUAUUUUUGGAAAUGUACCGUGAACAAUACAAACGGUGUAGUCUAGGGGUCACUGGAAAGUACCGUAACACCUUAUAAGCCACUUUCUUAACCUUGGUGUUUUUAUCAAUCCACCGACUCUCUUUACAAAUGGUACAAAGUUGCAAUGACUUGUCUUCCUUCCAAAAGAGAAAACAGUCAUUUUUGCACACAUGUAUUCACUCGUAUCCCAACCCUAACUUCUUCAGUUUCUUUUUUGCUAAAUAAUAUGAACGGGGAACCUUGUUGUCUGGUGGAAAUGUCGAAUGCAACAACUCAAGGAGUUGAUCAAAUGAAUUAUCAGUCCAUUUGUUGUUGACCUUGAUACGCAUCCGCCUUGCUAAAAAAUCAAGGAAAGUAAACGUACAACCGGGAUAUAACUUGGUUUCGACUGCCUCUAACAACUGUUCAAAAUCACCAUCGACACCAUUACCCCCUGUAUUCGAGGUUCCUUAAUUGAGUUUUUUCUCAUUUUCUCUCGACUCCCACAAAACAUCGUCAAUAACAUCAUCCAUCUCGUUACUUGACGAUACGACAUCUACAACUGGAGGGAUUAAAGGUUCACCGUGAUAUAUCCACGUUUUGUAUGAUUGACUGAAACUAUAUAUACGAACAUGACGUCUCAUUGCUUUUGGAUCCAUGAAGUAACGAUUUUCACAUUUCUCACACGGACAUCUGGUUUCACCUUUACAAUCUAGGUGUAACAUGGAUCUCUUGACAAAAGAGUCGAGUCUUAGUUGGAACUCAGGAGAUUGACAAUGUGGAUUAGUAGUCCAAAUUUUAUCAAUAGACAUGAUGCAACAGAAACAUAAUUUAGUGUUUAAGAUUUACUCUGCGGGAAACAAAAAUCAAGUAGAGAAUUCAUAAAGUCAAUGAUUCAAAAAGUAUACCAACACGGGAACACAUGAACAAAUAAUCAGAAAUGGAUAGAGUAUUCAAAAAGCAUAUAUAUAUAUAUAUAUAUAUAUAUAUAUAUACACACACACACANNNNNNNNNNNNNNNNNNNNNNNNNNNNNNNNNNNNNNNNNNNNNNNNNNNNNNNNNNNNNNNNUAACAGAGUAAGCCCUAAACUAUAGUCGUGCUUUCCUAAGAAAGUACUAAUUCACUAUAGUUAAUAGCUCUGAUACCAAUCUGUCACACCCCGGCCGUCGGCGGAAACACCGGGCAGUGUAACGUCAUUUCUCGUAUCAUAGUUAUCAACUUCCUGAAAACACAUGCAAUUUAAAAUACUUCAACAUAAAGUUGGUGAGUCCACAGAUUUUGACUCCAUAUAAAAAUAAUACAUUUUCCAAGUUCAAAAGUAUAGCUUUGAAAAUAUUAUUUUGAGUUUCCAACGUUUCGUAUAUAUAUCCUAGGUAUAAUGGUUUACAUACCAAAUAAGUAUAUACCUAUAAGUCUUAUAUAUUAUAAAUAUAAAUGUUUGUAAUUCCAUACAAACUAAGUUGCUACGUAUAAAUCUUAUUUCAAUUCUAUACGAGUAAAACCGCUACGUAUAAAUCUAUUUCAAUUCUAUACGAGUAAGUAGGAUAGGUAUAGUGGUCUACUUAAUAUACAAGUAAUAUACCUACUAGAUUCUUAUACUUAGAGUAUAAGUCUUUGGGAAACUUAUACUUAAUAUUCAUACUUGUAUAUCGAAAAAGUAUAAUGCUUCUAAAGUGGUUCUACCAUGAGUCUAUAGCUGCGACUGUAUGACCUAGUUUUAUACCUCUUAUUAUGAUUACAAGGAUCACACAUCGCAGUAGUACAAGGAUUACACCUUGCGGUAGUACAAGGAUUACACCUUACGGUAGUACAAGGAUUAAACCUUGCGGUAGUACAACAACUGUAAUUAGAAUUAAAACCAGGUUUUAUCUUGACAUAAAACCAAUAACAACAACAUAUAACAUACCUAGUUUUAUUUUGACAUAAAAGCAAUAACAACAACGUAUAACAUACCUGUUUUAUCUUCACAUAAAACCAAGAAUAACAAAAUACUUAUCGACUAACAUAUAGAACUUCCGAGUAUAACUCUAGAACUAUAUCGCACACAACAUAUAUAUAGAAUCCUAAGUAUAACUCAAGAUCUACCUUAGUAUAUUACUAUAACAAUAACAUGCUAACAACUUUACGAUAGUUGUAUACUUUCAUAUAUGAAAUAACUAUAUCCCGGUUAUUAUAACUAUCUACGUUGAUAUUAAUAUACUAUCAUUUAGACAUAAUAAUAACAACAUAUAUACAAUAUUUAACAUGCGUUUUCCACCGAAAAUAUUGAAAAGUGGGGCCGUGAAACUCACCUUAGCAGCGUGAUUUUAUGUAAUCUAAGCAGAAACCGUCAGCACACAAGGUCGUCGGGGCUCGGGAUGCAAGAGGGCUUCAGCAAAAGACAGAGGAGAAAGGGAAAUGGUGUAAGGAAGUGGCAAGGUCGUACCUGCUAUUUAUAGGAAGGAUUUUGGACCCUCACAACGUGAGAAUUGUUGGGUUUUGAGCAUUCUAACACUCCUAAGUGUACAUGCAACCCUAAAUACCUUGGAUCUAUGUUUUCUCUAUUAUACAUGCAAAUAUGAACUUUCCAAGGUAUUCAUCCUAACUAGCAUAAUAACAUUGAUUCAUAUGAAUAUAUCAAGUUAGAAUUACAUACCUCUUUGAUGUAGAAUGUCUUCAUGAAGCUUGAGUGCCUAGUGCCCCAAGUGUGACACCUCAAAUGGUUCACACAACACCAAAUACACUUGGAAUAGAUUGAGAGAACAUACACACUUCAUGAAAUCGGCUAGCCCUUCAUUCUCACACAUAGUGGCCGAUUUUUUCAGCCAUGGGAUUCUUUUAUAUGGUGGCUAUUAGGGUUACACCAUGUAACUCAUAACUUUACCCAUUCCUUAUGCUCCAUGGAUUUUAACCUCCAUGGAGUAUCCAUGGGUCACCCCAUGGACUUAGUCCAACAUAAGGAAUCUUGGAUCACAAGCCCACAUAUAUAAGAAUGAAUGAUUUACACAAUCAACCCAUAUAUUUAAUUAGUCUCCUUUUGAUCACUUAAUUAAUUCCAAAUUAAUUCUUGAUCAAUACUAAUUAAAUAACCUUAUUAAUAUAUUAGAACUUAUAAUAUAUUAACAAACCUUAAGUGUUAUUUCUCUCAUUUUAGUCUAUCCAAAUGCAUGAUGCCAUGCAACCCAAAUGGACCAUGUCGGGUCGGGUCAAGUCUUACCAAUUAUAGUUAUGGACUUAGACAUUAAUCCAACAGUCUCCCACUUGGAUAAGACUAAAACUAUUAUUGCGUAUGACUUCAAGAACGGACUGGAAAUCGUAGUGCUCAAAAGCUUCUAUCGAACUCUUACCUUGCCGAUGAUCUCUCACCUUUGUCAAUGACUUGUCCAUUAGAUAAGGGAUCAUAUAUUCCUCCAUACUAGAUAUCAUAUGGACUGAGACAUGGAUUAUAAUCAUUCUCUUUUUCCAUUUUUUGUUUCUUGAUUUCCGAUUUAUAACGACUGACUAGUUGAACAAAUCAAAUCAGUCCUGGCCCGGCCGAGCACUUAGAUUUGUCAUCACCAAAUCAUCGAGGGGCCCGAAGAUAUCGCUUUUAUCCCAAAGGUAAAAGGAAUGGAUAAACUUUGACUCAUAUGGCUUGUUCUACUACUUGUUGAAUCAUACACAAAGGCACGUUUUAUAACAUCGAGUUACCAAUGCGUUUUCGUGCAAUCAAUGUAUAACCAACUCAUAGUAACAACUCAUAUCUCUAGGUUUGAAGAAUAUAAGAUAUUAUCGUCUCAUGAUCACUCGUGAUAAAAUCCAUGAAGUGAUUCCAAUGAGCGUGGGUUGAAUCCAAUACUCAGAACUUAUGAGCACUCAUGAGUGUUGUAGCCCUUUGUCCAACACCUUAGACCUCUACAAGCCAACCCAUGACAGUCUUAAUUCAUAUCUACUUCCAACAUAUGACCGACUGUGGAUGGUUUGAAUAACUUAGUCAUUCCGAAAGAAUAACCUAGUUUAUUCGGGAAGUCAAAACAUGCAAAGUGAAACACAAUAAUAAUUGAAUCCAAUAUGGUAUCAAAACCUAUGAACAUAAAUAAAACACCUUUUAUUUAUCACCAUAUGAUUACACAUUAUUCAUUGUAUACUGUUUCAGCUAUCAACUUUAUUCUUGAAUUUAAAACAAUAGUUGUCCCAUGCUCCAAGCAUGUACACUAUGUUUUCUAAACACUAGUCAUGCCAUACACCAAGUAUGCAUACUAUGUUUGUCUAUGAUCUUUACUUUGUGAACUAGAUCAAUUGAACAUAACUUCAAUGAUUCUCUUUUCACACUCCCAAAUCCUUACUGCAAAUGCAAGAAUUCCAAAUUCAUGCCAUUUACUGAAAUCUGUUAGAUUCUAAACUUAUAUGCAUUGAUCCUCUUGUAAUGAUUAUGCACAAAGUCAGAAAGACUUGACAACAAACAUUACAGAGUAUUCCAAAGGAGAUCAGCUCCUUGGAAACAUCCUUCUUGCAUUAAGUUUCCUAAUCUUAAACAGAUUGAAAAUUCUAACUUUGAAACAUUUCCAGAUUCCAUUUUGACUAUCACUUCUGAACAAGAGUUGCCUCCUUACAGAUUAUGUCAAUAUGGUCCUUCCAGAAUUAUCACUAUACUUCCAACUGUCCUUGAGCAACCAAUCUUUGGUAAACCUUAGAUUGUCCUCGACAAUUGUUUAAUCCUUUUAGUCAUAUCCAGUUCUAAACCUUUUCCCUUCUUAAUGCCCCAGGCAUUUGGAAAAUUUUAGAACGGAUGAAUAUAGCACAUGUAAUCGAUCCUAUAUCCGAAGCAUAUGGGACACGAUUCAUGAUGUCUCACAUAAAGACUAAACCAGUCUUUUGCUAUAACAUUUCCAUUUCAAUUUGCCAAGUUCUCAUAAUUCAGAUUAUGAAAAGGGAUGCCGUAAUCAUAAUCGAAUUUUAGAACGCAAAUAAUGGACCCAUAUACAGAAUUUCCUUAUGUUGAGCCAUUCCAACAUGAAAUUCAUAUAUAUCCUUGACUAAAUGAUUAAAACCUCACGAUCUAAGCUUAUAGAUUUGAGAUGAAGUAUAAUUUCCUCUCCCUUAAUUAUAGCAAAACAACUUUUUCCCAAUUGAAACUUUUGUUUUCUAUAAUUAACAUUGCUAACUUGCAAUACUUAUCAUAAUUAUCAUGCUCCCACUAACAUGAUGAUUAUUAGCAUAACACUUAUGCUCCCACUAGCUUUGACAUGUACUCAGAAAUCAGCUGGACUUCUAGAAAUCAAUACUUCAUUGACUUUCUUACCAAAGUUCAGAUUUCUGAUGCUAGAUUGUUUUGAUAAAACUUUAUCAAAAUCAUACACCUUCCCUUAGAUAGCACACUUGUGUGUCUAAACAAUUAUGAAGAGGUAUGCCGUAAUCAUAAUGGUUAGACCUUUUUGCCACUUCUCACAAGUCCAGGUUAGUGUGCCGGUAAACCACACACGCUCCACUAACGACUUUGAGAAUGCAAAUAUCACAAUUGCUAUCUAGCUAAAAUCUACUUAGUGAAAGUGUUUCCUCACCAUCAUUUUCAUGAAUCGGAGAGAAACCUUAUGACACUUAGAUUUAAUGGUGUAUGUGUUCUUAUCCAUGUGAAUUGUCAAAACCAUAGUCACAAGACAAGGAUAAUGACAAAUCCAAACUCAUAUGGACUGAACUCAAUCUUAAUUUCUUGCCACCUGGCAGCUCAAGGGCCUGCCAUUGCUUCCAAGUUGUUGUGCAACAAAUUGAGAACUCUAAGAACUCAUAUGCAAAGCCAACUUUAACUGGAAUGGGCACAGAAUAUGUCAACACGAUAGGUUAUAAACCUCAAGUCGUGUGCUAGUGAAGAACUUCAGGUUUUAUUCUUGAUUAGUUCUUGAGACUUUCAAGACCUUUAAGACUCCCACUGUCCUCUUGACAUAUAAGACUCCCUUGUCAAACAUCCAAGAGAUAGUGCGGAUUCUAAUCAAGAAAAACACUUUACCCAAUUGGCCUAAGUUGGUCUUUGUUUUAUCCAAAACAUCACAACUUACCAAUUUCAAAUGUACAAGAGUAGAAAACUUUUACUCUUACAUUUGACAAGUGUUUUAAACCUUCUUUAAGACAUGUCACUCAAAUGACAAUCUUGGAGUAUGACUCUAAGACUUGUAUUGGAACGAAGUAUGACUCAUCUUCUUGAUUUAACCAUUUCAACAAUUCAAGUUCCUCUUCUUAGUCAUAAGAAUGCACUAAGAUUUCCUUAGAGAACUAAUUUUGAUAUGGUUUCUUAAUCAUUAAGAUGAUCACAAAACUGAUACUAAAGUACUCUCCCAUCUUUUCAGAUUUGAGAAACUUUUAUCCUUCUGCCUAAUUUGAUUCUUCUUAUUCGCCCUGCCAUACAUUGGAACCUUUUCCAAUGUCUCAGAGUUACACUUAAGCUUGUAAGUAUAAUCAUAUUUACUGAGCUUUAGUAAACUAUGACGAAUAGUCUUAUCAAUCUUUUGUGGUGGACUUAAUCAGUGCACAAGAAUGUGUACUCGAUCCCUUAGUCCUUUACUUGACUCACACAUCCAUGUGGCCGAGUAAUUAGUCUUAAUUUUCCAAAACUUGAAAGUUCUCAUUCAUCAUGCUAUACAACUUGCAUGAUUCCAAGUUCCGGUCCAAUUGAAACUUGGGUGAUGAGAAUCUUUCCUUAUUUGGUAAAUCUAGACAUUACCACAAAUGAAAGAAUCAAUUUCAUAUUUCCACUCUUGCUCUUAAUGGAAUCAUAUAAGCAACAAUUUUUCCUCAAAAGCCAUUGUAAGGAUAUUUUAAAAUAAAUAAAAUCAAAAAAUUUUUCUUUUAUUUUAAAACUUUGCGGAAAAACUUAUCCUUACAAUCCAUAUGAAAACUUGUUGUUAUCUAUUCCUAAGCAAUAUCUCAUAACUCCUAAGAAGUUGCUCAAGAAUCCGAUCUUCAAACUAUGCGAUAGAAAUCCAUCUACGCCAUCAGAUUCAGCAUAUUCUUUCUUUAAGUUUCUUCACUUUUCUUUGAUUCUUAAAACAUCACCAUGUGACCCAGUCACAUCAUGUAUCAGGAAUCUCAGAAUAGAAACUUAACAGAGUUAGAUAGUGGUCUUUACCUGAAGUAGAGUCAAACUUAUUGACUUUAACAUCCUUAGGUAAAUUUGGCAGCUUCGCAACCAAUGCCCCUUCCCUUGGCAAUAUAAACAUAUGGACCCUUUGAUAAUGGUACACGAGACUAUCACAGACUUAGCUUUUCUCUUUACCAUUUGGUCAACCGAGUUGACUAUGGCCGAUCCCUUUCCAUUGGGAAGAGAAUGCUUUACUGGAUAUCCAAUGUCAUCAUUGUCAAUGUCCAUAAAGUUUUAGGAAGUUGAUCUUAGCAAAUAGAUAAGAUCAUUAAGGGUCUUGUCAUAGUCUGUUUCAUAGGUGUCCCAAAGGAACUCACUAUGUGACUUAGAAAGUGAUUGAACCACCAACUUUCUCAAGACUUUGACACCCAACUCUCCCGGCUUGUCAAUAUGUGACUACAUCUCCAAGAUGUGAUCACACCUAGACCUUGCCUUGCCAAUAGGGCUUGAGUGACCUUAAACUUUUCAAGAACUUGUGGGUUAGGGAGAAUAAUUGGAGGAGGUGAAAGAAGUAUGAUUUCCAAAGGACAUCAUCUUCAUUUAGGAAACCUUGUUUCACUAGAUUUGGGAAGAUCAUAGGUGUCUAUUACAGACAUCUUUUGGGAGAUAUUCAAGAUAGUUGAUUUAAAGUCCUUAAUAUGACACCCAAUAUGAAAUAUUAAGGCUAGGACCCAACAAACUAUUUUAUAACUUAGAAGAGGUAUGCCGUAAUCCAAGCUAUAAAAUAUUUGAAGGUAGGUGAAUGACGAUUCACCAAUUUCCACCAAGAUAAACGAAAUGUAUUAUUAGGUUUUAAUUGGUUUUGAAACUCCUAGAUCUUUGAGAUUCAUUGAACUGUUCAAAGGCAUGUUUCAAUCUCGAGUGUGCCCUUCAGGUUUUGUGACUGGGAUGCCGAGGAUCACAAAACAAGGUGUGAAGUAACCAUGCAAAUCACUUGGUACCCUUAAUAAAUUACCCCUCAAUCGAUGUGCCGGUUAACCACACACGCUCCAUCGAUACUAUGAUAAAUAUUAAGUCACCCUUUACCUACCUUGUUAAGUCCAAGUUAGUGUGCCGGUUAACCACACACGCUCCACUAACGACUUAGACAAAGUGUAAAGUGUAAUUUCAUGGAUUAGCACCUUAUUCACAUUUUUCCUAAGUAACUAAGAUUGGGUAUUAUUAAGAGUUUAGUUACUUAGUAUUAUCAUUAAUACUUUUAAUGAAGGGAGAAUUCUAGUCCUGUCAAACCCGUUCGGCUAACGACCCUCCACCAGUCAAGCAAGCGGUGGGUGAGAGUGGACACCCAUUAAGUUGCCAUUUUAUAGGCAACAACCUUAUACCCACCUUAUAGACCGGCUUCGUGAAUGAGGCGUACUAGCGGUAAGACUGACUUUACUCUUAUACAUAUAUAUAUUAUUAACUUAUAAUAUUAUAAAGUAUAAGGGUUGAAUUUUAACUUUUAAAAUUCUAAGGGCUAACUUGGAAUUAAAGUAUUCAUAAGUGAAAACUUUACAAAUUCCAAAACUUGAGGGCAAGUUUUGAAACUAUUCAAAACUAAUUAAUUUCAUAACUUAUGUGUUUAAAGUAGUUUUAAAUAAAAGACUCUUCAAGUUCCAUAACUUGAGGACAAGUUAUGGAAGACUUUAAACUAAUAAAAGAAUGUACCUUUUCUUUAUUUUGUAACUUAUGGAAUUAAUUAAGGUUACACAUUUUAUUACUUAAUGAAGUGACUCUUGAACCUCCAUAACUUGAGGACAAGACUCUUCAUUUUUUGUAACCAUUGCCAACUUUUAUGAGUUUUAUGAAACUUAAAUGUGACUUUUCAUAUAACUUGAGGACAAGUUACACAAACACAUUUUAGAAUCAACUCUUAGAUUAAUUUGGAUUGAAAACAACUAUUUCACUCAACUUUCCAAUUAAUCUAAGCAACUCAUAAGAACAAGAUNCCCAUAACAUGAGGACAAGACUCUUCAUUUAUUGUAACCAUUGUCAACUUUUAUGAGUUUUAUGAAACUUAAAUGUGACUUUUCAUAUAACUUGAGGACAGGUUACAAAAACACAUUUUAGAAUCAACUCUUAGAUUAAAAUGGAUUGAAAACACAUAAUCAAUUAACUUUUCUAUUAAUCUAAUCAACUCAUAAGAACAAGAUAAUUCAAAUCAAACUUUUUCAUGUAAUUAGCCUAAUCACGAAACUAAUUCAAAACAUGAAUCUAUUGACAAUUAUCUUUGAAAUUGGAUUAGCAUGAACAUUACCACAUCAAAAACAAGUUGAUAAGUCCAAAAACAGCUUAAGGUAAUGUUCCUAGUCCAUUUCUAGCCAAAAAAAAACUCGAAAAUAUGCGGUCUGGGGCUCCUACUCGUCAAGUGUAUCAACCUACUCGAAGAGUAGGAUGAGUUUAGCCUUGGACUCGGCGAGUUCAUCAGUGGACUCGGCAAGUCCAGUGCCUAAAAAGCCAGAAAAUCGAUUUUGUUUUCAGCAUUUCUCAGCAAUUUGCAUCAAGUAUAAUUGAAAACAAGCCUAGACUCUUAUACCACUGUUGGGUUCUGAGCAUUCUAACACUCCUAAGUGUACAUGCAACCCUAAAUACCUUGGAUCUAUGUUUUCUCUAUUAUACAUGCAAAUAUGAAUUUCCAAGGUAUUCAUCUUAACUAGCAUAAUAACAUUGAUUCAUAUGAAUAUAUCAAGUUAGAAUUACAUAUAUCAUUGAUGUAGAAUGUCUUCAUGAAGCUUGAGUGCCUAGUACCCCAAGUGUGACACCUCAAAUGGUUCACACAACACCAAAUACACUUGGAAUAGAUUGAGAGAACAUACAUACUUCAUGAAAUCGGCUAGCCCUUCAUUCUCACACAUAGUGACCGAUUUUGUCAACAAUAAGAUGAGUAUAUAGUUAGUGACAAUUAGGGUAAACCCUAAUUGUCAUGGCUUUCCAUUUCAUUGGAUCCAUGGGUUCAAAUACACCAUGGAGCAUCCAUGGAGCAUCUUAUGGGUUUUAGCCCAACUUGAUAAUCCAUGAAGCAUUAUCCCACUAUACAAGUAUGGAUGAUUUACACAAUCAACCCAUAUAUUUAAUUAGUCUUCUUUUGAUCAAGUAAUUAAUCCUAGAUUAAUUCUUGAUCAAUACUAAUUAAAUAAUCUUAUUAAUAUAUUAGAAAUUAUAAUAUAUUAACAAACCUUAAGUGCUAUUUCUCUCAUUAUAGUUUAUCCAAAUGCAUGAUGCCAUGCAACCCAAAUGGACCAUGUCGGGUCGGGUCAAGUCUCACCAAUUAUAGUUAUGGACUUAGACAUUAAUCCAACAAGAAUCUCAUUGUUCACGUCGUGAGUUUCGAGCUUAUCUCUUCGUAGAGUUUCCAUCCGUCUUCUAGCUUCCGAAGGUGGGCAUAUGACUCCUCACGUCGUGAAAUAUCAAUGUUCACGUCGUGAGUUUUGAUCUUAUCACUUCGUAGCCUCGUCACGCACCUUCUAGAUCCAAAAUGUAGCAAAAUGACUCCUCGCGUCGUGAGUUUCUGUGUUGACGUCGUGAGUUCAGUCAAAUUAGGGUUUCUGACAGCUGAAUCUUUGGAAGGGUGUAACUUUCGCAUACGAACUUCGUUUUUGACGUUCUUUAUAUAGACACGUAGGUAUUCAUGAGUACUACAACUAUCUUGUAGACUCCAAUAGCUAAUUAUAAGACCAUUUUUAAUUCCUCUUAUUAUAGAGAUUUAUAGUGUUCGGUUUAUCAUAACUUCUUCACGCGAAGUUAGAUUUGGAUGUUCUUUAUAUUCUUGGAAUCAUAUGGACGUAUACUUUGAUUUAUACCAUAAAGUAUGUAUGAAAGUUCAUAUUUAUAUUAGAAUUAUCAUGAAAUACAUAGUGAGUUUACUACAUUACUAGUUUAACAAAAUCACAUUACAUGAUUGGUAUAAUCACAUGUGAUUGUUAUUGACCUAUUUUGACUAGUGUUACAAACUUGAAGAUGAAAGAUGGAAACGAAGGUAAAGGAGAACAAGGUGAACAAGAUGCAAGAAAAACGAAGGCCAAAGACCACCGGUGGGGUGAUCUGUUGUAACACCCUUAAAAAUACAACCCGAAAAUUUCAUUUUUAAGUUUAUCAAUUAUAAAAUAAACCAUAUUAUUUUUCCCAAAUCCAUGUAAACAUAAAAUAGUUUAGUUGUGCAAUCCAACGAUACAUAUAAAAUCAUCAUCAGAGUCAUAAUCCCAAAAUCACUAAUGCGGAAAAUUAUGGUGUGAUGCGAUGCGAUCAAUCCUGCCCUUUUCCCUUCGAGUUGAAAGUACCUGAAAUCAAAACUGAAAACCAUAAGCACGAAGCUUAGUGAGUUCCCCCACCGUACCACAUACAAAUCAUAAACAUGUUGUCAGGCUUAUCUAGGUGUCCGACCUACCCUGCUGAACAUACUUGGGUGCUCUACCAACCCAUGUCAGACAUACAGGGGUGUCCGACCUACCCCUGUCAGGCAUUCAUGGGUGCCCGACCUACCCAUCGGUUUUAUUCCAACCGAUUAUAGGGUCUAUUUCAUCCCUACCACUACCACAUAAAUCAUGUAUAUCACACAUAAGCAUCAAAAAAUACAUACCACUUCAAUAAUUAUCACAAAAACAAUUACUAAGUCAUAUCAAUACUAGUAGGCCAAUAUUGGUGCCUUCGACCUACGACUACUAAGAAGGGAGUCUCAGUUCACUGCAUAAGCAGAAAUCAUACUCCUCGGAUGGCUCAGAACUGCUUUCCCUAUAGCAUAAUAAAUUUCCUAAUCAGUCAUUAGGUUCAAAAAGGACUCCCUUAUGUCUCAAACUUCUAAUUCAUGUCCCAAGGCAAGGUUUCAUAAUUCUUGGCCUAUUGGUCCUCUUUCUCCCAAGGCCAACUCCUAAUUAAAUUAAGGCCCAUGUCCAUUCAUUUAAGUUUCAAGGCCCAAUAAGGCCCAUUCAGGCCUAAUACCAUAUAUCCUAGGUCUAGGCCCAUAAGCCUUACUGCACGGUGGUUUCUUGAGGCCCAACAUCCUAAGGCCCAAAUAUCCAUUUAACUAUUCUGCAUGCAUAUGUGCGGCGUACCUGGCAUGUACGCCCAACGUAUGCUGGUCUUGACCACUUCGGGGAGGUUGACCCAGUACAUGUAGCGUACCAGGGGCACACCCAACAUAUUGUUCAGUUUCCUUAGAACUCCUUUGUGACUUAAUCCAUUAAGUCUUAACGAGCAAAACAUAGAUCCAUGUCCUUUAAGACAUCCUAAGCCAUAAAGUUAUAAACAUUAUGGUUUUGCAUGCAUGGAAGGGGGUUAAGACAUGAAUUAAGUCCUGAAACACACUUUGUGACCAUCUAACACUUACUUGGUUGUGGCUUAAACAUCAAGGCCCAAUUUUUAUGGCUCUAAAUGCUUCCAUGAGCUCAAAAGGACAGCUCUUAUGGACUGAAACUACCAAAACACAAGGAAACUCAACUAUGGAGUCAAAUGUCAUAUAAAACACCCCAAAAAUACAACUAAGUAUGUAAUGGUCAAGUUUGAAGUUUGAUACCUCAAAUAAGUCAGAAAAGAUGCUAAACUCCUGGAUCUACAAGCCCCUCUCACGUUCUUGCUCCUUCGUCUAACUUCUUCUUCUUCAAAACCACCAAAAAUCACCCAAAAGUGCACCAAAUUAGCCCACAAAGCAUGCAAGAGGUUUAGGGUUCGAUUUCUACUCUUUAGGGAUAGUGGAGGCCGGGGGAAUGAGGUAUGGGAUGAAGUUAAUAUCUUUAUAUAUGGUGCAGACCCUAAAAUUUAGGGUUCUCAACUGGACGGGUUACGCCCAGCGUAUGCUUGAGUACACCAAGCGUAUGCGAGGCUCCCCUUGCUUCACGCCUCAAUCAUGUACGAUGCGCGUACACUAUGUACGCCCAGCUUAAUACCUUUCACAACAUUGUAAUAUUUAAACACUUAAAUAAAUCAAGGGAAAUACAUGGGGACUCGAAUGUUACAUCUGCACCAGAAAAACAGGGUGAAAUCAAAAAUCGACAAAAUCGCCUAAAAGAAUCCAUUAAUUUUAGGAAAAAGACCACCGGGUGUUUGGGAUGUUGCUCCAAAGCCGGGUUUAGUAAUUUCUUGGGAGUACAAGUCGAUCGUCGACAGGUGGAAUGGGUUUGCAGAGAGAAGGGAGGGAUGUAAUAAAGGUAUGAUUGGUGGAGAUCUAGAGGAGAGGGUGCAGUGGUAGAGGAAGGUGAGUGUUCCAAAUUUUGGGGGAUUUCGUUUUCGCCCCUUAACUAUUAAGGAGACGCUUGUUCUUAAAACAAAUAUAAAGCGAUGGCAAUUUUAGGACACACAAAAAUACAUGUUUUAAAUCCUUCAAAUUUUCAAAGAGAAAACAUUGUUUUAGGACACACACAUUUUCACAUCAUAAAGCUAGUCUAUAUCAUAGUUCGUGUGUCAUUAAAGGCCUAUAUUCUAAUAUUAUGGGUCAUUCACCGACCUAAUAGUCCAUGAACAAUAUGUCAAUAUUCAUUGCUUAAUAUUAGAAGUACAUUGUUGUUUAAUGUUUAAACGUAUAGCACAUUCUUUCUUGCUUAAAGUUAAUAGUACAUUGUUGUUUUGGGGUAACAAACAACUUGAAACAUAUAUUAUAGAUUUUGUAGUAGUUUAUGCCUGUUUCAUGAAAUAUGUAGUUUGAAUUUUUUGCAUAUAAUAGCAGUAUUUCUACAUUUAUACAAACAUUUUAUUUGCAUGUAAUAACAAAAUAUUUUGUAAAGUAAACACCAAGAGUGAUGACAUCAAUAACGGCGCCAAUAGGCAAUAUCGGCGAUUUCAUCAUUGGGGACACGUUAAUGAGCGACAUAUCAAUAGAGCGACAAUAUUGUGGGCAACUUCAACGGCGGGGGACAUAUAUUUAAUAAUUACGACACCAAUAGCGGUGACAUGUAGGCAAGUGCCACGACUAAUGAGCAUCAACAACAAAGCAAUAACUGAAACUUACUAACGGGCGUAUUUGGCACAGAGCGUUUAGGAGCUUCUGGUUUCUAAUAUUUUACAAAAGGCUCCAUUUUGAACAAAAAGUCUUGUUUGACAAUACAAACUUUUAGCGUUUAGGUUAUAAAAAACGUUCCAAAUCUAAAAAUUAUCUCAUGUAGCUUUUAACAAAACACUCCUAGCUAGUAGCUACCCGCUACCCUACUACCAACUUCACGCUAUCCGCUAAUGUUGCCAAACACGCUGAACACAACAACUUAUUGCCAAAGCCUUAAACAGGGAUUUAGGAAACUCUAAUUUACAAUCCAAAAGUUCACAACCUCGACUCCCUUAAAAACGUAGAAUAAAGAUUAAAUACGAAUCCCAAAGUGCAUUAUAAAUGAGAUAAGGUAAUGACGUCGGAGCAUUAUCUAACCAACCAUGUCUCCAACAAAGUCUAUAAAGAGACACACACAUACACACCCAGUCAUAAAAUGGUAAAAUGGCCCAAAUUUGUCAUUUUUUGAUAGUUUUUUCAAUAUAUUUUCUGUUUUUUUCAGUGGCAAAGAAGCAUAACCAGAUCACCAAACUCAACAAAUUGACCGAGUCAAGAAGAUCAGAGAAUCCGCCAGCUGGGGAAACAUGGACAGAACAAGAUACAUCAAACUUAUCUCCAAUACUUUCUGUUGAACCUCAACAAGGAUCAAAGGAAGCAGACAGGGUUGAUAGGCUUCCAGGUCAACCACAAGUGGACUUUGAUCAUUUUGCAGGCUAUAUAACAGUCGAUUUAAAGGCUGGAAGGGCAUUGUUCUAUUACUUUGUUGAAUCACCUCACAAUUCAUCAUCCAAACCUCUCCUCCUCUGGCUAAAUGGAGGUAAUGCGUUUUUUGUGUGAUUCUACCACUAAAAUGGGCCCAUGACAAAUUAUAAGCUUACAUGUUGUCCUAACCAAUUUUUGGAAUCAAUAUGAAUUGAACUUUAACUUUUUGUUCCACCAAAAAAAAAGAUGCCACCAAAAUAAUGCUUGCAAAAGGCAUGAAUAUCUUUUAUUCUCAUCAUGGAAUAUUAUAUGAUAAAUCAUCAUCAUUUACAUGUGCUGAAAUUGACCACUAGUAAUUAAGAUAAUGUACAGGACCUGGAUGCUCGUCGUUUGGAUAUGGAGCCAUGGAAGAACUUGGACCCUUCCGAGUCAACAGUGAUGGGAAAACACUCUACCGCAAUGAUUAUGCAUGGAACAAUGGUAACAAAAAAAUAUGAGGAGAUUUAUGUCUUUUCCACAUAAAAAACGAGUACAUGUCCCACUUUUUUGAUGGAACAGACAGUUACAUGUCGUGUUUCCGUGAAUACACAAUGUGAAAGACUAAAUACAGAAAAUUUUGACAGAGGCUAACGUACUAUUUUUGGAGUCGCCAGCUGGAGUGGGGUUCUCGUAUUCAAAUAGAUCGUCUGACUACACAACAGGAGACAAGCAAACAGCUAAAGAUUCAUACACUUUCCUCAUCAACUGGCUUCAAAGAUUCCCCGAAUACAAAACCCGAGAUUUCUUUAUUACAGGUGAAAGCUACGCAGGUCACUACGUACCUCAACUCGCAUCCCUCAUUCUCUCGGAAAACAAGAAAACUAAGGGAACGAUCAUUAAUCUUCAGGGAAUUGCAGUAAGCACUUUUCAUACGUGGGACUGCACAGGGCACAACACAGGAGCUCGUUUGUGCAAAAGUCAUAUUUGCCUUCCUCAUAAUUAAAAAAAUCCCUAAAAGGAUCAUGUCCUGUAUGUGCUAAAUGGGUGUACUUUUCUGUAUUGUAGAUUGGGAAUGCUUUGUUAGAUGACAAUACACAUCUUCAAGGGAUGCUAGACUACUUAUGGACACAUGCCCUAAUGUCCGAUGAGGCAAAUGCAGGAAUUAAAAGGUAUUGUGACGAUGCUGUGAAUUUAAGCAAUAUAUCAGAAAAGUGCUAUCAGUAUGUAGACCAAGGAUUUACUGAGGUUGGUAAAAUUGAUAUUUACAACAUCUAUGCACCACUCUGUGAACGAACCACACAAAAACUUCAAUCUACUGCGUCUGUAAGUCUCUUAAUCCAUUUAACAAAAAUAUGUAGCAUACAACUUUCAAAACUGGAUAAAAUGUAUCCUGCAAUUUUAGUUAAUUGAACUAUCUUUUAAAGAGAUGAUGUAUUGAACCAGGUCAAGAACUUUGAUCCUUGCUCUAGUCGUUAUGUGUCUUCAUAUCUGAAUCGAGCAAAAGUUCAAGAAGCUCUUCAUGCCCGAAAUACCUCAUGGUCACAUUGCAGGUACCUCUUUUCUUAUAAAUACCUCAAAGCCAAUAUAAAAAGGCUGACUGUUUACUUUAUUAUGAGCAGCGAUUAUAAUUGGACAGAUAGCCCAACGACUGUUUUGCCAACUAUCAAUCAGCUAAUUGCAUAUGGUAUUAGACUCUGGAUAUACAGGUCAGUCCACCCAAUCUAACCCCAAUCCUUUUUUUUUUUUUUUGAAUUAUUUCUCUUUUACUUAAAGACAUGACUUAGUGGUAAGAUAUAUAAAAUAUAUACGGUUAUAUUUUUUUACUUGCUGAAUUUGUUAAAAAGCUAGCUCAAAAGUUAGCUAAUUACUAAAAAACUAGUUGCUAGCUUACAAACUAGCUAAUAGAAAAUAACGUUUGUUAAAAAACUAAUUGAUAAGCUACCUGAAAAAUAUAAAAUGACAAAAAAUAGAAUUUAGAAUAAUUUCUAAAUGAGUUUCAUAUAAUUUAUUAAGGACACAUUUGAAAUAUUGUAAAACAACUCCUAAAAUUUUUUUAUUCAAAUGUUGUAAAAAAAUCAUUGAAAAUCUAGUCUAAGUAGCCAGCUAGUUUAAAAGCUAAUUUUUGACUUGCCAAAAUGACAGUUUAAAAAAAAUCGAAAAAGAAGCUAGUUUUUCAACUAGUUGUGAUACGCCAAUUCUCAACCAAACCCGUAACUCAACAUGUAAAUAAACGGGUUUGGGCUGAUAUUCCUGACCCACCAACCCGUUAAUUUAAUGGGUUGUGUUGGGUUAUCUGUUUGGUUCAUGGAUUCACCCACCAACCCGAUUAUAUAUAUAUANNNNNNNNNNNNNNNNNNNNNNNNNNNNNNNGUACACUAUAUGACAUGCAUGCCCUAACAAUCUAACCCCAAAUCCAAUUCUAUUUUUCCAUCCAUUCCAAUUCUAUUUCUCGAUCAUUUUAGUAGAUGUAAAAUGUAAAAUGUUAAUUGUUAAUUAAUUUAGAUACAUGUAUAGUUCGUAUAAAUUUGACAUGUGAAAAAUUAUCGAAAAUAACCCAUCGACUCUUUGACCCGAAAUUGAUCCACUGAACUGUGAACUUGUAUACUUAAACGAGUUAUGUGGGUCGGAUUGGGUUGAAGUUUCGAAUCUGCCAUCCCGUAACCCGCCAACCCAAACCUAAAGGCCUAGCGCCAAACAUAACCAUAAUGAAAAAAGUCAACGGAGAUCGUACCUUUCUCAAAUAUUUUUUCGAAAAAACUGCAAAAAUGGUCUCAAUGGUAUGUAUUUUCUCUGAGAUUUAGUCUAAACCUCGACUUUUUGGAAUGAUGGUCAUUUUAACCAUGUUUGCUUGUGGUUUUGGUUCCUGUCUAAGCUGAAAAGACUAUUAUGCCCUUCUUCUUUGUUUUUAAGAUUUUUGAAAUAUUUAAUAAAUAUUAAAAAGAAAUCUCUCUCUCUCUCUCUCUCUCUCUCUCUCUCUCUCUCUCUCUCUCUCUCUCUCCCUCUUUCCUCUUUNNNNNNNNNNNNNNNUCUCUCUCUCUCUCUCUCUCUCUCUCUCUCUCUCUCUCCAUUGUUUUUUUAGAUUUAUUGGGUUGAAGAACAUAUAUAUCUCCAUCUUCUUUCCAAUCCACUAAAAACAAUCACACACAUACACACACUAAAUCAUCUUAAUAUUCAUCCACAUCAUUUGCAUCUUUCAUCCAAAUCUAUUGAAAAACAAACAAACAUAUAUUAAAUCGACAUCUUCUACUAGGUUUUUCCUUAAAUUUAAAGUAUAUUCUCAAUGGAACCAUCUAAUCCACCAAUGAAACCAAAAGAAAAAAAGAAAAAAGAAUAAACCCCACUAACCUAACAUCUGCCAAUCUACAAGAGCACAAAUUAGUUAAAUUUAUUGCUAAAAGUUUCCCCACUAUAUACAUUAAUCAUUGAUAUUUUGUUUCCACACCAUCUUUGUUUGUUUCCCAAAAUGUGAAACAUAUCAGGAGAUUCAACUAGCUUCUCUUCCGAAAAUACCAAUGGUGUUCCGGAAGAAAGUCAAAAAAGACAACCAUCAAUAGUCAACUCCCAUAGUACUUUCACAACUGUAGAUGUUGGAUCCGAUGCUCAAGAAAUUUUAUAUUCGUCAAAGAAGAAGAAAAUAUCUCUAACAGAGAUUAUCCCUUCACAACCUCUGAUUGAAGUACUAAAACUCAAUCCCAUUCAAAAUUGAAACUGAUGCUAAAAAUCACGACUCAAAAAUCGGAUACGUCUUUUUUAUCCCAUUUAAUAGAAAAGCUCCAUUAACUGAUUAUAGAUAAUAAACACAAACUCGGAUUUUGAGGAAGGCAACGAUUGGAAGAACCCUUUUGAAAUCAAGAUACCUACUACAAAUCUUUCAGUUCAGCUUCGGAGAUGGUGCAUAUGUGUAAGAUAUGGUCACUGAAGAUUUCUUUAUCUCUGGAAUUCGUCGCCAUUCUUGGUGGUGUACAUCUUCGCUUCAGGCGGUGUUCUUCGGAUUAUGAUUUUUUGCGUAGGUUUUCGUUUCAGAUCCGCCCUUUAGCUUUUGGAUUAAGGUUCAGUUUCAAAUCCGGGUGUAACAACCCAAAAACAGUUAUAAAAUUUUUCAUUUUAAAAUCAUUGUUUCUAUACAUCAUAUCUUCUUAAAGUUAACCAUGAUACAAAGUAUCAAAACAUCAGAGUAACACUAGUCAAAAGUGCAGAAAUAUAAGGGGAUGCUUUGUUGUUACGCUGAGCCCUUCCCUUUCACGCCGAAGUACCUGAAACCAUAAACAUAAAAUGUAAGUAUAAAGCUUAGUGCAUUUAUGAAUCAGUGGGCCCAACCGUAAUGUAUAUUCCAACCUAACAUACAAUGACGGGCCUAGCCUUGGGGCCCAACCCUGGGGUUUCUUCCAACACAACCAUACAAUCAUGGGCCCCGCCUUGGGGCCUAACACUGGGGUUUAUUUCAACUCAAUCAUACAAACAUGCAAGAGUCACAAAAACAGUUAACAUAAUAUAUAACAUAAUCCAGUGGGCUAGUAUUGGUGCCUUCGACCCACAAGUAUGAUGAGAAGACCCACCUGUCAAUCAAUUAUCGACUACUACUGCUCUAACUAUGAGAAUACCAAGGCUAUGCUCCAUCUAUGCAGUCAUACCAGAUAAACCAUUAGCUCUUGUUCCAAAACUAGGUGUUUGACCAAUAGUCAACUCAAGCCGAAAUUCAAUGAUCAAAGUCAACAGUCAGUUUUGACUUUAGUCAACCGCCACGCCAUGGCCACAACGUGGCCCUCAAAUAUCCAUACAUACAUGUUAUUCAUAAUUAUCACACUGUGGUAACCUAAAGCCAUGUCGUGGGCAUCAGGUUUCCAAUAACUUAAUGGGUUAAGCAAUUUUCUUUGAUCCUAAAAGCUCCAAAGUACAAGUCUGGUCUAACAUGGUCUUGAAUGAUAAAGUUUCCAACUUUAUCGAUCAAGACCACCCAAAAGGUCAAAAUCUCAUAUCCUAGGUUCUAAAAUGGCUAAAUAAGACAUGACUUCAUCCAUUAAACACUUAUUCCAAAAAGCCUUUAGCUCAUCAACUUCAAAAGGGUUUCUAAUACCAGAAUCAUCAUAAAAGUCGUUGCUUUAUGGACAUGCAUGUCCAAUUCAUGUCUUGAAGCAACAAAGAUUUAAAAUAAGGGGUUUUUGAUAAAAAUUACAUGCAUGGUUCAAAAACUCAACUAUACUUCAAAUCCAAACCCAUAAUCAUACCAAACGAUCUAGAGAUUUAUAAAGUUGCAAACUUUAUGAGAUCUCACCAAUCCAACUUACUAGAAAAUUAAGAUUAAGGGACAAAACUAAAGAUCUAGCAACCUAUCAUGAUAAAUUUUGAGUAUCGGACACUUACAAAGGUCCAGAAGAGUGCUAGAACGAGGGAUGGGGGUCGCUUGUUGAAUCCUAUCUCACUUCUUCUUCUUUCUUCCUUCAAGGACUUUAAAGAACACCAAAAAAAGCUAAAAUAAAAGAGGAAGGAAAUUACUAUUUCUUAGAUCUUAAGGAGGCUGAUACAGGCUAAGGGUGAGCAAACCCCAACCUCAUCAUUCCUUUAAAUAGGGAGCAAACCUAGAAAAAGUAGAGUUUUCUAUCUGCCAGCUGCCACUUCGUGGCCACAUAUAGUAUACGAUCCAUUUUGACUUUUCACGUCGUGGUGGUGCCUCCACCACGUCAUGGCAAACCUUAAAAUGCCAAAAAUGAAAACAUGAAGUAUCUUGGGAUCCGGGUGUUAGACCAGACUCAGAAUAAGUCCCCUUCUCCAUAUUUGCUUUAGAUAUGGAACAUUCAGUAUAUCUGUGUCUUGUGUUUUGAUGAAUAUAACCACUAUGAGAAAUGUAUAUGUGUUUUAAUUUUAACAAGAAAAAUAAUUAUGUGCGUUUUCUUGUGUGUGUGUGUGUGAGAGAGAGAGAGAGAGAGAGAGACUCUUAUUUUUGUUAAUUAUAAGAAAGAAAUAAAUAAGUAUUAAAUUUUUAAAAAGUAGAAAAUAAAUACAUUAAGGGUAUUAUAGUCAUUUCAAGUUUCAAAUGGACCAAAUACGCAACAAAACAAUCUCAAAAAGACCAUCAUUCCAAAAAAGCCGAAGUUUGAACUAAACCUCGGAAAAAUACAUCAAAGAGAUCAUUUUUGCAAUUUUGUCUCUUUUUUCGAACAUCAUGUAUCCAAACAACGCUUUAACAUACGAAUCCCUGAUAACAUGUAAUAGUAAGUCAAAAUCUUUUGUGGUAGAUUUUUUCAUUCAAAAGACUUUUGGCAUUCCUUGUAAAGUUACAAGCUAAAUGAUAGAGAUUUUUUUCUUUCAUAUAUUUAAUAUUAUUUUAUUUAUUUGCUUAAGAGCAUCCACAAUAGGAUCUCAUUAGAUAGUUAUUUCAGUGAAAGAAGUUUUGCCUAAAUCAAACAAGCUAUUGUGAGAACCUUUUUGUCCCAAAACCAUUUUACUUUGGCUGAAAAUUUACAAUCUCGUAGGGCUUUUCACAAUUCUAAUAUUAUGAAUUUCAUUUUCAUAACUUUUCUUUUAAUUUUAGUAGGGUCCAUAAAUAAGUUGUAUAUAAAUUUCUUUUGCUAUAGCAUGGAUAUAUUAAAAAUUCAGUUAUUAAUUUAAUUAGCACCAAAAAGAUCAGCGGAAAAAACGUUGAAAUAAUCAUCUAAAUUGAUAUUUAUUUCAUCCAUAAGUAACAUUUGUUAAAAAUAUUCCUUAUCGUGGACAUUUAUUUAAGCUUUAUGGUUUAUUAAUGUGGCGAUGAUGUGUUUAUUGUACAUAUAAAAGCACCUUACAAGUUACACUUGAUUUAUGAAUCAUUGGCAGUGGUGACACUGAUGGAAUGAUCCCAGUAACAUCCUCAAGGUACUUCGUGAAUAAGUUAAAGCUUCCAAUAGAGACUGCUUGGAGACCAUGGUACUAUAAUGGAGAGGUGAGAAUAUUUGAAACAAUAAUAACAUCGAAUAACAAUGUAGGAGUAAUAUAUAUUUUAAAAAUAAACAAUACAAUAAUACCAAAAUUUAAUAUGUUGAUGUUAAAAAUGUGAUAGGUGGGAGGAUAUGUGGUAGGCUACAAAGGAGUUAUACUUACCACAGUAAGAGGCGCAGGGCAUGCAGUCCCUAGUUACCAGCCAGAAAGAGUAUUGCUUUUGAUUUCAUCAUUCCUUCAUGGAAAACUUCCGCCAUCUUUGGCUGAAUAACCAUUAAUAUAAGUUAUUUACCGGAUGAAAAAUGACAAGUUAUAAGCAAGUGGUAUCCAAUCAUAUUGGAAAUAUAACAAGUUCAUUUUGAGCAUUGAAUGUUUAUAUACAAUAAUAUAAUAAAUAUGUCUCUUUAAUCAUUUUGUAUGGCUUUAAAAUAAAGUGAAUGGAAAGAAAUUUGUCAAUUCCAUCGGGCAUGCAGAGCCAACCAUUUUAUUUCAUUCCAAUGAAAUGAACCAUUUUAUGUUUUUCCUGAUCAAUUUUUAACCAAUUUUCAAUAAUGAUGUAUUCCCAAUUUUUGGCAUGAAUGUUGAGCCCUAAACGUUAUCAAACGAGACAAAUGAUUAGAUGCUUGUGUUUCCCUGUGGCUUGGGUUGCAAAUGAAAAACCAAAUUGUCUUGUGUUCACUAAACUUAUGUGCGAGCGCGUAACCUCAAACUCCAAAUUUAAUAACGAGUAAAUUCCUUUUAAAUAAACUAUGUUAAAUACAGGCCUCAUCAACAAUUUUAUGUUUGUCUUUGUUCGUAUUUUUUUCUGUUGUAUGUUUCUAACAAUUUCUUCAUACAAUAUAUAUACUACCUAAAAAAUCUGAAACAUGGCAAAGACGUAACGUUUGCAGUGGCAAAGACGUAACCUUUUGAAAAUAAUGCCACUAGAUAUCAUGACUAUUUGUGUACCUAUAGUGACACAUAAUAAAUUUAAGAAAAAAACUGAUAAAUGGUCCAUAUUAGUUUUCAAAAAUCUAGAUCUGGUCCUUAAUUUCAAAAAAGUUCAUAGAUUGUCUAUGUGGUUCCAAAACUAUUAACAAACGAUUAUUUUUAGUUAGUUUCUUUGUAAAUUUAGUCUAUUUCAAAAUUAAAAUGAUAUUUUAACCUUUUAUAUAUGUGGGGAUAGUGAAUAUAAGGCUGUUUUAUACCCAAAUUUAAGUGUGGAACCAUCAAAUUAAAAUGACAUAGUUUACUUGAACAUUACAACAUAUUUCCAUUAUAUAUAUAUAUAUAUAUGUCAAAAGUUAUUAUGUGGUUGUCAUGUAUGUAAUGUUAGGUACAGAACCAUCAAAAUUGACUUCAUUUUGAUUAAAAAACACAUUUUUCUUUCAUUCGUAGCUUCCUUCUGUUGUUUUUGAACUCAUAUUAUAUUUGAUUUUGUGAUUCAUUUUAAAUAUCUAUCUAUUUCGAAUGUGUUUUUUAUUAGAGCUCUAGUAGGUUUCAUAACUCCUUCAACACCUAUUUUAUGCAUACUUGUACGGUUUUUCUAUGGUGGUUUAUGGAAAGAGUUUUAGUAGGUUUUUUAAUGAACAAUUUCAAUCUUCCAAUGUAUUUUUCUAUAUUAAAUUUCAAUUUGGAGACCUACAAGUAGUUUUAACAAAAUGCAAUUAAAUCUCUCUAUCAUCUUUCUUCUAUCUUCUAUUAGAGUAGACGAUAGGCUUUUUACAUAUUUUUAUGGAGUUUUAAAUAUUUAAUUUUGCACCACAAACCAUGUAUAAUAAUAUAUUAUCAACUAUCUAUAAAUCUUCAUAUUCAAAUUUAAUAUAGAAAACUAUAGUGAAAAAGUGAAAUUGUUCAUCAAAAACCCAAUAAACUUAUUCUCAUAACACAUCAAGAAGAACCAUCCAAGUAUACAUAUGGUAGGUGUCAAAGAAAGUUAUGAAGCCUACUAGACGUCUAAUAUAAACAACACAUUUGAAAUACAUAUAUGUUGGGGAUAAAUUAUGAAAUCAGAAAUAAUAUAAGCUUAAAAGUAAUAUGAAUAAGCUAACAAUGAAAAAAAUUGUGUUUUUUUAAUUAAAAUGAAGCUAAUUUUGAUGGUUAUAUACCUAAUAUUACAUACAUAACAACCACAUAUUCACUUUUCCCAUAUAUAUAUAUAUAUAUAUAUAUAUAUANAUAUAUAUAUAUAUAUAUAUAUGUUUAGGUUAUUCUAUUUUUAGUAAGUAUUGUGUGCCAGAAUGCACAGAUCUGGACCAACGGAUGAAAUUUAUCAAUGGACAUGAUUUGAGAGUGUAUGAUAUUACAAUGGGGUAACAUGUAGCAUAUAACCACACAAUUUUUAGCAAAAGGGUAUUUUGGACAAUUAACUACAUUUAUAAAUGGAAGUUUUCGGAUUUUUAGGGAUGAUUAAUUCUCAAAAUUUAAAAAAAUCUGAAUUUUUUAAUUAAGUCAAUUUCAAUUUUUACCGAUUUUAUUCUAUCAGAAUAUUUUUUGUUAGAAUGAUACUCUUUCAAAAUUUUAUUCUAAUAGAAUAUUAUUGAACAAAAACAAGAUUCUUGAAUAAGAUGUUGAAAAAUAACAAACAUUCUAAUAUAUUAUUAUACAUCUGAACUUAAAUACAAAGUCAUAUAUAUUUUUAUAGACUAAAAUUCUUAUAUAUUUUAAUAUAGUUAUAAAUAUUCUAAAAGAAUAUCAACAAAAAUGAAUAACAUUCUUAAAACAUAACAACAUUCUGCUAGAAUAAUCUCGUUCUCCAUGUUUUCUUCUUGAAUUCUUGAAUUCUGAAAGAAUAUUGUUGUUUUUUGGAUGUUGAAUCCCGAAAUUCUGAAAGAAUAUUGUUGUUUUUCUUCAUUCUUUGAGAAUGAAGUAUCACAUAUCUUUUUUUCAUAAGUUACCUCAUCAUUUUUACAUCAUCCUAACAUACAUUAAAUUCCAACAGAAUAUCUAAAUCAUGAAUAUUUGAAAGAAACACAUGUUCCUGCUUAUAUAACCACAAAAAAUACACACCAACUUUUAGUUUUUGUUUUCUUCUUAUUAUCUACAAAAGUCAAAAGUUUUUAGUUAUUUUAUAUAAUUUUACUCAAUUCAAAUGGUUUAGAAAAACAAAACAACUAAAGUCAGUAUAUGCAAAACAAGAUUCUAACAUCAAUUGACUUUUAUAUUCAAAAUCACUACAAUAAAACAUAGAAGAACAAGUAUAAAAACAAUUCCAAACAUGUGGUCUUGUUGUUCAAUACAGUUAUCAAUCAUUAGUCUUAGUUGUCAUUCUGACUUCUGUUAGGUAUAAACACAAACACAUAGAGUGCACGUCAGUAUGUGUUAUUUAUAUCCAUUAUUUUAAUAAAACCAAAACACAAAUACAAAUUAGAGUAGUAUAUGUCAUCGUAUAUGUAUUAACUAAGAACCAAAGACAAAAAAUAUAGAUUUAAAAGAAUCACAUAAACAUAAAAUCAAACAUGUGGUCUUGUUGUUCAAUAGUUGUCUUAUGGUUCAGUAUUGUCGGCUCAAAAACUCAAAAUCAGAUAUCAAAAGAAAGACAUAAUCCUAUUCUGACGACUUUAAUCGAACAUUUUUCAAGCAUUCUAUUUCAAUCAAUCUAUUUUUUGCCACCAUCUAUAAGCAUGGAGGCAUCAGGUGGAUGGAAGGCGACGAACAUGAAGAUGAGGAAGAAGAGUAGUCGAAUAGAGGAUCUAGAAGUUGUUGUCAUGAUGGCGGAUAAAAGGCCGACGGUGGUGCUCGGAUGUAUGAAUCUAUUUCUGGUGGAAAUUAAGGUACAGAGGUAUCAAUGAUUUGAGGAAGCCGUCGAUGGUUAAGGAUGUUGGCUUUGUAGGGUUAAACUAAUUAAGGAGAGAUUAAUUGACUUAGUUUUUACCAUAAUUAGAUAUAGUAAGUUUACUAUUAUACCCUUUUUUAAUUUAUUUAAUGAUUUAUUAUUCCUAAAUUCUCAUUGGUGCAUUUAGGCACACACUAUUUGCUAAAAACAUUUGAACCUAGCUCUCUCUCUCUCUCUCUCUCUCUCUAUAUAUAUAUAUAUAUAUAUAUAUAUAUAUNNNNNNNNNNNNNNNNNNNNNNNNNNNNNNNNNNNNNNNNNNNNNNNNNNNNNNNNNNNNNNNNNNNNNNNNNNNNNNNNNNNNNNNNNNNNNNNNNNNNNNNNNNNNNNNNNNNNNNNNNNNNNNNNNNNNNNNNNNNAGUUGGGUUCAAAUGUUUCUCACAUCUAUUGUGUGAUAGAAUGCACCAAUAAAAAUUGAGUAAACAUUAAAUUUAUAUUAAAUGAUAUCUAUAUUUAUAAAUCAUUUUUAUGGAAACUAAUUUAAUUCGUCGUUAAUAUCACUACUAAUAUUUUUUCAGAAUAAAUUCAUAUAUAAAAUAAUAAAAAUGUAUUCUAGGAGAACGAUAGUAUAUUCUAUUGGAAUGCACCCUCAUUCUUCAUAUUUCAUACAACUUUAUUGUAUUUUAAGUGAGUGAGUCCUGAAAUUGUGUUAUUGCUGACAUAAAAACCUAGAUACGAAUUUAUUCUGAAAGAAUGUUAUUGCUGACAUUAAUGACGAAUUUAAUUAAUUUCCAUAAAAAGAAAAUUAUAAUUAUGGAUAUCAUUUAAUAUACAUACAAUUAUGAAAACCAUUUAAUAUCUAUCAUUAUUUAAUUAAAUAAUAAUAUAAUUUUACUAAAUUCCUAUUGGUGCAUUCUAGCACACAAUAAAUGUAAAAANNNNNNUAUAUAUAUAUCGUAAACGACGUUCCAGCAACAAAUAUGAUCUUUAUUUAACAUUGUUGUUUACAAAAUAAUUCCGCAGCAGAAGGCAUAGAGAAAAACAGAUUAGUGAAAAAGUUUUGAAGUAAAUGAUUCCAAAUUCCAAUUGGAUAUAUUGUUCGGUGGUUUUUUAUCACUUAUAAUAUUCAAAUUCAUAAUAAACAAUUCCUUGAUAACGGUGUAAACCAAAAUACUGCAUGAAUGUUAAGAUUUUCGUCUUAAAUAAACUCAGUGUUGCAAAUAUCGGCCUAGGCGGCCGAUUAAUCGGCGCCUAGGCGCUUGACGGUCCUCCACUGUCUAUGUUUAUAGCUAAUCGGACCCUAUUAUCGGACGUGGUCAAAAUCGGUCAAAGACGGAGAUUAUCGGGUCUACACGGGUCUAGGCGGGCCUAGGCGCCCUAAUCGGUAAAAAAAAAAAAAAAAAAAGAACUUUAAGGUAAAAAGUUUCAAAUUGUUAGAUUUGCUGUUAGGGUUCUUCUCACUCCAUUGCAUUCAUUUUUUUUUUUUGAAAUUCUCUCUGUGGUCUGAAGAAACAAAAGAAAGCAUGAACUGAGGCUUCUAAAACGAUGCCAUAUUCUUCUUCGAUACCAUCUGUCCCUCCUCCGACACUGUCUUUUUCUUCCAUUCACGUCAUCGCAGUCCGCCAGUCGUCAGUCUCGAAGCUAAACCAGUCUUCGCCUUCUGAAGCUUCAACAACAGUUGCCGCCUCUUCUGUGUUAUAUAGCAAUAAUCAGGAUCGAAUCAUUGAUCAUGGAAUUCCCACAUAUCCACAACCUCCUGCUAUUGAAUUCCCUUAACAUUUACAUAGUUCCAAAUGUAAUAGACAACAGGUUGCAGGUCCACAUCUCUUCCCGAUGUUAUUGGAACUCAUUGUUCAUAACACUUUUUUCUCCCCAUUUUAUGUAGACUUGGAUCCAAAUGCAAUUAUUGGUUAUUUAGAUCUGAUGUAUUAGGGAUCAAAAGGGUUUUUGUAAUCAUAGUAUCAUGUUAUAAUUGUAUAUUUAUUAAUUUUUAGUAACUUUUUAAUAGAUAUAAUGUUAUAUUCUUAGGAUUAAUGUUUUAUUUAUUAAUUUUUUAAUAAUUAAUGGUCCCCGAUUAAUCCCCGCCUAGCCGAUUAAUCCCUUGACCCCAGUCCACCGCCGAGCGAUUUCUGCAACCUUGAAUAAACUAAAGAAUUAAUUGAUCCUUUUUAUUAAACGAAUCAUCGAUGUUGCCUUCAGAAAGAAAUGAAUGACCUCUUUCAUAAAUAAAUUGAUCAAAAUGAACAUCGAAGAAAUUAAUCUCUAUUUCUAAAUAUUGAAGACGCCGAUUUAACAAAAUUGAUGUAAAACUAUUCUAAACCUAAAAUAAAUUUGAAAAUCAAGGUUUUCAAGGAAUUAGAGAUAAAUAGUUAUAUUCUAGUGCAAAACAACGUAGUUUUUAAUGGUUCCGCACCUAAUCUUAGGUGCAUAAUACCCUCAUAUAAACUUUUAUUUUAUAUAUAUAUNNNNNNNNUAUAUAUAUAUAUUCAUAAUUUCCUUUUCAUAUUGUAUUAUUAUUAAAUAAAUGAAUGGCCCACAUCUCAGAAGGAGUUGUUAUUGUCUCUUUUCACUCUUUUUUAUCUCCUGGAAAAUCAUAUUCACCAUUCAAAAAGUGAUGGUGGCUUAAGUUUCUGUUCACCACGCUUAUUAUCUUUUAACUCCAUGGAUACGAACUUUUGUCUUUGGCCAUUUUUACCCAAACUCAAUCUUCUCCAUCAUCAUUAUCAUCAUCUUCUUCCCCAUUUUUAUUCCGGUGCCUAGGAUUUGAGUUUGAAGCAGUCUUGCUAAAUCUUCCUAGUCUAAUACAUGUAAGUUCUCUAAUAUGAAAUUUUGAUGGGUAUACUUGAAAUCCAUUGUUUCCAUGAUGAUCAUAUUGGAACAUUGUGCAACAUAGUUAUUUGGAGCCCUAAAAUUAUUUGACCUACUUGCUAAAGUUAUGAAAUUGCUAGCAGUUGCAGCUAGUUUGAAGCAAAUCCCAUGCCCCUGAUGUAAACCCCCAUAAUUUGAGUCAAUAAUGGUGUUGAAUUGAUGAUUAUUUUUCGAAUUACCAAUUUUCAUACCUGAAGAAUUGAGAUCAUUACCAAAUUGUGUUUCUUCAUCUGGAUCAGAUCCUACCAUUUUUCUCCAUUGGAUCUAUAGGUUCGAAGUAGAACCAGUCUAAAAAACAUAAACAAAUCAAGAUCUUCCCAACAUCAUCAUUUCAUUCACUAUGAAACAGAUGGUUUUACAUCAACAAAAUACAUUAGAAAUCUCACUACAUAUUACACUCACACUCAUAUUACACAUGAAUAAGAAAUCUAUACAUAAAACAAAGAGUGUAAACAAACCCUACCUAUGAAACCCUAAUCUAAAGGUGAGAAAGACGAGAGAGUUUUUAAGAAUAUAAAAGUGAGCAAAUAAACUGAAUGACAAGAAAAUUGCAACAACAGACACUUAAAUACUUCAGGUAAAGAAGAUUCGAGGUUCAACUCGAAGUCUGCGUGUAAACCCGUAAACUUGCAUCAUAUUUACCAAACAUACCCACAUUAAUAUAUUCAUUUACAUAACUCGCCCUUAUAGUCUAUAAAUUAAUGUUUAAGUUUGAAACCUUUUAAAUAUAACUUUUUUAACACACCCCCUCAAACUUAAGAUUAAUUUGAGAGAACAAUCAGAAAUCAACUUCCUUUAAAAACAUCAAUCAAACCAAGACGAUUUGAAAUGUAUUCUUGUUGAUUAAUUCCAAGAGCUUUAGUUAAAAUAUCUGCAUUUUGGUUUGAAGAUUCAAUUUCAUUAACUUUCAGAAUUCCAUUUUUAAUUUUUUCCCCGAACAAAAUGAAGAUCAACUUCAAAGUGUUUGGUUUUUUCAUGAAACAUAGGAUUCAAAGCCAACUUUAUAGCUAACUCAUUAUCACAAAUAAUAUCAACAUGUGAAAUAGUUUAAAUACGUAAAUCAAAAAGCAAUUUUAAAAUCCACAUCACAUCACACGUAAUACUACCCAAUGCUCUAUACUCUGACUCAGUGGAGGAGCAAGAAACAGUAAUAGAUUUACGACUGAACAAACACUUUGCCUAGUCAGCAUCCACAAUCCCAAUCAGAUUAAAAGAAUUAGUUUUAGUUAAAUGAACACCUUACCAUGACUGUUCUUCAAAUAUCUCCAAAAUUCUAAAUGCAAUAUUAAUAUGAGAAUUAUAAGGAUUAUGCAUAUAUUGACUUAGUAAUUGGACAGCAUAUGAAAUAUUUUGACAAGUAAUUGCUAAAUAAAUCAAUUUACCUAUAACUUUUAGAAACUCAGUUAUGUUAACCAAAUAAUUAGAACUAUAAUUCACAUUCUCUUUUAAUAACCAAAUGAGCUUCAAGAGGUGUUUUGACAGGUUUACAUGCGAUCAUACCAAAUUCAUGAAGUAAUUUCAUGCAGUAUUUUCUUUGAUUAAGACAAAUGCCAUUAUCUAUUUUUAUAAUCUCUAUUCAUAAAAAAAAAGUUUCAGAUCCCCUAAAUCUUUGAUUAAGAACUGAGAUUUAAGAAAAUCUUUGACAUUAUUCAAUUCAAUUUUGCAAUUCCAGUUAUAAUAAUGUCAUCUAUAUAAACAAGAAUCACAACAAUAAUAUCUUUAGACUUCCUAAAAAAUAAAGAAUAAUCAUUUAUAUUCUAUUUAAAACCAAAGGUGGAAAGAGAGGAGCAUAAUUCAUUAUUCCACUUUCUAUGGGCUUGUUUAAACCUAUACAUAGAUUUUAACAGUUAUAAAGCCUAACAUCAUCUUUUGGAUGAUACCCUUCAGGUAAGUUCAUAUAAACACUUUCAGAAAGGUACCCAUAUAAAAAACAUUUGUAAUAUCAAGUUGAUAAAGAGGCCAAGAAUUAUAAACAACUAAAGAAAUGACAAUGCGAACAGUAACAAUCUUGGCAAUAGGAGAAAAAAUCUCCUCAUUGUCAAUACCUUCCCUUUGGUUAUAACCAUUAGCCACAAGUCUGGCUCUAUAUCUGUCUAUAUCUCCAUUAGAUUUUUAUUUGAUUUUAUAAAUCCAAGGACAACCUAUAACUUUUCUUCUUUUAGGAAGAUUAGUGAUUUCCCGGUUGUUAUUCCUAUAAGUGCUUACAUUUCUUCAUUCAUAGCUUUUAUCCAAUUUGGAUCUAAAGCAGCCUUACUAUAACUAUUGGGUUCAACAGUUUUAUUAAGAUUAGAUAAAAAAACAAAGAUUUUCACUAUUAAGAGCCAAAUAGUUAACAGAUCGCUCAAUUCCAUAUUUGUGUUUUCCCUCCACAACAUCAUCACUAAACCUAACUGGCAUGUGAACAUCACGUCCACUCCUUAUAAAGCUAGUAGACUGACCCUCAGAAGGAUUAAUAUUAAUUGAAUCACUUUCCUCAGUCAAAGUAGAAAAACAUGGAAACGUCACACCAGGAGAAGGCACAUGUGCCUCACUAGUCUGGUUGCUGACAUUAUAGGGACAAGUCUCAUCCAGGUUCUGGUAUGCACUAGCACCAUCAGACUGAUGGACACUUCUUAAGUUAUCUAAACUAGUGUUAUCAAGAAGAGUACUAGAAUGCAAUGACUCAUCAUAGGAAAAAAGGUCACUAGAUUUUAAAGUGGCAUUAGAUUUAUCAGUUGAAGAUGAAGACUUUAGCUUGAAGGGAAAAACUGAUUCAUAGAAUUUUACAUCCCUAGAAACAAAAAAAGAUUUGAAUGAAGACUAAGAACUUUAUAACCAUUUUUAUCAUAAGAGUAACCAAUAAAUAUGCAUUUAUCAGCUCUUUCAGAAAAUUUAUCAUAAUUAUUCAACUUAGUGGCAAAGCAUAAACUACCAAAAACCCUAAUUUAUCAAAAAGAGACGCAUUAUUAUAACAAGCUCAUAAGGAGAAGCACCAUUUAAAAUAGAAGUAGGAGUUCUAUUAAUCAAGAAAACAGAAGUUAAAAUUGGUUCUAUUUAGUAUUUAAGAGGUAAACCAGAUUAAAACAUUAAAGACCUAGCAACAUUAAAAUAUGCAUGUGUUUCAUAGAAAUUUACGUCCCUAGAAACAAAACAAGAUUUGAAUUAAGACUAAGAACUUUAUAACCAUUUUUAUCAGAAGAGUAACCAAGAAAUAUGCAUUUAUUUGCUCUUUUAGAAAAUUUAUCAGAAUUAUUCAACUUAGUGGCAAAGCAUAAACUACCAAAAACCCUAAGUUUAUCAAAAACAAACGCAUUAUUAUAAACAAGCUCAUAAGGAGAAGCACCAUUUAAAAUAGAAGUAGGAGUUCUAUUAAUCAAGAAAACAGAAGUUAAAAUUGGUUCUAUUUAGUAUUUAAGAGGUAAACCAGAUUAAAACAUUAAAGACCUAGCAACAUUUAAAAUAUGCAUGUGUUUCCUCUCUACAACUACAUUUUGUUGUGGAGUAUGAACACAGGAUGUUUGAUGAAAAAUACAUUAUGACACUAGCAAUUGUCUCAUUUUAUGGUUUAAAAAUUCAGUUCCAUUAUCUGACCUAACGGUUUUAAUUCUAACACCAAACUAACCAAGCAGAAUAUUAAAGAAAAUAAGAACACAAUCAUAAACUUCAUCUUUUGACUUUAAAAGAUAAACCAAAGUUACUCUAGUGUAAUCAUCCACAAUGGUCAAGAAAUACGUAAAUCCUUUUGUAGUUGUCACUUUAUAAGGUCCUUAGACAUCUAGAUGAAUUAACUCACCAAGUUUGGAAGUAACAUGUUGACUAAUAGGGAAGGAUUCUCUUGUUUGUUUAGAUUUAUGACAUACAUCACAAGGUCGAAGAACUUCAUUACGAAAUUUAACUUUAUAUUUUAAAGAACCCAAAGCUUGAUCAGAGGGAUGACCAAGUCUGCUAUGCCAAGUUAGUUUAGACACACAACAAAUAGAAGAAGAAUUAUUAAUACUAAAAUAAUUACCUAAAGGUACACUAUUUAUGUAAUAGAGACCUCCAGAUUCUCUACCAUUCCCGAUGAUCUCCUUUGAUUGUAAACCCUGAAUUUUACAACUAUGUUCAUUAAAAAUAACCUCACAAUUACUGUCUUUGCAGACCAUGUGGACAUAUAACAAGUUAACAUUGAAGUCAGGAACAACAAAAACAUCAAACAAAGUUAAGGAAUUCAAUAAGUUCAUGUUACCAAUUUUUUCAAUUUUAGUUGAAGUACCAAUAGGAUGACAAACAAGAAGAUCUGAUUCCAUUUUUGAAAAUUUAAAGAUGAAUUAAAGACUUGGAGAAAGCAAGUACUUGUCAUAUUAGCACUAACAGAUGCUUCCUCAUUAAUUUUUCUAUCACCAAUAAGUUGUACAAUUUUGAUGUGUUGAUCUUAGUAAGCUGAUGAAACUUAGAAUCUCCAACAGAAUCAAAAAGAUUAGAAGUAUUUGAACUUCCAGAAGAAGUGGUAGUAGAAUUGGCAGAAAAUUUUUUGCUAAAAUAUUAUGGUUAUUAGAUUUAUUUCUUGGCUUGAAGUCCUCAUGUUGAGCUCUUUUUGAUUAAGGAUGUGCUGAAGGCUUUUGUGGUCGGUAAAUAUAGUACAUGAUGUGUGCAAACUCACUUAGUUUUAAACCUGCUUUUAAUUAUAAAAUAAACACACAAAGGUAGUGGACCUAUCAAUUGUGGUAUAGUUAAAUAGGUAGGGUAUCGAACACAGGGAACGGUAAAUUAAAACUAAAAACUAAUUCUAUCUAAAUUAAUUAAUAAGUAGGGGGGUUUUCUCUAGUUUUACAAAACUAGAAACUUACUAACUAUUAUUUAAUCUAAAAACUAGAAAAACAAAGAAUUACUAGAUUCAAUAAUGGGAAGGAACUUCUGUUUAAGAGUUUUAGAAUGAUGAAAUUUGCCUCAAAUCUCCUUCGAAAUUGGAUUCUAGCUUGUAUCUUCAUCCUCUAGGGUUUUUCUGACUCUUCAAUCGCAGCUAACCUCUCCAGAAUGGUUCUAGAAUUCUCCCUCAUUGUUCUGAGAAGUUAUCUUUAUAUAUGCGAAACGACUCGUCGAGUCAGGUGCCGACUCGCCGAGUCCAUCUCUCAAUCCCCGUAUGUGAUAAGUCUCUGGGUUUUUGAGUCUUUAUCUUCUCGAAUAUUCGCACGGACUCUCCGAGUAGACGACCCUACUCGCCGAGUAGGUGUUGUUUUUGGUGUUUUUCUUCUUUGUUCAAUUCUCGAACUCCCAACCGCUUCUCCUGCUUCCUUUUGCUUCCGAGCUUCACUUUUGGGACUGAAAACAUAAUUCAAACACUUUUAAGUACCUUUUGUCCAUGAAAUGCAAUAAAUUAGCUAAUAAAUGAAUAAAAAUCUACACUUAAUAUGAACUAAAUAUGCACAUAUCAAAAUACCCCACACUUGACUUUUGCUUGCCCCCAAGCAAAACUGAAUUUUAAAACAUUAGAAUCACAUAUGACAACUUCAAUCUAACCCAACCAUUAUGCCAAGAACGCAACGCAUACAUUUGUGUCUAAAAUUUCCCUAAUAACCCCCAUACCCCAAAUACUCACAAUCCUCAUAAACAUUCACCCACUCACCCCGAACUAUGCUCAUUUUAUGCAUCCCUCCGAAUCCAUCCGCAGAAAACCUCUUACCCUCAAGGUAUUUUUAGUUGAGCAACCCAAGCAUACAUAAUCUAGAAUUACAAUUUAUGAUACCACUAUGGAGCUCUUUUGAAUUCUUCACUUCCUUGAUAAUUUGAUCUUUGAUUUCUUUGAAUUCACCACCUUUGUUGUUUGAUUUUUGGUAUCUUCAAUUUUUGAAUUUCUUGGAGUUUUGAUCUUUUGAUCUUCACUUUAUUUGCUCCAAAAUUCUUCAAGCUUUUCUUGCAAUUCUCUCUCUCUUUUUUUUUGUACAUGUACCUCUCUUUUUCCACUCAAAACCCUACAUGCUUAAGCUGGGGCGCUCAACCUCAACCUUUAUUGGCUAACGAUAAUAAUUUUUCUGGAUACAUUUCUGGUACACGAUGCUAAACAUAUUGCAUCCCUCAGGCUGAGCGAGGUCGUGUUUUUGUCCCAUGAUUUCACUAGAAUAAGGAGACCACAAAUGCACUAGAACGUAUAUAGGCUCAACUAAACAUUUGGGUUUUCAUGCAAUUAUCAACACAAUUCUAACAUGGAAUCCUAAUUUGCUUUUACCAAAAUUUUCUAAAUUAAGUCGUAAGUAAUAUUUUUGGUAUGCAACAAUUUUUUUUUAAAUUAGACCUAAAUUAAGAUUCUAAAUUUUCUAAUAUGUGACCAACCCCCUACCCCACACUUAUUUUAUGCAAUGCCCUCAUUGCAUAUUAUGCAAAAAAAUAAAAAUGCAAAUAUAGAGGGAAUUGGAACAAACUCCCCUGAGGUAGCAAUCGAUAGGUUGAUAACUCUUCUUUUCAACUCCAUCUUCAUUUGACUUUAGACAUGGAAAUAGCUCAUCCAUGCCCUUGGGCAUCAAAUCACAUGUGGCGGCUCCAAAUAGGCAGGGAAAACAGUGUAAGAUCUUCAAGAAUCGAUAUGGAGGAAUAAAUGGUCAAGUGGUAGACUCAGCAGCAUCAAAUCAGCAGUCCUCUUGGUAUAAAAAUGAAUGACUCAUCGAGUCAUAUAUGCGACUCGUCGAAUAUAGGCACGGAUAGCUUCGAAUAUGUGAGAAUACAAGGCGACUCGUCGAGUCAGUUUAGUGCACUCAGCGAGUAGACCGCUGGGUGAAAAAAAAUCGCAUUCUGCAUUUGUUCCAGCUUCUGAUAAAUCUUCAAAACUUCUCACAAAUUCUAGACUCAUUCGCUCAUGUCCCUAGGGAACGGACUCGACACCUUAACUCUAGACUCUGCCCUUUCUUGACUUGUUUCCACUCUUUAUAACUCUUAUAUUCUUCUUUCUCUAUCAAACUCUAGACCCUUCUAUGCAAGCAUUCUAACCCAAAAUCUGAAAAUCAUCAAAGCAAUUAAACAUCAAGCAUAAAGUAAAAGUCUUAAAUUUAAACACACCAAACCCAAAUAAAAACAAAUUAAAAAUUGUUCAACAAAAACAUAAAGAACUAAUCCUCCUCCUCCUCAUCAUGGUCCUGUGCAGCUCCACUUCCACUAGCGCCAAUCCUUCUUGCAUUGAUCACCUCAUCCCAAGAUGGAAUAUAUGGGAAGUUACCACCAUCGAUAUGCGGAAUAUGAAAGUGGUCAAAAAGUCGAAUGUGGGAUUGGUUGCUAGAAUUGAGACUCCUUGCCAUUUGAUCUUGCAUUCUCCUUAUCUCAAUAUUAUACCAAUCCAUUGGCACUUCAUCAUUAUCCACCGGAAUUACCGGAGGUUCCUCCUCCACAUCUCGCUCCCUCCUCGGUCUAACCCUCCUUCCCGGCGCCUCGGGACCAACCACUGGAUCAUCAUGCGGGAUAGCAUAAUGACCACCACCAUAGUCCUCAAUAAUCCUAGCCCUCCUAAAAAGAAUGGGAUUAAAUGGAGGGGUAGGAAUCACCGUCAUCAAAUUCCAUGCACCGCGAGUCAUCAACAAAAACGAGUUGGCUAGCCGUGUGACAAACAUUCCACCAUUAAUUUUUGAUGUCUUGCGAUCCUUGACCGCACGCUCCGCCAAAUAGGAAGCCAAACACCACGGAAUGUUGCAAAAGGUGUCUGGUGUGAUAAUGCUCCAUAGAUAAAAAAAACAUCAAGGUUAGAAACCUUGUCAUCAUCCUUUCGUUGGUUGAUGGUAGUGGAGAUAAGGCGGUGAAUGAGACGGUGCGUGGGCGACCGAAUACUUCCUUCUGGGCCGACUUUGGAAUGUACAACUUGUUGGCGAUCGUGUUCCACCAUCCCGUGCUCGUAACACCAUCGGGGAACACCUUGUGAGAAUGUUCCAUAAAGGUGCGAAAAAUAGCAGUCGAGACCAAUAGGCGGUCAUAGAUUCCCAGCCGACAAGCAAGAUCAAUAAUUGAGCACUGAUGAAACUCGCCCCCAAGGCAAAAACUGAAACUUGUUGGGUGAUAGCAAUCGUCACCUCCACGGAAAGAUACCGUAGAGAAGAAUUCUCAGCAAAGUUCCCGGUACACCGGUUUUUGAAUACGAAAGACCCUGCUCCAUCCGUCACAAACCAUUGUUUCCCCUUUGAAUGUAAAUUCCUUCACAAGAUAAGAUGCUAACUCCUCCUCAUACUGCACAUUCUGCAACCAAUCCCAAUCAACUCUGUUUGGCACGUAGAUCUCCUUCUUUCUAACUUCAGCUAACUUCUUCUUCCAUCUCGUCAUGGUUGAAGCUGAUUCGAUUUGAGGAAAAUUCAACCAAGGAAAAUCCCCUUGGCGUCCACUGGAACCUUGACCCCUGUGAAACAUUGUCCCUGCAAAACAAAGAACACAAAACCCAAAAAACACAGAAAAUCAUCAAAAUAGAUCAUGCCUAGGUCCCCAACUGGACUCGUCGAGUCCAUGAGCGACUCGGCGAGUCGUAUGAACUGCGCGAGUCAGUCGGCGAGUCAAUCAAAAUUCAACCACGAAAUCUCAAAAUUUCUUCAAGGGUUUUGUCUAGGGACAUGUCUAAAAUGUAUUAGGGCAAGAAUAAUCAUCCAAAACAUCAUAAUUGAUGUAAAAGCAAAACCCUAAGAAUUUACUAUUACUCAAAAUCGGGUAUUCUAUGAAAUUGCUACCCUAGAUCAUUUAAAAAUCAUGCCUUUAACAGAAAUUAGGAAGAAAUUCAGCACCUUUUGUGAUGGAAAUUGAAAAACUUGAAGGAAAGAUGAAGAAGUUGAUGAAUGCUUGAGAGAGAACCAAAGUGGAGGCGCACGGCGAGUGAAGGGGAAAAAAACUGAUUUCAUUAGGGUUAAAAACCCUAGCUACCAGUUGUAAAAAUUAUUAUUAUUAUUAUUAUUGUAAAUAAAACAGACUCGUCGAGUCAAAGACAGACUCGGCGAGUCUGGUCGCGAUUCUAUCCUCUUCUGAAAUCUGAAUGUACUCGGCGAGUCAUGUUCAGACUCGGCGAGUCUCUUACAAAUAAUUCAAAAAUUAUAUAAUUUUGCCAUUUGUUUAGAAAAGAAAAUUUAUUCCACCCCACACUUAGUCCAUACACACUCUUUAGCAGACAUGUCCGACGAAUUGGAAGAUUAAAAUCCAAAAAAAGGAAAAAAAUCAAACAAAACUAAAAAGAUAAAAGAAAGCAAACUCUAAAUAACGGGUUGCCUCCCGCCAAGCGCUUCUUUUUAAGGAGUCGUUAGUUGGACUCCUUCCCAUCUACGUUUGUUCCUCUUCCAGCAUCGGGAACGCAUGCCUAAUCUUUUGUGGUUUGUACUUUGUCUUGUAAGCGUGAAUCUUCUUUUUGUAUGCCCGUUUUAAGUCUUCUUUCUUCUUUCUUACAGCAUUAUCCUCAGCUGCUUGAAAUUCCCUUCUCCUCUUUUUCUUUUUCACCCCAUUCUUUUGCACCUUUUCUUGCACCUCCUUUUCCUUAAACUUAAUUACUUCAUAUUUUGUGAAAGUUCGUGCUCUAGGUUUGGUAAUGAAUGGUUGAUCAGCAUCAACUCUCCUAUCCCUUGCCUUCUCCUCUUUUUCAAUGCUUACCUCAUCUUCAAGCGGGAUUGCAUCAAGACAUACUAUAUGAACGUGUUGAAAUUCAGUAUCGAUUUCUCCUUCUACUGUUUGUUCUUCUAAAGAAUGAGGAAAAACAUCCAUGUCCAGCACAUGCAGAGAACUAACAACAAGCAGAUCUAAGUUGUCCAGGUUUUUGGUAGUUUCGACUGGACUCGUCGAGUCUAGGAAAGUGACUCGGCGAGUCGGAUCGCAUUUCACCAUUUCCACUUUGUUUUCCGAGUCGGCUCCUUUCAGCAGCUUUUCUAUCUCCUCCAAGUCUUUGUCAAAAUCUCCGUUACCUCCAGAAGGUAGCAAAAACUUGCUUGGAUCUUCUUCUUGCAAAAGUGCAAGUUCUUUUUGUAGUAUCUCAUCAUCCAAAUCGAUAAAUGAGAUCUCUUCUUUUCCUUCCUCUUCUUGCUUGAUCUCUGGUAAAGCUCUAAAUAUUGUUGACUCGUCUCCUACCCUUAACGUUAGUGUAGACUCACAUACAUCAAUUAAAGCACAUGCGGUGUUUAAAAAUGAACUCCCUAAAAUAAUCGGAAUUCCGGGGUCUUCUGCCAUAUCAAGCACCAUAAAGUCUACUGGAAAGAUGAACUUGUCGACUUUAAUGAGAAGAUCCUUGCAAACGCCUCUUGGAUGAAUUAUUGUCUUGUCUACCAAAUGGAUCUUCAUGUUUACCGGCCUUGGCUUCGGUAAAUUCAGCUUCUUGAAGAAAGAGAAGGGCAUUAAGUUGAUACUUGCACCCGAAUCAAUCAACGCUUGAGUGACAAGUGCAUUUCCAAAUUGGCACGAAAUUAUGAUACUCCCCGGAUCGCCCUUCUUUUCAGGUAACUCACUCAAUAUUAUUUCCGCGACUUCAGCUAAAUCUUUCCUAGCAGCAAAGAGACCCUUUAGUAAGUUAAAAUACUUGGGCGUUUGAAGCAUCGUUUCUACAAAUGGCACGUUGACUUGUAGGGAUCUAACAUGCUCCAUAAAAGCUUUAUAAGCUUCAACUUUUUCAACAGGCCUGGCUUUGAUUGGGAAUGGCAAAGGGGGAUUAUAUGGCUUUAAGGAAAUGACCGUUUUUUCAUUAACGCAUGGACUCGUCGAGUCCAUUAGAGGGACUCGGCGAGUCUGAUCGGGUUUAGCUGGAGCCGACUCUUCUGCCUUUUCUGUCUUCGUAUUGGAGAUACUCUGUCCAUGUGUGAAAAUUUCUUCAUAGCUGGAAGUCACAAUACUCACAUUCUCCAUUCUUGGAUUAUUUUCGGUGUUACUUGGAAGUUGACUCGGUCUUCUUUCGUUCACUUGAUGUGCAAGUUGUCCCAGCUGUUUCUCAAUGUUGAGAAUGUAUUGCAGCAUCCUGAUCAUUGUGUCUCUUUUCGGAUGCGGCUAUGAAUCUAGUGAACAAUUCUUCUAAAUCGGCUUUCUUUUCCAUUACCGGUUCUUCCUUUUGAUAAAAUCUCCUCUCCUUCUGCUUGUAUUUCUCCUCCUUAGCCUUCUUGUAUUCUUCGUAUGGGAGCCAUUCCUUCUUCGGUUUCCGCCAAUUCUCGUCGUGUCGAUCACCACUUGAGUAGAACACUUGAGCCUUCUUGUUUCCAUUUUCAUCCAAAUCACAAUCCUUUGUGAGAUGGGGCCCUCUACAAUUCUCACAUCCAACUCGAAUAGCAUGGAUUGUUUGAUCCACUUUUGUCAUCCUUCUAUCUAGACUAUCGACCUUAGCUAUCACCGCCGCCAUGCUAUCAUUUGCCGAGUUCACUACCCCCCGACUUACUUCAUUUCUUGGAUUGUGGUAUUCUCUAGAAUGCUUAGAGAAUUCUUCAAUUAACUCCGUGAUUACCGGGGGCGCCUUCUUCGUGAGCGGCCCUUGUGAAUCGAGCAAUUGCCUUGUGGUGACAUUUACUCCAUCAUAGAAAAUGGAGACCUCUUGUUGGCUAUUAAGGUCAUGGUGUGGGCAAUUUCUAAGCAAACCUUUGUACCUUUCCCAAGCUUCAUAAAGAGAUUCGUCGGGUUGUUGCUCGAAGUUGGCGAUGGCUUUCUUCAACUUAGCAAUUUUGGAAGGUGGGUAAAAGUGGUCUAUGAAUUCUUCUUUCAUCUUGGGCCAUGUGGUGACCGAUCCGGGAGGAAGUGACUUGAGCCAAUCCUUUGCAACUCCCUUGAACGUGAAUGGAAGCAUGUGAAGUAGCUGGGUCUCGCGUGGCACAUUCGGUACAUUGACGUAGACAGCCACAUCAUUUACUUCGUCCAAGUGCUUGUAGGCGUCUUCGUGGUCUUUCCCAUAAAAAGGAAUCUCCUUGAGUUGAGCGAGAAUAUGGCCCUUUAGCUCGAAAGUAGCGGUUGCGGGAAUUGCGGACUGCACAAGUCCCGGGCCACUGUCAUCGCGCAUCCUCUUCUUCCAUUCCCCCAUGGGGACUUCAUCGAUAUUAGCCAUUGUGAUAGCUAAAUCGUAUUCAGACUCAGAUUCAUGCUCGUAUGUGGGUUCUUCUUCUUCCCCGGUCUCGUACUUGGUGUCUUCUUGAAUUGGGUCUCCGAUUAUCAAAGAGGCACUGGAUGCUCCUGAUUUACUGCUCCUCUUCUUGCUGAAAACGGAAUUGAGGUUUUUGAGUGGCGAGUUUUUUGAAGAAGCGGAUUCUCCAACGGUUUUGCCUUUGCUCCUCCUUAGUGCGGAUUCCGGGUCUUCAAGAGGAGGGAUUAGAGGUGUAUCAGAUCCUCGGGUCAUGAAACAACUGUAAAGAAAAAAAAACGCGUAAAAAGAAUAAAAAAUAAAUAAAACUAAAAUUGUGAAUCAACGAUGAACUCGCCGAGUCGGGGCGAAUGCACUCGGCGAGUUGAAGGCAAAAACAGAAAAAUUUUCUAGUUACUUUUAAAAACAGAUUUUUAUUAAAACUUAUACUACACUACUACAAAAUGAGUCUAAUGCAACAUUUUGGAAGCAACCUUUUAACAUAAGUUGCAUUUGAUUAUAAACUAACUUUGUAUAACAAAAGGUUGCAUUAAAAUGUAUGUUGCAACCAUUUUUCAGAAAGGUUGCAAAUUUUAUUGAAAAUUGCAACCUUUGUUAAAAAGGUUGCAUGGAAAAGCUCAAAGGCAACCCUUAUUUUAAAAGGUUGCAUAAUUAGAUAAUAUUUUAGUACAAUUCUUAUUGAAUUUUAAAAAGACAUUAUCUAUUAAAUUUAAGAUUUUGAAUUUCGUCUCAGUAUUUUUUAUUUCCUUUUCAAUAAGUUAAAGUUUUUUUGUUUUUGAUUUUCUUUCUUAAAAUCAAAAUUUUAUAUUUCAUUUUUUUAUAAAUUUUUAAAUUUAUAAAAGAGAGAAAAAUAAUUUUUUUAUCUUAUUUAAAUAAAUAGAUUUUAGAAAAGAAAUAAAGUUUUUAUAUGAAAAAAAUAUAGAGAAAACUGAUUUUAAAUGAUUAAUAAUAGAUGGUAGGGUUUAUUUUAGAACACACUCAAAGUUGAUGGACCUAAUAUAUAAAACAUGAAAUUUUGAAUAUGGAUUGGCAGAAAACGAUCGUAGCCUCAUAGGGUACACCUCUAAACUCUAAUUGGCGAUUCAGUAAUGCGAAUGAGACGGGAAGGCUUCAUCGAAGAAGAAAAAACGAGAAUGGUGGGUGCCGAUACUCAUUGCACAUAGAGAUCAAUAGAAGAGGUGACGUCGGAACGAGAGGGCAUACGGGCGCUUGACGUGAGGGAGGAACUCGUCGGCAACGACGCUGCUUGGCCUGAUUCCAACGAUUGGAGUGGCGGCAGUGACUGGUAAGGGGUAUUUGUGAUCGGAAUCUUCAAUAUUCAUAAUGGAGCAAACCCAAAUCACUUCCAUAUCCAUUAAUUUGAUGAAAUUCAAAGGUAUCUUUAAAACCCUAGAAAUUUAGAAAAUUUAUUUGGACUUUUAAAUUUAUUAGUUGAGCAAUUCAUCGCUGGAGUUUAGUUUGAAAUGGUGUAUAAAUUAAGAAAUUUUAUACGAUGAUGAUAUUCUGAGAAAUACUUGUAAAAUUUACUAUCAAGGUUGAGGUUUGUGGUUUGUUGGUACGAAAGAUGGAAAUUCCCGGAAUAUGCUUCAUAGUCAUGGUGUUGCCUUCCUCAAGGAGGUAUGGUAAUUGCGCAAAAAACUUCUUUCUUUUAAUCAUGGACAUUUUUUCUUUUAGUUUCAGUUUCUUCUAAUCGACAUUCCAGAUAGACCCUCUACCAAUAAAAUCUUUGCAUAUAUUUUGUAUUGGAUUUAUUCUAUGUUUAUAGGCGUACAUUAGAGCCAUGCCUACACCACAUUUAUCUUUCCUUUUCUUAGGGUAUCAGGUUAUGGCGUUCACCUGCAGACCUUUAGACUAUUAUGAUUUUUCGGUCUAGAAUUCACCUAGUGGUCAGGUAAACUACUAACCUUAAAUGGUUGUAAGUUGUCACUUUAAGCAUUUAUGCAGCUUAGACCUUCUUACGACACAUUCUAUUUAGAUUUUAAGGUUUAAAUGCAAGAAAUGGAAUUGUACUUUCAUUUAUUUGUUUAUUUUAGUAUCCUACUUUCAAUAUCUUCUCCUAUAACAUUAUAUUUUCAUUUAUGUACUGUGAAAAAUCUACACAGUUAUAGCAUUGUACUUUAGACUUUUUUCUUUUUAAUUUUUCUCCUAUAACAUUCUAUUUUCAUUUAUGUUCUUUGAAAAAUCCUCUCAAUAUGUUGAACUUAUAAAUUGGCAGACUUUUCUUUCUUCGUGUCAUCUCUUAUUGAUAGUUGUAUAAACAAAUUACUACUUUUACAUCCAUUUGACAUUUUAUAAGUGAUUUCGACAGAAGCUUGUUUUGUUGAAAUUAUUGAUGUGGAUUCAUGCCUACCUAUUGAAGGUAUUCUUAAAGAAACUAUGUAUUAUGUAAAAACAAGUUUUGUGAGUUCAUUCCUUGCUUUUUCCCAAGCGUGCUCUUGUAAGUUUCAUUGAUUCCUAUACAUUAUGCAAAUUGAGUUUACUCUUGAAGGUGAAUAUAAAUUUCUUUUUAUAUCCACUUUUUAUUCAUGAUUCAAAUGUUAUGACUAUUCUUGUAUUUUUUUUUACAGAGGAACCUUUGUGAAAUGGUGGGGAGAAGAACAAUCCAUUUAAUUCACGCAUCAUUUAUAUGAAACACAAAUUGACUUGUUAUUUUUUUGUAACUGUUCGGUUUCAUCACUAUUUAGCUCAUUUGAUUCCAACAUUUAUAUUCAUCUAUGUGUUGCAUACUACUUUGUUUUGUAGUAUCUAAUGAACCAGUGCCGUUUUGAAAAGAUGGUGGCAUUUGGAAAAGAUGGUCAGACUAAACAACCACCUUACAUGAAAGAAAUGAGAAGUGCAGGAGGUUUAAAUACCUUUAUGAUUAUAAUUGACAAUUUUGUAUUAAAUAUGAUUUGUAACUAUUAUUUUGAGUUUGGACAUAUCUGUUAAUGUACAUGAAACAUUAUUUAUCAUAUUUAUGUUAUUAUUUUUAUGGUGUAAUUGAAUUAAUAAUGCAUAAUCAUAUUAAUAGUUAUCAUAGUGUGUGAAACAUUGAUGCUACAAAUAUAAUAGAAUGUGAUUGCAUCAUCAAAAAAUAAUGUCUUAGCAUUAUAAAAUUCAAAAAGAAGAUUGUGUUUUAGUAUAAACAAGGUUACCUUUGUUGUAACUAAAAUAAUAAUAAAAGUUGCAUAUAUAUCGUAAAAAAGGUUGCACUUUUUUUUGUUAAAAACAUCACAAAGGUUGCAUUUCAUCAUAGAAAAGGUUGCAUAUUUGUGAAUUACACCUGUAAAAAAGUUGCAUUUAAAUACUAAAUGGUUGCACUAAGCCUUUAAAAGGUUACAUUAUGCAACUAAAAUAGUUUUGUAUCAACUUUUUAGUAUAAACAAAGUUAAUUAAAAGGUGUUUAUUUUGUAAUUAAAAGUAGGUUUAAAACUAGGUGUUGUUUUUGGUGUUUUUCUUCUUUGUUCAAUUCUCGAACUCCCAACCGCUUCUCCUGCUUCCUUUUGCUUCCGAGCUUCACUUUUGGGACUGAAAACAUAAUUCAAACACUUUUAAGUACCUUUUGUCCAUGAAAUGCAAUAAAUUAGCUAAUAAAUGAAUAAAAAUCUACACUUAAUAUGAACUAAAUAUGCACAUAUCAGUACACUUUGUUCCAUAAAGGUAGUGUCUCCAGAUUUUUAGGGCGAAUACUACUGCUCCUAGUUCGAGGUCAUGUAUGGCGUAAUUGACCUCGUGCGUUUUUAAUUGCCUCGAUGCAUAGGCAAUGACCUUUCCUCGUUGCAUUAACAAACAUCCAAGGCCCUGGUUUGAUGUGUCACAUUAGACCACAAAGUCUUCGGUCCCUUCUGGCAGGGAUAAAAUCGGGGCACUACACAGGGCCUGUUUUAAUGUUUGCAAGGCGAUUUCUUGUUUCUCUCUCCAGCUGAAAGUUACACUCUUUUGGGUUAGAGUGGUAAGUGGGUUGUUAAUCUAGGAGAAGUCUUGGAUGAACCUUCGGUAGUAGCCAGUGAGGCCUAAGAAUUGGCGGAUUUAUGUAGGCGUAUUUGGUGCUAACCAGUUCUCGAUCGCCUUUAUUUUGGAGGGAUCCACGUGUAUCCCUUUCUCGCUAACCACAUGAUCAAGGAAGUCCACUUCUCGGAUCCAAAAGAUCCAAAAUUCGCACUGCGAAAAUUUUGCAUAUAAUUUCUCCGCCCAUAGUGUCUCCAAUACCUGUCAUAUAUGUUGGCUAUGCUCUUCCUUAAUCCUUGAAUAGACCAAGAUGUCGUCUAUGAAGACAAUCACGAACUUGUCUAGGUAAGGCCAGCAUACCCGGUUCUUUAGAUCCAUGAACACCGCAGGUGCAUUUGUUAACCCAAAGGGCAUUACUACAAACUCGUAGUGACCGUACCGAGUUCUGAACGCUGUUUUAGGAACAUCCUCCUCCUGAACAGGUAGUUGACGGUAUACCGAUCUCAGAUCGAUCUUUGAGAAGUAAGAUGCUCCUUGGAGUUGGUCAAAUAGGUCGUCAAUUCGAGGUAAAGGGUAUCAAUUUUUGAUUGUAAGCUUAUUUAGCUCGUGGUAGUCGAUGCAUAUGCGAAACAACCCAUCUUUCUUUUUCACAAACAGAACUGGUGCUCCCCAAGGCGAGAAGCUGGGUCUAAUGAACCCUUUGCUUAGCAGUUCGUUUAGUUGGCUGGAUAGUUCUUGCAUCUCGGUUGGCGCUAGGCGGUAAGGCGCUUUGGCUACGGGGGUAGCUCCGGGAUUUAGGUCGAUUUGGAAUUCAACUUGUCGUGCGGGUGGAACUCCGGGAAGGUCUUAUGGGAAUACGUCCGAGAAAUUACAGACCUCCGUAAUGUCCUUGAUGUUCUUCACCUCAUGUUUCUUAUCCACUACGUGGGCUAAGAAGGCGUGGUAUUCCUUGCGGAGAUACUGUUGGGUUUUGACGCAAGAGCUGAUUUGUAGUUUUACACUAGGUUUGUUGCCGUAGACGACAAGAGUUUCGCCACUCGAAAGGUUAAGGUGUACGACCCUUUUGUAACACAAAAUGUCAGCACGAUUUGAACAUAACCAAUCCAUGCCAAUGAUGAUGUCAAAUCUUUUUAUCGAAACCGGCAAUAGAUCUAUUUUGAAUGAGUGAUUGUGUAGAGUGAGGGUACAUCCUGAGUAUAUGUCAUUAGUGCUUUCUGUAUUUCCAUUAGUCAUUUCUACGAUGUAUGUAUCUUUUAGUGAUUGGGGAUUUUUUCUUAAUAAUUUUUUGAAUUUGUGGCUAGCGAAACUCCUCUUCACUCCACUAUCGAAUAAUAUGCAUGCAUAUGAGUUAUCGAGGAGAAGCGUACCGGUAACCACCACGGCGUCUUCCCUUGCUUCCCCCUGUCCUAAGGCCAAAAUCCUUCCGACACCACCGGUGUUUGUGUUUUUAGCUUUUGGGCAGUCCCACUUGCAGUGCCCAGUUUCCCCACAACAGUAACAAGCUCGGCUUGCUCCGACGUUGGCGGCCGGGUUGGCUUGUUCGGCAGAAUCCCUACAAUAACGGGCAAUAUGCCCUUUUUUAUUAUAGUUGUUGCAGUGCAUUUCCCGACAAGGACUGUUGUGGUGAAAGUUUCACUUGGGAAGGGUUCCAGCAUAGUGUAUCAGUGGUGCUGGAGUGGAAGGAGUAGUGGCAGCAUGGAUGGUAACAGUUUGUUGCUUCUUGGCAGGGUCCCGCAUCGGUUGCUUCUUUUUAUUGUUCCGGAACUUCCUAUUGUUGCUUCCUCCUUUUGCUUGAUCGAAGGUGGUUUUCACAUUGACAUGGUUGGCCUGAUGAUCGAUGAGUUGUUGUGCCAACUCCUUGGCACUGACAAAGGUGGUUGGCCUUGAGGCCAACACGCUAUUUUGAAUCUAGGAAGAUAGUCCCCAGAGGUAUCGUUCUGCCUUCUUUCUUUCUGGAGUGACCAUCGCCGGACAGAGGAGUGCUAGAUCAUUGAAUCGGGCAGUGUAAGCUGCAAGGUCAGAGCCCGUCUUUUUGAGACCCUAUAGUUCUUGCUCUAAUUUUUGCACUUCACCCCUUGGGCAAUACUCCUUCAGCAUCAUAGUUUUCAAGUAUUCCCAACUUAUCAAAUUAGCCACGACGAGUGUCAGUGAUUUUGUGUGGCCAUUCCACCAAGUAAGGCCCCUGUCGGUGAAAGUGCAAGCUGCGAAUUUGACUUUGCUUGCUUCGGGGCAUGCACAGAUCUCGAAGACGGAUUCGGUCUUCUCGAACCACUGCAUCAAAGAGAUGACGCCCCCGCUUCCAUUAAAAGAAUCGGGUUUGCCGUUCGUUAAGUCCUUAUAGGGACAUUCUCUCGAACGCCCUUGGCUAUCUCCUUGGGUAGAGUUAUUAGUACCGUUCCAUGUCCUCCUGGCACCGUCAGUGCUGAUUUGGGACAUAGUAGCUGCCACUGUGGCCAUAACCGCAGCUUGGAACAUAACAGCGUCAUAUUGGGGAGGCGGAGGUGGUGGAUUUGUUUGUGUUCUGCUAGUGCGUCUAGCAGAUCUACGAGGUGUCAUCUUUCUGUCAUCGAAUUUUAAAGAUGAAAUGAGUAUAAGUCUUUUGUCACAACUAGGAAAUUUUGAUGCUUGUAACUACAACAAUUAUGUUAACUAUCUUAAACCUAGAACACUCAAAUGGGCCCUAAUUGGACCCAUAUGCAUGAAACUUAAUACUUUGGACCAUAUUGGGCCUAGAAUGAACUAAAAGACCCUAAUGGACCUUAUUGAGCCAUAACUAACCUAAUUAGCUCUAAUGGACUAUGAAACCCAUUAUUCUUGACAAAUUGGGCUGUAAACCUUCAUAGAGGCCCAAUGGGCCGAAAAAUUGAUGAUUAGGUCCAAAAAUCCUAACAAAAAUUUAAUGGGCUCAAACUAUUCCAUUCGUACCUUCUAAGCCAAAUUUUCGGCCCAUGCUAAAAAGAAAAAAAAAGGGGGGGGGGGGGGGGGGAAGGAAUUAAGGAAGGAAUUAGGAGGUGAUGACAACUCAUAAUUGUCUAGCACACUUCUAGGUCAUCACAAACAUCCAUGAAAUCUUUACCCUCCAUGUAAGGCCUUCUCUUCCUCCCCUAUUUCUCUCACUCUCAGCCAAGAUACACACACACAUGCACUUCACUUACAAACUCUCUCAAAUAAUAUCUCAAACACUCACAAGAACACUACUACACUUUCCUCUAAAUUUUCGAGAAUUAGAGAGUGCUUCAAAAGGAUUCUCACAAGAAAAUAAUCAUUCUUUGGUAAGUUUUUACAUGUCUAAGUUAUAUAACUCUAUUCUCUUGCAAGAUCACUUCUUCUAAACAAGCUUUUGGUGAUCAUACUUCUAGAAAACUCCUUAAGCUCGAAAUUUACUACAAGGUGUUGCUAGAGCCGAAAAUAGCAUCAAAUUUCUUCCUUUUCUUCUUCAAAUCGAAAUCAUCAAGCAAAGGUGAGUUUCAUACCCCUCUAUUUUCGGUUUUUCAUAUGUUUUAUGGGGGAGAAUACAAGAAAAUGUGUAGAUCUCUGUGUAUGUGUAUGCUAUGUGUGAUUUUAAAGCAUGUAUGUGUGUGAUGUUAUGUGUUUUCGAGAUAAAUAUGUAACAAAAAGAGUGAUAAUUCGAGAUCAAUGACAUGAGAAAGGAAACAAACAUAAUCUAUGUUAUUUUACACUAAUCAAGUCAAUAAAAAUAGCUUAUAAGGUUAUGAGGAACAUACUUUAACAUAAAACUCAUUUUAGGGCUUAAAAUGUUAAAAAUACAAAACUUGGGCUAAAAUCUGCCAAGUCACGGUUGCUUGAGGGUCAAAAGAGUCAAAACAGUUUUCAUAAUCAUUUUUCUGAAUAUUAGAAUUUUCAAAGGACUUAAAAUGCAAAAAAUUGAGUUAUUGGGCUAAAUAUGGGCUUUUCUGCCCAACAAGCCCAAAAUUGCAAGAAUUGAAGUUUUUAAGGGGCUGAAUUGUAAUAUUCUGUAAAACAGGGGACAUGAAGUGAAAUAAAGCUAUUUCUAAGGUCAAAAAUGCUUUUAAACUCCAAAAAGGAUCAACAUGUAAACUUUUUGUAUUUUGGGCCAAAACUAUAAAAGUUGCGAAAUUUGGGGUUCUAACCGAGAAACACCAUUCUAGAAGGGCUAAAACUAUUUACUAUAUAUAAUUUGUGUAAAAAAUGUCUUUUCAACAAGUUUAUGAUACAAAAGUGUCAAGAAAAUGUUUUAACGACUAAAAAUGAAAUUCUUUUAUAUAAAGUACUAAAAGUGUUAUUUUUAUAAAAGAAAGGUAGUGAAAAGGGUCAAAGUCAUACUUCUAAACAAAUUAAUUCAUUAAGACAAAAUAUAAGAUAUCCAGCUAACGACAAAACGAAAAACAAAUACACCUAUAAUACCAAAUAUCGUUAUAAAUGAAUAGAUCCGGUCUCGAAUCAAUACAAAACAACAAACGUUAAAUCAAAACACUUCAAUAGAUACGUGAUGACUACAAUGAGUAAAUCUACAAACUUUGGGCUUAUGAGUUUCAAAUUAUGCUUGCUGGGCCUUGCAAGCCCACCAAAAUGAUCUUUGGGCCCAAAUGGAUAACGCUUAUAUGUUAAUGGGCCUUCAAUGACCCAAUAUUUUAUAAAAGGACUUUCAAUAGCAUUGUGUGCUAGUGGGCCAAAGUGUCCUGCUAGAAAAGCUAGUAAGGUCACAGUAAUCAAAUGCGAGUUGGACCAUCGUGUCUUUCGCAUCCACGACAACCUAAGGAACUUACGAUAGUAGUGGGACAUAAUACUCCCUUCUCUUCAUUUGUUAAGGCUUACGCGAAAUUAAAGUAGACAUACUUAGGACGACAUAUUGUACGGGUUAAUUCAAUAUUCAUUCGUUAAGACAAUACAAAAAUCAGUAAUCACGAAUACAUUUCAGCAUCGGGAAACAUCGGGUUUUCCGGGGAAUUCAAUACUACUCGUUCUAAAUAUUAUAACUAUAAUACAAAAUACCCUUUAUAUAUGUAUAUAUGUUUUUAAAAUCAUUCAUGAAUCAGCUUAUGGAUCUCACACUUUGAUAAACAAAAGUCUUUUUCGGAAAACAUCGAAUUUCCUGGGUUUUACAAAAUACACCAAUCAUUUUAUCACAACAUUGCUUAUGAACUCACCAACAUUUCAUAUGUUGAAGUUUUUCCAAAAUAACUUGUAUUCUCAGGUAACAGGUAAGCGGAAGGGUUAAGAAGUUAUGUUAGAUGUUAUGUUGUUGAAUGUACUCAAACUAUUUAGGUUAUGAAUGUGUAGUGUUAAAACAAUGUACUUGAUAUGAACAAUUCCAGUUGUAAUAUAUUGAUGCAUGGUGACGUUUAUGUCAUGAUUCAUGUAUAUGCAUUGUGACGAUAUUCAAUUUAAGUCACGCGAGCCCUCGUAUGUUUCCACCGUCUGGUUCGGGGGUGUGACAGGUUGGUAUCAGAGCAUUGUUUAUAGUGAACUAGCAUAUCUAACCACACAUUGAUAUGCAACUAUAAACCAAAAAGGGGACUAACCCCAACUCUGAACAUAAUAGUUAAGAUACAUACAUUUGUGUGCAUUUUAGAAUAAUAACACAACAAGAACAGUAAAAGUCUUCGGAGGAUUUGAACAUCACUAUUAAACCCGGGCAGUUAUGUAGUCGUAUUGGGGGUGAAUGUAGCCUGAUCAACUACAUUCAUUCAAAAUACGACCAACAUGUGUUCGGGAGUAAUUGUGAUGGACAAUGAAUCAAAAACUUACCAUUUAAUUACCCAAAGAGCUUAAAGAACAAAACCUAAACAAAACUAAAUUACUAUAGGAGUAAUUGGUAUGCUAUUUGUUUCUAGUGUUUAUACCCCUUCGUGCAUUGCACUAUAAACGAGUAUUAUUAGCUAGGAAACCUAUAUCUCUGUAGUCAGGGAAUACUAGGGUAGCUCGACCCAGAGGAAGACCUAGAAGGAGACUCGGAGGAAGAACCAGAGGAGGAAGACGAAGUAGAACUUGUAGAUAGACCCGUCGAGGCAAUAGUGGACCUCGAAGAGGAAGAGCCAGAGGGCAACAGUGAUGAUGACUCGGAUAUAGAAUCUGAUGUCAUCAAUCCCCCAUGUAAAGCGAGAGUACCGACAUAUCGUGUGGGCCCCGGUGGCCCCAUGCCCCCUUGGGCACUCGGUAUUUGGAGGUGGAGUCAUCAGCAGGGGAUACGACCACACUAUGGUAGGAACCGAGGUCUCUUCGAUCUUAGUCAUAGAGGACAGCUGAUCCCAAUCAUGGUCCGGUGCACCUGAGGUAUUGAUAACCAAGCUCGGGACACCCUAAAUUGAACGGAACAAAUGUGGUUUGCUAUUGAGAGAAAUGAGAAGCAAACAUAGGAAGUGAACAGAGACUCUCGAGCGAGACAGUUAGUUUGGGAAGUACGACUACGAGAUACCGAAAAACAAGUAGCUCGCCUACGAGGUGCAUCCACUUCAUUAGCACCACCACCAGACACUUUCCGCUACAAUUAGGAUCAACCUUUUCUUUUCUCCCCCUACUAUCCGAUGUGACUCUCUUUCAUUUACUAAGAUGGUACUUACCAAUGGAACAAUUAUGUGCUAUCUUUAUUUCAGAUUACUACAUAAAUUUAAUGCACAACCGAACCCUCAAAACCGCUAGACACUUAAGGAUCUUGAAACCAAAACAAACCAUAUACUCUAGGGAUAGACGUAACGAUUGUUCCAAGUUUGCGAUUACCUACUACCAUAAAUACGUCAUAGGAAUGUAGAUGGAAACAAUGAGAAUCAUACGACAAGACGCGAAAUUUAUAGAGUACAACCAGGAAUGACGAUCAUUACUUGCGAUCUGGCUUAUUAACGUGCAGCAGGAAAAUGCCAUCCUGCAGGAAUAACAACCACACCCGCGAGACACCGCUCCUGCAAAUGGACUCUGCUACAGUCCAAGCUGCUGUAACAGCAGCAGUAACCGCUGCUAUAGCACAAAUCAAUGCAAACAACACCAAUGGAAGCAGGAAUAGCAUUGACAACUCCAGUCGAAGGAAAGAACAUGGAAACCAACAAGUGAGAGCUCAUCAAGGAACUCCAAACCCCAAGCUUAAGAGCAGGAAGUGGAAGUAUGGAAGUAAGAAAAAGGGACAGCCCGCUCAAGGGUUCUCAAGGAAGCAACAUGUUGUUGCUGUUCAUGCGACCAUGACCCCUAUUACACCAACAACCACGAGACCAUAUGUUGGAAGCCUUCCAAAAUGCAACCAAUGCAAUUUCCAUCAUAAUGGAGCCUGCCGGGAGAUGCAUUGUAAGAAAUGCAACCGAAAUAAAUCACACCACCAAAUACUAUAGCACUUAUCCAUGCCAGAAUCAUCAGCCAAAUGAAACCAACAACAAUCGCAACAACCCUAACAACAACACCAAUGAUGAUACCGGUCACACCCGCUGUGGGUGUGAAGGAACCGGUCACUUCAAGCGCAAUUUCCCCAAGGAUAACAAUCGAGGUGCAGAAGGAGCAGAAAUGGUACCGACAUUGGGUCAAGGCAAAGCAGUCCAAGACCCGACGGAUGUUACCGGUACGUUCCCACUUAACAACUCUUUCACUUACCCCUUAUUCAAUAGUGAAGCCGAGCAAAUCUUCGUUAGUAACAAAAUCAAAAACUUACUAAAACAAUCAACCCCUGAAGCUAAACGAAGCCUUCACGGUGGAGACGGCUAAUGGGAAAAACCGGAUCAACCAAAGAUAUUUAUGUAGAGUAUACCUUAACACUAAACAACCAUUCAUUUCAAGUAGAUUUAAUGCCAGUAAAUAUUAGGAGUUUUAAUGUGAUAAUCAGCGUGGAUUGGUUAAGCCCCACCAUGUUGAUAUUAUGUGUCACGAGAAGGCCGUUUGCCUUCACCCCCCCAAUCACGAAACUCUAAUAACCCAUGGUGAUAAACCUAACGUCAAUCCUCGUCCUAUCUCGUGCAUCAAGGCAUAGAAGUGCCUGCACCAGAAGAACUAUGUUUCCUCACCCUCGAUGUGGACAAGACCAAGGAAGAAGUAAGCAUGCAAGGUAUUCUAGUAAUAUGCGAUUUUCCGGAUGUAUUUCCCGAAGAACUUCCAGGAAUACCCCAGAGAGACGGGUUGAAUUUCGAAUCAACCUCAUACCUGGAACCACAUCAAUUGCCAAUUCACUCUAUAGGUUGACAAUCGCCAAAAAUUCAGAAGUUAUCCAGUCAAUUAAGAAAAUUUCGAGCAAAGGAUCCAUCGGACCAAGCUUCUCCCCCUGGAGAGCUCCGGUCUUGUUCUUCAAGAAGACAGAUCCUUCAGAAGGUACAUCGAUCUUAGGAAAUUGAAUAAGCUCCCUAUCAAAAAAUCGAUACCCACUUCCUCGGACUGAUGAUCUAUUUGACUAGCUCUAAGGAGCUAGUUACUUCUCUAAAAUAAAUCUAAGAACCGAUUAUCAUCAACUUCGAGCCCGAGUAGACGACAUUCCAAAAACUACCUUCCGAACUCGUCGUGACCAUUUCAAAUUCAUUGUGAUACCCUUCGGUCUAAUGAAUGCUCCCACGGUAUUCAUGGACCCUACGAACCGAGUUAUCCCGAGCAUUCCUAGUUAGCCUUUUCAUUAUUUUCAUCAAUAACAUACUCGUCUGCCCAUGAAGCGAGAACGAAACAUUACCAGCAUCUGCAACCAGCCUUGAAAGCAUCUAAGUCAGAGGAUAUUCCGAAGAAAGCACUGCAUGGAUAGAUAAAACUCUAGAAGUCGGAAGACGAAGCUUAUUGUUAUAAGAGUUGAGUUGGGUGUUAUCUGGGUGAUCGCCGAUAGGUUAACCCAAUCUGCCCAUUUCCCGCUAAUACAAAAAUCAAACAGGACGGAAAGAUUAGCUUGGAUCUAUAUCAAGAAGAUGAUGAGACUCCAUUAAAUAUCGGUAUCUAUCAUCUCGGAUCGAGAUAAUGGAAUUUCUUCAAGACUUUGACAGUAACUUCAGAGAGCUAUGGGAACAUAGCUAGAUAUGAGCAUUGCUUACCGCCCUCAAACCAAUAGCAAAGUGAACGGACUAUUCAACCACUCGAAGUCAUGCUCCGAGCCCGAGUGUUGGAAUUCAGUAAGUCAUGGGAUACCCGGUUGCCCUUGAUUGAAUUCUCACGCAAUAAUAGGUAUCGCACGAGCAUCAAGGAUGCUCUUUUUGAAGCUCUUCAUAGUCAUAAAUGCAGAUCACUCGUCAGUACUCACAUGGGACCAGAAAACUAUUCGCGUGAUGACAGAGAAGAUAAUCCAAAUCAGAACUCGACUUCAAGCAUCGCGAGACCGACAGAAGAGCUACGCUGACGAGCGGCGUAAGCCAUUUGGAUGCCAAGACGGGAUCGUAAUUUAUUAAAGGAAUCUCCUUGGAAAGGAAUGAUUCGAUUUAGGAACCGAGAAAACUAAACCCACGAUACAUCAGACUGUUAGAGAUUCUUGUUCGGAUAGGUACAAAGACUAAUAGGCUGCAGCUGCCUGUAGAGCUCAUAAAUGUACACCCUAUGUUCAGCGUACCGAAUCUGAAAAAGAGCCUAUCAAGCAAAACUAUUAUCAAUCCUUUAAGAAGAGGUCGAAAUAAACGAGAAUCUCUUGUUCGUCGAAGAACCAGUCGAGGUACUGGAUAGGGAAGUAAAGCGUACAUAACAAAGCCGCAUUCUGAUUAUGAAGAUCCGAGGGAACGCUAAGCGUGGACCGGAAAUUCACAUGGGAACGCAAGGACCAGAUGAAGUAGAAGUGCCCUCACCUAUUCUCACAUUCUCAAAUCUAGCUUUCAAAAGAAUUUUGGGACAAAAUUCCCUCUAACGGGGGGAUGAUGUCACAACUAGGAAAUUUUUAUGCCUUGUAACUACAACAAUUAUGUUAACUAUCUUAAACCUAGAACACUCAAAUGGGCCCUAAUUGGACCCAUAUGCAUGAAACUUAAUACUUUGGACCAUAUUGGUCCUAGAAUGAAAUAAAAUACCCUAAUGGACCUUAUUGUGCCAUAACUAACCUAAUUAGCUCUAAUGGACUAUGAAACCCAUUAUUCUUGACAAAUUGGGCUGUAAACCUUCAUAGAGGCCCAAUGGGCCGAAAAAUUGAUGAUUAGGUCCAAAAAUCCUAACAAAAAUUUAAUGGGCUCAAACUAUUCCAUUCGUACCUUCUAAGCCAAAUUUUCGGCCCAUGCUAAAAAGAAAAAAAANNAAAAAGAGGGGGGGGGGGGGGAAAGGAAUUAAGGAAGGAAUUAGGAGGUGAUGACAACUCAUAAUUGUCUAGCAUACUUCUAGGUCAUCACAAACAUCCAUGAAAUCUUUACCCUCCACACAAGGCCUUCUCUUCCUCCCCUAUUUCUCUCACUCUCGGCCAAGAUACAUACACACAAACUCUCUCAAAUAAUAUCUCAAACACUCACAAGAACACUCCUACACUUUCCUCUAAAUUUUCGAGAAUUAGAGAGUGCUUCAAAAGGAUUCUCACAAGAAAAUCAUCAUUCUUUGGUAAGUUUUUAUAUGUCUAAGUUAUAUAACUCUAUUCUCUUGCAAGAUCACUUCUUCUAAACAAGCUUUUGGUGAUCAUACUCCUAGAAAACUUCGUAAGCUCGAAAUUUACUACAAGGUGUUGCUAGAGCCGAAAAUAGCAUCAAAUUUCUUCCUUUUCUUCUUCAAAUCGAAAUCAUCAAGCAAAGGUGAGUUUCAUACCCCUCUAUUUUUGGUUUUUCAUAUUUUUUAUGGGGGAGAAUACAAGAAAAUGUGUAGAUCUAUGUGUAUGUGUAUGCUAUGUGUGAUUUUAUGCAUGUAUGUGUGUGAUGUUAUGUGUUUUUGAGAUAAAUAUGUAACAAAAGGAGUGAUAAUUCGAGAUCUAUGACAUGAGAAAGGAAACAAAAAUAAUCUAAUUUAUUUUACACUAAUCAAGUCAAGAAAAAUAGCUUAAAAGGUUAUGAGAAACAUAUUCUAACAUAAAACCCAUUUUAGGGCAUAAAUUGUCAAAAAUACAAAACUUGGGUUAAAAACUGUCAAGUCACGGUUUCCUGAGGGUCAAAAGGGUCAAAACAGUUUCUAUAAUCAUUUUUCUGAAUUUUAGAAUUUUCAAAGGACUUGAAAUGCAAAUUUUUAGCUUAAUGGGCUAACUUUGGGCUUUUCGGCCCAAUAAGCCCAUAAUUGCGAAAAGGACCAAAAAUGUAAANCUAAGGGGCUGAAUUGUAAUAUUCUGUAAAACAGGGGACAUGAAGUGAAAUAAAACUAUUUCUAAGGUCAAAAAUGCUUUUAAACUCCAAAAAGGAUCAAAAUGUUUACUUUUUGUAUUUUGGGCCAAAACUGUAAAAGUUGCGAAAUUUGGGGUUCUAACCGAGAAACACCAUUUUGGAAGGGCUAAAACUAUUUAUAAAUAUAAUUUGGGUUAAAAAUGUCUUUUCAAGAAGUUUAUGAUACAAAAGUGUCAAGAAAAUGUUUUUAAGGACUAAAAAUGAAAUUCUUUUAUAUAAAGGACUAAAAGUGUUAUUUUUAUAAAAGAAAGGUAGUGAAAAGGGUCAAAGUCAUACUUCUAAACAAAUUCAUUAAGACAAAAUACAAGAUAUCCGGCUAGCGGAAAAACGAAAAACAAAUACACCUACAAUACCAAAUAUCGUUAUAAACGAAUUGAUUCAAUCUCGAAUCAAUACAAAACAACAAACGUUAAAUCAAAACACUUCAAUAGAUACGUGAUGACUACAAAGAGUAAAUCUACAAACUUUGGGCUUAUGAAUUUCAAAUUAUGCUUGUUGGGCCUUGCAAUCCCACCAACAUAAUCUUUUGGCCCAAAUGGAUAACGCUUAUAUGUUAUUGGGCCUUCAAUGACCCAAUAUUUUAUAAAAGGACUUUCAAUAGCUUUGUUUGCUAGUGGGCCAAAGUGUCCCGCUAGAAAAGCUAGUAAGGUCGUGGUAAUCAAAUACGAGUUGGACCAUCGUGUCUUUCGCAUCUACGACAGCCUAAGGAACUUACGAUAGUAGUGGGACAUAAUACUCCUCUUCUCUUCAUUUGAUAAGACAAUACAAUACAGGUUAAUUCAAUAUUCAUUCAUUAAGACAAUACAAAAAUCAGUAAUCACGAAUACAUUUCAGCAUCGGGAAACAUCGGGUCUUCCGGGGAAUUCAAUACUACUCAUUCGAAAUAUUAUAACUAUAAUACAAAAUACCCUUUAUAUAUGUAUAUAUGUUUUUAAAAUCAUUCAUGCAUCAACUUAUGGAUCUCACACUUUGAUAAACAAAAGUCUUUUCAGAAAAUAUCGGAUUUUUGGGUUUUACAAAAUACACCAAUCAUUUUAUCACAACAUUGCUUAUGAACUCACCAACAUUUCAUAUGUUGACGUUUUUCCAAAAUAACUUGUAUUCUCAGGUAACAGGUAAGCGGAAGGGUUAAGAAGUUAUGUUAGAUGUUAUGUUGUUGAAGGUACUCAAACUAUUCAGGUUAUGAAUGUGUAGUGUUAAAACAAUGUACUUGAUAUGAACAAUUCCAGUUGUAAUAUAUUCAUGCAUGGUGACGUUUAUGUCAUGAUUCAUGUAUGUUCAUUGUGACGAUAUUCAAUUUAAGUCAAGCGAGCCCUCGGACGUUUCCACCAUCUGGUUCGGGGUUGUGACACUUUUAGUAUUGGUUAUAAGUCAAGUGUCGUAGAAUUUGGUUAUUAGUUUUCAAGUAUAGUAUGUUCCGAUUCAUAGUAGAAGUCUAUAUAAAUAAACUCAUUAAUUUAGUAGUAAUGACUUCAAUUGAAAUCUUGUAAUCUUUGAUCCAUGCCUGAUCCACUCCUAAGACCACUCAAUGUAUACUAGUUGUGUGUAACUAAGGUUCGAUCGACUGUCGAACUUAAUGGCUUUGCUCUGAGUCCACAACCAAACAAGGAACCGGAUCCAAGGCGGACUCACCAUUUCUAAGUCGAUCGCCCUUAAUUACAUAUAACCUCGAGCUAUAUAUUAAAUAAUCUCAGAGUUACCAUAAGUAAAUCGUUUGUAAUGCUAUGUUAUGCAAUUUGAGGGGAACACCUAAUAAAAUAAAAUGCGUGCAAAUUUUCGUUGAUAUAACUUAGUACAUGUCUGCAGGAAAAUUUGACCUUAUAGAAGGUCUACAUUAUAUCAAUGUAACAGAAAAUUUUGACAACACAUGGACCCUUUGACUAGUGUAAUCACUUAGACGUAGGGUCAAAACUAGUUGCAAGAAAGUGUAGCCCCAACGUAUACCCAUAAACCUAGUUUAUAAAAAAAAUGCGAGUAUUGCAAACACUACUCGAGGCGGGUGGUAUCAGUGGGCCCAUUGUGGCCUUGGGACGAGGUCGAGGCUCCAUGAAGCUCCGCAAUCCGGCGUUUGGCCGCGAUCACUCUCUCCUCGAGAGCUAUGUGCCUCACCUGGUACUCCCAUACCUCCGCCCAAGCGGCGGUAAGGUCCUCGAUGAGUUGGUCCACGGGAUAGAAGUCUCUUUCCAAAUCCAUAGUGCGUGCAUUGGUGGCUUCUACAACAAUGUUCAGAUCCCUAACUUGAUCUUCCAUUUCCCUAUUCUGGUUCCCCAUGUUCAUGAUUUGUUGGACCACGACGGGGAGGGCUCUGUCAGCCGGUCCCCCAUGGCUGAGCUCAUAGUAACUCUGUUGAUCGCCAUAUGGUGAUCGUUGUCGUUGUUGACAGCUCCACCUCUCGAUCACUGUUGCCCAACGGGGCUCAUGCCUGUUGUAUCCGAAACGGUUCGCAGGCACCCUGGCGAUGUAAGGAGGGUAAAAAACAUUCACCUCUGGAUCCUCCUCUUCUUCUUCGUCCUCAAAUUAUUCUUCGGGUUCUUCUUUAUGCAUUUCUUCUUCCUCCUCGGGUUCUUCUUCUUCUUCGGCCACUUUGGGAUCUUCCACGGGAUCCUCUUCCGGUUCUGCUUCUAUCCACCCACCAUUUCCUUGGUUCGGAAAGUAGGGAUCCGCUGGUGGAUGAAAUCCUACCAUGUCGUCUGUACGAGAAUAAGGGUGUAAGAGGCACAUAAUGAAUCUAGGUGUAUUGUGUUUUAGUGUAUAAAAUACUCCUAUAGUAUGUUAAAUGUUUUGUUUGAUUGUUAGGGUUAUACUUGUAUGGAAGUUGGUAGGUUGAUAGACUUGUUGUCCAUUAUGACUAUCCCCCGGCAUAUACUAGUCACUUCUAGGAAGAAUAUAGAUGAUCAGGCUAUAUUCCUCCCAGACUUGAUUGCAUAUCCCAAGGCAUAAUCACAGUGCACAACUCCUCUAUUUUUGACUUUCGUGUUUUCCUUAGACGUGAAACUAUAUAUCGGUAUGCAUGUAUUUACUUAUACCUUUUCAUCAGAAUAACGUUUUAUUUUUAAAAGUAUAAUUGUAGGGGAAAAUAGUUAAUCAGAGAAUCUUAGUCCCUUUGUGAUUAUAGUUUGUAUAUCUUAUGUGGUUUGAUAUAAUAUGCUCACUAUAAACAAUGCUCUGAUACAAUCUCUAACACCCCCGAACCAAGGAUGGCGGAAACAUCAGGAGCUUCUUGGGAUUGGCAGAGUACUACCGGAGAUUCAUACAGGAUCUCUCCGAGAUUGCGGUACCCUUCAAUCUUUUGACGAGGAAGGGGGUGGAUUUCUGGUGGGGCCCUGAGCAGCAGACUGCAUUUGAGAUUUUGUGACAGUAACUCUGCGAGGCGCCAGUUUUUACACUCCCUAAGGGAGUUAAGGAUUUCGUGGUGUUCUGUGAUGGAUCGAUCAUCAGAUUGGGAGCAGUCCUUAUGAAGAGGGGACAGGUGAUAGCCUCUGCAUCGCAACAGUUGAAGCAGCAUGAGACGAGAUAUCCCACACACAAUCUGGAGUUAGGAGCGGUGGUAUUCGCUCUCAAGAUUUGGAGACAUUAUCUUUAUGGGGUCCGCUGUACCAUAUACACGGACCACAAGAGUUUGAGACACAUAAUGGAUCAGCCGAACCUGAACAUGAGGCAACACAGGUGGAUGGAUGUAGUCAAGGAUUAUGAUUGCGAGAUCCUUUACCGUUCGGGUAAAGCAAAUGAGGUUGUACACGCCCCGAGCCCCAAGUCAGAUGGAUCUUCUAUUCCAGCAACAUGUAUGAGGAUAUUAGUGGAUUCUCCACUUGUGAGCUUCAUAAUGGAACCUCAGGAUAAGGGUGUGUGGCAGGGAACUAGAAACUUGAGAGGAUCAGGGGAGAGAUCACCCGAUUUGUGCAGGAUAGUCACGGAUUGUUGACCAGUUGUGUUCGGUUCGGGGUUUCGAUGUCUGGUGGGGUCAGACAGAUUGUACUAGAGGAGACUCAUAAGUUUUGUUUCUCUAUUCACCUGCAGACCACCAAGAUAUACUGAGAUAUGAGACUAAGCUACUGGUGGCCAUGCAUGAAGAGAGAGGUCGCAUGGUAUGUCGAGAGGUGCUUGACUUGCAAGUUGGUCAAGGCUGAGCAUCAGAGGCCGCAUGAAAAGCUGCAGCCUCUAGAGGUUCCUAUGUCGAAAUUGCGAGCAGAUCACGAUGGACUUCAUCACCAAGUUGCCAAGAACGGAAAAGGGCUUCAACGCUAUAUGGGUCAUCGUGGAUCGAUUGACCAAGAGUGCCCAUUUUCUGCCCUUUCAGGAGAGCUCAUCGCUGCUAAGAAGCUGGCCGAUAUAUAUAUCCACAAGAUUGUUGCUCGCCACGGGGUACCGGUCUCUAUUGUCUCACACCGUGAUGUUCGAUUCACCUCCAGUUUCUAGCAGAAGUUCCACGAGGAACUGGGCAUGCGGCUGCAUUCCAGUAUUGGUGCUCCACCAUUUGAGCUGUUAUAUAGAUGGAGAUGCCUCACCCCAGUCUGUUGGGGUGAGGUUGGUCACAGGGUGAUAGGUCGAACCGAGGUAGUUCUGCAGACUAUCGAGAGGAUUUGACAGAUCAGGCAGCGGCUGCAGACUGCUAAGAGUUGGCAGGACAGUUACACCGACCGAUGCCGAUCUGAGUUGGAGUUUCAGGUUGGUGACAUGGUACUAUUGAAGGUAUCACCCUGGAAGGGUGUGAUUCGCUUAAGAAAGAAGGGGAAGUUUGGUCCCCGAUACACUGGACCCUUUCAUAUUAUUGCUAAGGUUGCCAAGGUGGAAUAUAGACUAGAUCUCCUAGAGGAGCUCAGUCAGAUUCACAACACUUUUCACGACUCACAAUUGCAAAAGUGCAUAUUAGAUGAGGAUGCAGUGCUGUCAUUAGAUGAUAUUCAAGUCGAAAAGUGCCUGAAUUACGUGGAAAGGUCAGUGGUCGUUCUGGAGAGGAAAGUGAAGGUUCUACGGAAUAAGGAGGUACCUUUGGUAAAGGUACAAUGGGAACAUCAGAGGGGAUCCGAGUGGACAUGGGAGCUGGAGGCCGAGAUGUGGGAGCAUUAUCCGGAGUUGUUCACCGCAUCAGACUUGGAAGACGAAGUCUAGUUCAAGUGGGAGAGACUUAUAACAUCCCGACUCCCAACUAUGAAUAUCAAAAAAUUUUAUACAUCAUUUAAGACCCACUCGAUGACUUGAAGGCCCCAAGUCUUCGUGUAGAAAUUGAUCAGUCCGCAUGGUUUAUGGAACCUACUAAAAGAGUUGAGGACCCCAACUCGACGAAUUGAGGUUGUGCAUGAAAACCCUAAUUUUUAGGGUUUGCACCCUAUUUAAAGGACCAUAAGUCCCCUUCACCAACCUCCCUUAUCACUUUACAAUCAAAAGAAACCCUAAUCGAGCUAACCUUCCAUUCUUGAGAGUGUAUAAGGCUAAAGAGUGUGUGUUUGGUGCAUUCCUUGAAGAAGGUUGAAGUGGUGAGUGCAUAACUGAAGGAAGGGGUUGUAGAUUCGAUAUUUGCAUUGUUGUAGCAGCCAUCUUGAGGUAUAAAGCUGCUACCUUGACCUUUCAUUGCUUAGAUCUCCUCUCAUGAAAGAAAAUGGUAAUUUUUGGUACAUCUUGGAGUCAUUCUCGGAUUAGGGCUUGUCAUGAGGACAUGGCUUUAGAUCUAAACCCCUUUAGGUCUCCUUAGGCCUAAAGAGUCAAGCAUUGUGAAGUUUUGGCCAACUUCAAUGCCCUAAACCUCUUAUUAAGCUUAGUUUUAGUGUUUUAAUCCCUUUGAAGCCUUGCAUGCACGUAAAGUUGCACUUUACGUGGUAUCUCAGUCCUAAGAGGCUAGAUCUGUAUUUUGGAGCCUUGGAGUCGGCUGGAAAUGGAUGAACUCAUUAAGACAGCAAAACUCGACGAGUUGCUUAGCCAAAUUGAUGAGUUGGAUAAGGAUUUUCCCGCUUUCUAGAUUCCGAGUGGACUCGGUGAGUGGGUGAGAUGACUCAGUGAGAUCACUAAGGUUUUCCUGGUCUUCUGAACAUCGAAGAAAUCGAUAAGUUACUCGGGUAACUCGGUGAGUUGUCUCGAGCGUUUCAUAAUCUUUUGAGUUAUGAAGGAACUCGGCGAGUCAGUAGGUGAACUCGACGAGUCGGGUCAACAUGGACUGUUGACUUUGACUUUGACCAUGGUUGACAAAGUUUGACUUCUGGAGGUAUGUUGGUAAUAUGGGAUUCUAAUGGAAUUAGUCAUGAUGAGGAUUACAAGUAAUUGAGUUUGGGACUGAGAGUUAGGGUUUGAUCUUCUUGAUUCAGCACUACUUGUGAGGUGAGUUUUCCUCACUAUACUAAUAGGGUCGAAGGCACCAAUGCUAACCCUUUUCGGAUUGUUAUCCUGGUUAUGGCAUGAUGAUAUGCUUAGUGAUCUGUUAGAUCUGUAUCCUGGUAUAUAUAUGAUGAUCCUAUGUUUAUUGAUAUAUUAGAUCGGUCUGACUUUUUGUACAUGCUAGCAUUUGUUAUUUGUGUGUUGAGUGUAUGCUUGCAAGUGGGUUGAGGUGGUCCUGCUUUGUGUUGUAGGCCAAGAUACCCGGGGCAGCCCUGAGAGACUAAAGGCCCAAUGGGGCAUACCAGUCAGGCUGAAGGCCCGAAGAACGGUCCAGAUAGGCUGAAGGCCCGGUAGGGCGGACAAUACAUGUUGAAGGUUUUGAGAGUGGGUCAGAUAGACUGAAGGCUCGGUGAGGACGGUUCAGUUAUACUACAGACUCUAUAUGCAUGUUGUUUGUUAUGAUACUGUCCAGGUUUGUAUGGCAUUGGUAUUUUGGAGGAACUCACUAAGUUUUGAGCUUACAAUUUUGGAUUUUGUUUCAGGUACUCCAGAUGAUCGCGGGAAGGCGAAGUUUUGAUCGUGCACCUGCUCACAUUUUCUGAUUUUGAUUUUUGGGAUACUCUGAUAUGAAGCUAUUUUGAAAACAUUUUGUAAUAAAUAAUGGUUUUUGGAUACUUGAAAAAGUUUUAAAUUUUUAUGAAUCUUAUGUAUGUUACAUGAACGCUUGCUAUUCUUGCUCCUUAACGACCAGGAAUCAUUUGAAUCGUCUGAAUCAACAAUGAGAAGAAUUUGAAGAUGAAAGAUGGAAAAGAAGGUAAAGGAGAACAAGGUAAACAAGACGCAAGAAAACGAAGGCCAAAGACGAGUGGAGGGAUGAUAUGCACCGGAAAAACAGGGUGAAAACAAAAAUCAACAAAAUCGCCUAAGAGAAUCCAUGAAUUUUAGGUAAAAGACCAUCGGGUGUUUGGGAUUUUGCUUCAACACGGGGUUUUGUAAUUUCUUAGGAGUGCAAGUCGAUUGCUGACAGGUAGAAAGGGUUUGCAGAGAGAAGGGAGGGAGGAAUAAAGGUACGACGGGUGGAGAUCUAGAGGAGAGAGUGCAGAGGUAGAGGAAGACAGGUGUUCAAAAUUUUGGCGGAUUUUUUUCGCCCCUUAGCUAUUAAGGAGAUGCGCGCUCUUAAGACAAAUAUAAAGCAACUGCAAUUUUAGGACACACAAAAAUACAUGUGUUAAAUACUUCAAAUUUUCAAAGAGAGACAUUGUUUUAGGACACGCAGUUUUACGCGUCUUAAAGACACGCAGUUUUACACGUCUUAAAGCCAAUGUAUAUUAUAGUUCGUGUGUCAUUAAAUGCCUAUAUUCUAAUAUUAUGAGUCAUUUGUUGACCUAAUAGUCCAUGAACAAUGUGUCAGUAUUCAUUGAUUAAUAUUAGAAGUGCAUUUUUGUUUAAUAUUUAAAAGUAUAUCACGUUGUUAUUUUUUGCUUAAAGUUAAUAGUACAUUGUUGUUUUUGGGUAACAAACAACUUGAAACAUAUAUUAUAGUUAUUGUAAUAAUUUAUGUCUGUUUCAUAAAAUAUGUAGUUUUAAGUUUUUGCAUAUAAUAUCAGUAUUUCUGCAUUUAUAAAAACAUUUUAUUUUCAUGUAAUAACAAAAUAUUUUGUAAAGUAAACACCAAAAGUGAUGACAUCAAUAAGGGCGGCGAUGGGCAAUAACGGCGAUUUGAUCACUAGGGGCACUUUAAUCAAUGACAUAUCAAUAGAGCGACAAUAUUGUGGGUGGCUUCAAUGGCAAGAGACAUAUAUGUAAUAAUUACGACACCAAUAGCGGUGACAUAUAGGCAAGUGCAACGACUAAUGAGCAUCAACCACAAAGCAAUAACUAUGACUUAUAAACGAACACGUUUGACACGAAACGUUUGGGAGCUUCUGAUUUUAACAUUUGACAAAACGUUCCGUUUUGAACAAAAAAUCUUGUUUGACACUACAAAUUUUUAACGUUUAGGUUAUAAAAAACGUUCUAAACCUGAAAGCUAUCUCAUGUACCUUUUAACAAAACGCUAACAGCUACCCACUAUCAAUUUCAUGCUAUCCGCUAGCGUUGUCAAACAGGCCCAACAACAUUUUGUUUCUAAAGCCUUUAACAUUGAUUUUAGAAAAUUCUAAUUUACAAUUCAAAAGUUUUCAACCUCACUCUGCUCUAAAAAUGUAGAAUAAAGAUUAACCACGAAUCGCAAAGUGCAUUAUAAAUGAGAUAAGGUAAUGACGUCAGAGCAUUAUCUAACCAACCACGUCUACAAGAAAGUCUAUAAAGAGACACACAUACACACCCACUGAUAAAAAAGUAAAAUGGCCCAAAUUUGUCACUUUUUACUAGUUUUUUCAAUAUAUUUUCUGUUUUUUUCUGUGGCAAAGAAGCAUAACCAGAUCACCAAACUCAACAAAUUGACCGAGUCAAGAAGAUCAGAGAAUCCGCCAGCUGGGGAACCAUGGACAGAAGAAGAUAUUUCAAACUUCUCUCCUGUACUUUCUAUUGAACCUCAACAAGGAUCAAAGGAAGCAGACAGGGUUGAUAGGCUUCCAGGUCAACUACAAGUGGACUUUGAUCAUUUUGCAGGCUAUAUAACAGUCGAUUUAAAGGCUGGAAGGGCAUUGUUCUAUUACUUUGUUGAAUCACCUCACAAUUCAUCAACCAAACCUCUCCUCCUCUGGCUAAAUGGAGGUAAUGCGUUUUUUGUUUCAUUCUACUGCUGUAAUGGGCCCAUGACAAAAUAUAAGAUUACAUUUUGUCCUAACCAAUUUUUGGAAUCAAUGUGAACUGAACUUUAACUUUUUGUUCCACCAAAAAAAGAUGCCACUAAAAUAAUGCUUGCAAAAGACGUGAAUAUCAUUUAUUCUCAUCAUGGAAUAUUAUAUGAUAAAUCAUCAUGAUUUACAUGUGCUGAAAUUGACCACUAGUAAUGAAGAUAAUGUACAGGGCCAGGGUGCUCGUCGUUUGGAUACGGAGCCAUGGAAGAACUUGGACCCUUCCGAGUCAACAGUGAUGGGAAAACACUUUAUCGCAACGACUAUGCAUGGAAUAAUGGUAAUACAAAUUAAUUCCUUUAAAAGCUUUUUAUGACUAUUUCUAUGAUGAGGAUGAGGGAGGACACCUUUAAAAGCUAUCACAAUGUAAAACGUACCCUAAAUCCUGAAAAUCUGAC